AACCUAAUAAAAGGAACCGUGAAUGGAUAGUAUGGACUCAUGUAUAUUAUCCAGAAAGUUGCAUGACCUUUUGUGGUACUCAGGUCACUAAAAAACGUGAGAUAAACAUCUAGGAUAAGAAAAGCAAAAAAGCAUAACCUAAUACGUAUUAUAUGAAUUGAAGGUGUCACUGAACGCUACCAACCUGCUUUGCCACUCUCCUUAUGAUUUCAUCAUUUGGUAAGGGCAUAUAAGGAUCUCCAGGCGUCAAAACGCGUCUGAAAGAUAAUAUGGUUAUAGUAAACAACAUGGAAUACAAAGACACUUGGCAAAAGGAAGUCAAUCAGAUUCCAUGCACAAAAAAUAACUAAUAAUGACGACGAUAAGAAAUUUUUCACACCGGAGCCUUCUCUAUAGUAGUCUUCUGGUGAAGUAAGUGCUAGAUCUGCAAAGCAAGAGAAAUCUGCAUCUGGAGUAUAUAAAAGGUUAUCUAACCCCACAGCUUGCCUCAAUUGCCUACAUGUUCAAAACAAGGAUCUAUUAAAAAAUGGAAAUUUCUUCAAUGCAUUAGUGAAGGGAAGUGAAGUGAAAGCGGAUUUCUUAAGCCUUCACAGAGCAUCUUGUGUUUGAAUUCCGGUAACCUCACAAAAGAUUAGAGCAUCACCUUGACCGUUCUAGGUCUUGCAACUCAGUAACCCAACCAUUGUAUCUAAGCUGCACUGUGACAACAUGAACUCCAACGAGCUCAUAAAUAUUGUUGAAAAAUUUCAUUUCCCUCCAGCCUCCACAAUGAUGAAAGCAAUCUUUUAAUUCCAGGGACAUCACAUGCUGCCAUUAAAUAAGAAGUUGAAUAAAGAAAAAUCGUUCAACUAAAUGAUUCAGGAGUUAAAAAAAAAUGUAGAAGUAGAAAUAAAUAACAAAGAUUUAACCAUAAACCUGCAACAUUUGCAUCAGCUUGCACAACCUUCUUGUCAGUGGCCUGAAAUAGAAUGAGAACUUGAAAGACAGUAAGCAUAAAAGAAUAAACUCAAAGAAGCUGCUUCUUACAGAUGAUAUAAACAACAAAUUUACAAAUGUCAGGUCAUUGCAUUAGCUCCAUGCCUCCAUCAGAGGGAAUAUUAGUAGAUGCAUAAAAAAAUAAUUAGAGCCACAUGUGAAACAAUUUACCUUAGACAUGGCAAGUGCUUUAACAAAUGUUUCCCCGUUAGCAGAUUUAUCAUAAAGUAUCUCUCUGCAUCCCCACCUAAGAUGGAACCUGUUCUCACAAGAACAGAUCCCAAGGUUGGGAAAAUCAGUUCAUCAUAGGAGAAAACAAAUAAGAUUAACAAAUCACUACAAUGGUGUGAACCCGUAAAUACAAACGUACCUGCCCCCUUUUUCUGUGAUAUAUUUUCUUAUGGGCCCACUCAAAUAAACAUCCGGAGAACCCGAGCAUCAGCAAUAGGGAAGCCUCGGUCUUAGUCGCAAAUAGUGCAAGUAUGGUAAGCGUACAAUGAGCACUGAUGUUAUCACAAUCAAUAAACCCAAGGGCAUACGCAACAGGAUCCCACAUUCUUUGGAUACUUGUCCGUGUACCACCCUUGGACAAAAACCAAUCAGAGAAGCUUAUGUGUAAGAAGAAAUGAAGUUUUAGGUAAAAUAACAAUUUGUAGGAACAGGGAUUGAAAUUCAACAGACAAGGAAAUAUGAUAUCAUUCUUACACUAUCCAAAUCUCAUAUGUCCUUCAAGGCUCCAUCAGGAUCAACAAGUGCCUUUACAACAGGACUCAGAGCAAGAGCAAGAGCAUUUCUUGCUUUAUCUUAAGUCUGCACUUGAGCAAUAUACCAGGCAAAGUACAUCAAAAGAGAAUCCAAAAGAGGCAAGAAGCUUCAACAUGAAAAAAGGAGUACUGCCUCAUCAUACUGCUUUGCAAUCACAGUGCAAAAGAUAACAUCAACAAAUCAAAAUCGACCAAAAAUCCAUAUGCACUACCUUAAGCUGAUUUGUAGACAAAAAUGUGCGAAUCCCAUGUAACGGAGCUCCAAUCAGAAACCGGAAAUCAAGUUCUGGAGUUGAAAAUCAAAAUCAUGAACCAAAUCAGAGUUAUUAUUGAAUUUGACAAUCCAUAAACCAAUAGAAGGUGAUGUCAAACCAUCAAGCAUAACUACCCACCAAGCAAAACUAUUAGUAGUUUUAAGUGAUCAAGAAAUAACCAUACCACCAAUUUCACCACCCUUAUUUACAAAUGUAUGAGUAUGAUCCUUCAUGAGUAAAUUUUUGUCCACACCUACCUGUCGAAAUGCUUGAAAAACUAUCAGAUCAUAAACACAGGCUCCAGUUAAAGAGGAUCUAUGAUUCUGAUCCAUCAUGUUAUUUGAACAACAUUUUCGAAUUUUGGUACAACCCUAAGCUAUAAUCAGUUGUAGUGGUACAACCCUAAGCUAUAAUCAGUUAUCAUCACUACAAAUGAUAUGGUCAAGAGGAAUGAUAGUUCUUGUUUCAAGUAUCUCAAAUCAUAAUUCUUUUGCAUGGCUUGUGUGCUUUUAUAAUCAUUCAAAUACGCAUAUCCACAACUAAGCAAGCUUUACCAUUUUCAUCAAUCGGAAGAGAUUAUUGUAGCAUCCAAAGAAAACGUGCAGGCCCAUUUCAAUAUGGUUUUCACGUUUAUCGACAAAUGAACCCACUUUACCACCAAUAAAAGACCUCGACUCAUAUAUAUCCACCUGGAAGAAAGGAAAAGUUAAAAAAAAAAAGUGUUGAGAAUUAUGUUUGAUUAAACUUAAUUCUUUCCCCAAGAAAUCUCCACACACUGAUCUUAUUGAAACAAGAAUGAAUACCCAAGAUAGUAAUCAGAAAUAAAGCAAGAGUGUUUAGACAGAAAUAGAGAUUAAAAGCAUAGAAUAAACCGGACACAAGGAGAAUUAUAGAGGUUCGGCUGGGUAGCCUACAUCCUCUUGAGAAACAGAAGCCAUAGCUUUUCUUUGAUGCUUAACAGAUUACAAGACUUAGAGAGUUUGUUACAAAGAACGUUGGUUAUCUAAACUUGGCCUUGGAGACCUUAUAUACAGCUCUCGAAGGAUCCAGAUAAGUGUGCUGCUUGCCAGCUCUUGUUCUGGGUUUGUUGAAACAAACCCAGAAAGUUCCCGCCAAGGCUAACCGUUGAUAACAGCCUUUUAAUUAGAAACGACACUUGCUGCUGCCGUUUAACUAAAGCUUGAAUCCGUAGAUGCUCGUGCAAUUCACGUGCAUUACUUAAGCUAUUCGUGUGACAGGAUAUGGUUGUCAUAUGCACAGCAUUAUCUGUCUGAUUGCUUUGUCGUUACUUGAUUAAUCCUAGACACGACAAAGUCAUCUUCUCCGUAAGCUCUUAAUUCAGGUUCACAAUUAACAAAAAGGAAUAAAAAUUCUUCUAAUUUCUUACACCAUCAACAAAAUCAGAAUAACACAUACUAGUUCAAAAUGAAAUAAAGUUUGUGAAUUGAAAUAAUGCCAACUCCUAAGAAAAAUUAUGACUGCUGAUAUUUUUUCCGAAACGCUGAUAAAAGCCUCUGCUAUUUACUUUGAAAAAAUUGAGGUUAGAAGCCAAUUUACUUGAAAUUUUUGAGUUUAGGCAAGAGGAUGAAUGGUAAAACUGAAACAUAUUAGGGAAAAAUGUACUUCAGAGGCCAAUGAAAGCAUUCAGAAGAUUGAAAACUAAAUGAGCAAAACCUCGUGGCCAUGAUCCAACAAUUCCACUGCUGUUGACAUGCCUGCAAGCCCAGCUCCAAUAAUAGCCACUUUCAGCUUUGGUCCUCUAUAAUGUUCCGGUUCUGGUAGAAACAAACCCUUGGGAGCUGCCAAGUAUACCAUCCAAUUAUCCACAGUGAUAAUGGAAAUAUAUAUUUGUUUAAAGGUACUAAAUUCCUAAACAUGAAAUGUAUCCAAAAAGAGACACAAAGCAGAAUUGAGUAAGCAUUUCAAUUCCCAAUAAAUUUCAAGAAUACAAAAUACUCGGUCUGUUCUUCAAUUCCUUUAAUAAAAUUUCCACUAGAGGCUACGCAAGCCACUCAAUAACACGCCAAAGCCAGAUUUUAAACGUUAUCUUUAUCUUUAACUCCAAUCCAUAAACAAUUCUGCCACAAAUUCAAUCCAAAAUUGUUCAACUGCACCGCCAAUUCUCCAUCAAUUCCCUCAAAAAUUCAUAAUUGCCAAACACUGCAAACCAAAAAGAGCUUCCAGCAAUAAACGCAUAAAAAUCCGCCAAACAACAUAAAACAAAAUACCUAGAAACCAGAAAAGCCAAAAGAUCAAUGCUUGGCAAACAAGCAAAUCAAAUAAAACAAAAAGAAGAGAAAUUUACCAUUAACGCUCAUAUCAGAAACAUUCGUGUCCAAAGAAGCCCGUACGUGGAAUCGUGGACCCUUCACUUGAACCCGAGACCAUUUAACGCCAGUAACUGAAGUUGCAGGAAGCAGAAGUGAAGAACCCAUAUUGCAAAUCCUGAGCUGAAAUCAAGAAAUUCAAUUGGAACUCAAUUCAACUCAACCCAGCUGAGCUCUCUUUUGCUUCAAUAACAAAGUGUUUUUCUUUUAUAUCAACAAAGAUUUGUCAACAUCAACAAAAUUUAACUAAGAAACUAAAAUAAUAAAAGAGGGCACCUUUGAGUUUAAGAAUCUAACAAGAUGCUAAGGAAGAGAGUUUUGUCAGGGAACUGUUUCGGAGAGGUUGGCCAAGUGCUUUUUUGUUUGUUUGUUUGUUUUUUUUUUUUUUUUUUUUUAUCAUUUUGGCCCUUUUCAUUAAUACACAACAUUAGUACUCGCGAAGAGCACAAAAUGUUGGUGACUUUGUCACUAACGAUAAUGGAUGGAGCGACCAAAGCAACCAACUAAAUUUUAAAGAGAGGGAAUGACAAGCAAUAUUUUAAUUGGGUGAUUAAUUAAUGUAUUAUCAAGCAAUUGCAUUUAUUUAUUUAAACGAGGGUUUGGCUACAAUGCCGUUGGCAUUGUAGCCGGCACCAUGCCGGGCUCUCAAAAAGAGAGCCCGGCUGUCUUUGGCUGCCAUCUGGCAGCCAAAGACUUGGUGCAGCCAGUUAACAAACCGGUUGCACCAUAUUUUUUUAAAAAAUAUAUUAAAAAUAUAAUAUAAAAAUAAAAAAAUUAAAUAAAAUGUCAAAAAUAAUUUUUUAUAAUAUAAUUAAUAGCAAAAGAUAAAGAAAUUAAAUAAUAUAAUACAAACCCUAUAAUACAAUAUAAUAUAAUUAAAUAAAAUGGCAAAAAAUAAAGAAAUUGAAAAUGAAAAAAAUAGUAUUUCAGGUUUAACGUCAGUUGUUGCAUGUCCGAUGUCUCGAUUGCAUGUUUGACGUAAGAUGUUGCAUGUGUUGAAUAAAGCCAAAAUAAAGAAUAUUCUCGAAUAUUCUCGUCCGUUUCAUGUUUGACGUCGAAGUUGCGAACUUUACGUGAUAAGUUGUAUAUUUCGCGUGAAGUGUUGUAAGUUUCAUGUUUAACGUCCGUUGUUGCAUGUCGGACGUCACGGUUGCAUGUUUGACGUAAGCUGUUGCAUGUCUUGAAUAAAGACAAAAUAAAGAAUAUUCCCGAAUAUUCUCGUCCGUUUCAUGUUUGACGUCGAAGUUGCGAACUUUACGUGAUAAGUUGCAUAUUUCGCGUGAAGUGUUGCAAGUUUCAUAUUUAACGUCAGUUGUUGCAUGUUCGACGGUUGGAUUUCAUGUUUGACAUACGAUGUUGCAUGUUUUGAAUAAAACCAAAAUAAAGAAUAUUCCCAAAUAUUCUCGUCCGUUUCAUGUUUGACUUCAAAGUUGCAAACUUUACGUGAUAAGUUGCAUAUUUCACGUGCAGUGUUACAGGUUGCAUGUUUAACGUCCGUUGUUGCAUGUCGAACGUCACGGUUGCAUGUUUGACGUAAGCUGUUGCAUGUCUUGAAUAAAGCCAAAAUAAAGAAUAUUCCCGAAUAUUCUCGUCUGUUUCAUGUUUGAUGUCGAAGUUGCGAACUUUACGUGAUAAGUUGCAUAUUUCUCGUGAAGUGUUGCAAGUUUCAUAUUUAACGUUAGUUGUUGCAUGUUCGACGGUCGGAUUUCAUGUUUGAUGUAAGCUGUUGCAUGUCUUGAAUAAAGUCAAAAUAAAGAAUAUUCUCGAAUAUUCUCGUCUGUUUCAUGUUUGACGUCGAAGUUGCAAACUUUACGUGAUAAGUUGCAUAUUUCACGUGCAGUGUUGCAGGUUGCAUGUUUAACGUCCGUUAUUGCAUGUCGGACGUCCUGCUUGCAUGUUUGACGUUCGAUGUUGCAUGUUUUGGAUAAAGCCAAAAUAAAGAAUAUUCUCGAAUAUUCUCGUCCGUUUCAUGUUUGACGUCGAAGUUGCAAACUUUACGUAAUAAGUUGCAUAUUUCGCGUGAAGUGUUGCAAGUUUCAUAUUUAACGUCAGUUGUUGUAUGUUCGACGGUUGGAUUUCAUGUUUGACGUAAGCUGUUGCAUGUCUUGAAUAAAGCCAAAAUAAAGAAUAUUCUCGAAUAUUCUCAUCCGUUUCAUGUUUGACGUCGAAGUUGCAAACUUUACGUGAUAAGUUGCAUAUUUCACGUGCAGUGUUGCAGGUUGCAUGUUUAACGUCCGUUGUUGCAUGUCGGACGUCACGGUUGCAUGUUUGACGUAAGCUAUUGCAUGUCUUGAAUAAAGCCAAAAUAAAGAAUAUUCCCGAAUAUUCUCGUCUGUUUCAUAUUUGACGUCGAAGUUGCGAACUUUACGUGAUAAGUUGCAUAUUUCGCGUGAAGUGUUGCAAGUUUUAUAUUUAACGUAAGUUGUUGCAUGUUCGACGGUUGGAUUUCAUGUUUGACAUAUGAUGUUGCAUGUUUUGAAUAAAGCCAAAAUAAAGAAUAUUCCCGAAUAUUCUCGUCCGUUUCAUGUUUGACGUCAAAGUUGCAUAAUUUACGUGAUAAAUUGCAUAUUUAACGUGACUUGUUGCGGGUUUCAUGUUUUACGUCUAUUGUUGCAUGUUGGACGUCACGGUUGCAUGUUUGACAUUAGAUGUUGCAUGUCUUGAAUCAAGCCAAAAUAAAGAAUAUUUCCGAAUAUUCUCGCUUGUUUUAUAUUUGACAUCAAAGUUGCAUACUUUACGUGAUAGGUUGCAUGUUUGACGUAAAAUAUUGUAGGGUAGGUUUAUAUAAAAUAACUAAUUAUAAAAUGAGAGUGCAUUUCAAAAUUCCUUGACAAAUCAAGUGAUAAUUUAUAACUAAACUUAUUUUUUUCAAAUUUUUUAUUAUUAAUUAAGUUUAAUUAAGCCAAUCUAUUAAGAAACAAAUGAAAAUAUAUUAAAAUUAAAUUAAAUGCAACUUUUACCCAAUAAAUAUAUUUAGGAAUAUAUCUAAUUAAAUUGGUACACAAAUUACAAAUGUUUUCAAGAAAUUACACACAUAAGUUUAAUAGUCUAACUAUUUUUUAUAUGAUUGAUAAAAUGAUGGCUUUGGAAAGAACUUGUGAUUUGAAAAGAAAAAUCUAGUUAAUUAUAAUAAAAUUACAUAUCUAAUCCAACCUUUUUUCCUUAUUUUAGUCAGAUAAUAGUUUUGAAAAUAAUUUGAUAAUUCAAGUGAUAAUGUCUAUUCUUAUUUGUUGUAUAAUAUUUUUUUAGGUGCAUUUCAUUUUAUUUUUAUUUUUUUAGAGAAUCUAAUCAUGGUGGAUAUUUUAAAUUACUAAGUCAUGAAAAUUUUGAAUUCAAUUGAAAUUUACAAUCUUUUAUGAAUGAAAAUAUACAGCAAGACAAAAAAAUUGAGAGAUAAAAAGAAAAUGUGGUAGAAAGAAAAGGCAACAUCAAUAUGAUCAUUUUCUAAGAAAAAUUAAGGCAAAAUCUUCCAAGUAAUAUGGUCAAUUUCAAUAAAAUUACAACUUACUAGAGUAAAUCCAUCUACUAAACAUCCAAAGUUCACAACAUAAUAUUUGAAUAUCACCAAUAACAUCCCCAAUCCUAAAGAUUGCAACAAAUUCAUGUAACAUUUGAGGGUAUUGUUUGGGGGUAAAAAUAACGUGACCAAGUACACAUAAGUAGAACGUGCACCCCUCAGUCGGCCUAAGGCGACUCCUUGAGGAAAGUCUUCCCCGAUGAGUUGAGCAUUGGAGGGUUUAUGUUAGAAAAAUCUCCGACAUCCCCUAACUAGUUGUUAUGAACGCAAGCAUCCUUGGAGAAAGAGCUUGAGGUCCCAAGAGCCUAUUCGAUAAGAAAGAUAGAAGUACAAACCGACUCCCCAACAACUACUAAUUUAAGUGUUGGCGUGGUUGUCUGGUCGCUUCACAGCUCGACGAGAAUUCAACAUCAACAAAUAUUUUAGAACCUAGUGUAUCUUCAAUCAUUUUGGAUUAAAUUCUAUGACACUUUUUUCUUUUCUUCUCUUUUUUUGUGAAAACAAAUUUUAGUACACUUAUUUUAAAAGAAAUUUGUUAAUGAAAAACAAAAUAAUGACAAUGAAGAGCACUCAUUUAUAAAAAUAAGCUACAAAUAGAAAAACAAAAUUCAUAUAAGUAGAAUCUCCCAAAAACUAAAAGCAUUGUCGAAUUGAGUUACAAACUAAUAAUAAUUUCAUCAAAGUUUGUAAACCAAAGAUUGUCCUAAUAUCAAAAAGUUUCCAAUAAAACACUCCAACUGAAUUCUCCCCUGGAAAUAAUUAAAAUUUUCAAGUUAGUCAAUAAGAAAAAACAGCCAUCAAUCAUAAUAAGAAGCAACAGCAAAUUACACUAAAAAAAUGGCAGAAAAAAGCACCAAAACAACAAAUAUAAACAAGAAACAACAAUUAAAAAAAACCCAAAAAUGGCAUAAAAAGAUGCUCAAAGCAGCAAUAAAUUUAUAAAAAAUACCCUAAAAUAGCAGUGAAAAGUGCUUUAAAAAGCAUUAAAAAAUCCAAAAACAAUAGUAAACAUGCCUAGAAACAGUAGAAAAAACCCCCUAAAAUAGCAAGAAAACUGCCUAAAACUAGAAAAAAAAUCUAACAGCAAAAUCUUCCAUUGCCAGAUAAAGCUACGAAAGAAAAGAAAUAAAAUUCAUAAAGAGUCAAAGCUAACAUACUGACCACUUGCUAGAAAUUAAGCUAUAAAUCCCAAAUUUUUACACAAAUUAGUAUCUGAAACAAGAUUGGUUUGAUAUAUGAUAGUCAAGUAAAAUACCUAUAAAGUAGUACAAAUUCAGCAAACCUAAUGGCUUCACUCCACUGAUUUUCUUAAGACUCCAGUGAUGAGAAGCUGCCAACAGAAUGAUAAAUUGAGGUUUGACAGGAAGCACACAAACUAAACAAGAUACAUAACAACUUUGUUAUCCAUGUUACACCCUAGAACCAUUUCUAGGAAUAUUUGUUAGAAUAGCCACCAUAACAGUUGAUGAGCAACAUAAAACAGAGACAACAACAAAACCAGCAACCUGCAAAGUGCCAAUUCUUCCAUAAUUAAAUCAGAUACACAAUAGAAAUAAUUUACUAUUAAAAUCCCAAAUUCAUUUUAUCUUCUUCCUGCAUUUUCUCAUCAAUCAAACAUAAAAGAGAGCUCCUAUCGACACAUGCAAACAGCACCCACCAUCUUGUCGCAUUCAAACACAACCCAAGAUCACAAAAGUUAAUUUUCUAGAUUUAGUUAACCAAAGAAAAUAUACCAUCAACUGGAUCACCUUAUAAAUCAAAUACAAUUCCACAAUAUUACCAACCUCCCAAAAAAAAAAGGCACAAACUUUAAAAUGAAAACAACAACACCAUGAAAAAUAAGCAAAAGUGGGUAUUUAAAUCAAACAUGAUAGAAUGCAACAAAAGCAAAAAAGCUUUCGAUAGAAGCCAAAGCUAGAUGGGGUACAAGCAAGCUAGGAGGUACCAAUUAAAGAUGCUUCAUUCAAGAACAGAAAAGCUACCAGAAUGAUAAAAGUAGAAAAAAUGAAACAAUAAACAGAAAAUUGGGUGAAAGCUGCAACAAUAGUUUCAAUCACUUAACAGUACCAGCAAACUUAUAGUAAACUUUAAGAACUAGAUGUUUAAGCCACAGAUAAUGGGGACGUACCCAUGAGGAUAAAGACACAAGCGUGAGACCAGUAAAGCCGCCCAUCCUUAACUUGUGCAGGAAACAAAGUCGAAUGAAAAAGGAGGCAACGACGGUAGCGACGAAAACAGCUGGAUCGGAAGCGAACAGCUCAAGAUGAAAGCAACAAGUUAAUGGAUUGGAUUGUGUGCGCGAGAUGUGGCUUCGAUUUUAUUUGAUUAGUCAAGAAAUCGAAGAGAGAAAUUUGAGAGAAAUUUGUGAUUUCUGAGAGAGAGGCAAGAAAUUGAGAGAGAUUGGGCACGGUUGAAACACCUAAAUUAUAAAAAUAUAAAUUUUGCAGCCUUUGGGAACUGGUUGCUUCGGUUGCCCUUUUUUUGUUUUUUUUUUUAUUUCUUUUCAAUGUCAGCCGUUGGAUUCAUUUUACUUGAAUCCAACGACUGCAUUUACAAGCCAGCACAAUGCCGGGCCUCAAUGCCCGGCAUUGUAGCUUUAGCCUUUAAACGAUGUCCUUAUCGUUGGACAAGGUUGAGGAAAGACAGCGAUGUUGUGUUGUCACGUAUUUUUGGGCCGACCGUUUCCAGUUCCGGCUUAAAUGAGGCUUUUGUAUUUUUGUGCCCUUUUUUUUACUGAGUAUUUUGUCCUAAAUUACACCAAAGAAAAUGUGGACUUUAGAAUGUGACAGUAUUGAUAUCUAAGUUCAUAAUAUCAUGAUAAAACAAAUAAAUGAAUAGAAAUGUAAAUAAAUUUGGUUAAAAUUUAAUGGCUUCGAAUUCGGUAUGUUAUCAAACAAAUCAUACUCUUAGGAUUUGGAUUCAAUUCAUUUAUUAAUUGGAUGUCUAUUUAAUUCGUUUAUUAUACAAAAUUAAAUGAAUUGAAUUGAAUUUAGAUUCAUUUACAAUUUGUUUAAUUUAUUUAUGUAAAAUUAAUAAUAAAUCAAUCAAAUGUGGAUUUGUUUAAAAAAUAAUAAUAAUUAAUAACAAAAAUCAAGCAAAGUAAAAUAGAAAAAAAAUCAUAAAAUUAACAACCUACAAAAUAAAAACGAAUUAGUGACCGCAAACUUGAAUUCAAUUCAUUUAUUUAACGAAUUGAAUUGAAUUCACUUAUUUGUUAAUGAAUCAAUUUUUUUUUUAAAAUUCAAACCUAUUUAACUUGAAUCAAAUAAACACAUCCUAAUCUAAAUUGUCACCUCUAAAUAUGAUGGACCUAUUUAAAAUAUAUGAAUACCAAAAUGUGUGGGCUAAAAAGUGGUUUACCAUGCAACAAUACAAAGUUUAAGCUCUCUUUUCUUAUGUCAUCCAAGGCAUUGCCUAGAUCGCCAAACACUAGAGUUCAAGUCUACAAUAAAGAAUCGAAAUUUUCCUUUGUAUAUGUUCGUAAGUAUUUAGCAUAGAUUUUUUAGUUAUACUUGAUAGAUCCCCUACCAUAUUUGCUAUAAUAUUUCUCUUCUAUUUAAAAGUAAAUAAUGCAUAAUAACGGAUUUGUAAAGAAAUGAAAUUUCCAGUAAUUAUCUGAAAAAAAAAAGAUGGAUUAAGCGAAAGAAGUUAAUAUAGAGUAAGUCGAGUACUUGACAAUUAAAGUAAUUUUACUCGAGGUUGAGUAAGGAUAGUAGGAUACUUUCCCAAGUUUUCCGAGGACAUUCAUGUAACAUUGGACUAUUGACUAUAGUUAGAGAGAAGUCCUAGGAUGUAAGUGAUGAUGAUAGAUUCACAAUUCUUUUGAAGAAAAUAUUUUAUAUAAACUUAAUUAUAUGGUAUAAAAUGAUUGGCCUUAAUAAAAUUAAAAAAUAAUAAAAAUAAUACACGCCUGGGUCAUGCAAUAUUUUCAACCAACUAAUUUACACGCAAAAUUAAACCUUAUGAGUGAGAACAUUAUGGUACAUUUAUUUGCUAGCAAAAACUCCGCAAAAAUUUUCCGAAGUGUGAAAAUGAACACUUUUAACAAUGGCACAAAAUUCCCACCCCCCAUGAUUAAUUCUCUUAUCUGGAAUAUUAGGGGGCUUCCCCUGCGGAAAUUAGUUCGAUUACAUCGAUUGUCUUUGAUUUGUGUGUUGGAGCCAUUUAUUUCCGUUGAUCGUUUAGAGGCUCUUCGGGUGCGACUUGGGAUGGAUCAUGCUUUAUCUUCCCAAUCUGGGAAGAUUUGGGUUUUCUGGUCCGCACCUUUCUCGGUGGAGCUUUUGCAUGACAUGGGCAAGGUGAUUUAUUAUCGGGUUAGUCACUCUUUUUUUCCUGAUCCUGUGUAAGUUUCAUAUGUGUACUCUAGUUGUUAUAUGGAUGUGCGAGAGAAUUUAUGGGAUGCUCUUAAGACCUUUGUGGAUAGUCAUGACCUACCUUGAAUCGUGGGGGGAGAUUUUAAUAUGAUUCAGGCGGUCUCGGAGAUUUCUGGCUGGCAUCUACAGACUCGGGGAGCUAUUGAUGCCUUUAAUUUAGCGUUGCUUGAUUGUGGGUAGGAGGAUGCUAGCUUUGUUGGCAGUCCUUUUACUUGGACUAAUGGGCGCCCAUGGAGGCAGCUUGAUAGGGUGGUCUGCAACACUCACUAGUAUGCUUUCUUCUCAGUAUUUCGGGUCUCUCAUCUGAAUCGUACUGCCUCAUAUCAUUCUCCUUUGCUUUUUUUUUGGUGAUCGGGACGCUGUUAAAGGACCUUUACGGUUUAAAUUUCUUCAUGUGUGGCUCAUGCAUCCAGGUUUUCUUGAUACUGUGCGGCAGUCUUGGGGUGCUCCGGUGGUUGGUUUUGGAAUGAGAGCCUUUCAACAAAAACUCACUCGGUUAAAGUUCUGCCCAAAAGCUUGGAACAAAAAUGUCUUUGGUAACGUUUUUUAUCGGGUCCAACAAGCAGAGGAGGACGUGGCUCAGAAGGAGAGAUUGUAUGAUAUUUCUGGCUCCGCCGAUUACAGAGCUAAUUUUUCUGAGGCCAGGGCCUGGUUGCAGCAUGCUUUGCUUCGUGAGGAGAUUUUUUUUUGCGUCAGCAGUCCUGUGUUCGAUGGGUUCGAGAGGGCAAUACUAAUACCUAUUUUUUCCAUGCGAUGAUCCGGAAAAAGCGCCAGUUGUUUUAUAUUCACAGGAUUCGAGUUGAUUGUUUCUCAGAGUGGAUUUCUGAGCCCUCCGCCAUUGUAGAUUAUGAUGUCGAUUAUUUUCAAGAUUUAUUAACGGGAGAUGCCAGUCAAUUUCAGCAGACGGACUUCGAAGUUAUUCCAUCUCUUGUGUCUGUAGAGGAUGAUGUAGAGUUAUGUAGAGAGCCGUAUAUGGAUGAGAUUAGACAUGCGGUAUUUUUUAUUGAUCCAGAUAGUGCUCCUGGACCGGAUGGUUUUUGUAGCAGAUUCUAUCAGUCGUGUUGGGACAUCAUUUGCCAUGACUUGUUAAAUGUUGUCCUCGAUUAUUUUAGAGGUUCGGCAUGCCCAGAGGUUUCCAAAGUACUUUAUUGGUCUUUCUGCCUAAGAAGGCUUCUCCGGCUUCUUGGGCUGAUUUCCGUCCAAUUAGUCUUUGUAAUGUGAGCAACAAGGUCCUUACUAAGUUGCUUGUCCCAUCUCCUGCCUCACAUUAUUUCUCCUACUUAGAGUGGUUUUAUUCCUGGUCGAGUGAUUCAUGAUAACAUGCUCCUGGCUCAGGAGUUCGUUCACGAUCUCAAUCGCCAUACUCGAGGGAACAAUGUGGUUCUGAAAUUAGAUAUGGCGCAGGCAUACGACGUAUGUCAUGGCCUUUUAUUAUUAAGAUGAUUCACUGUUUUAAGUUCUCGAAGCGUUGGAUUGCUUUGAUUUGGCGAGCGAUUUACGGUCCUUAGUUUUCAGUGCUUAUGAACGGGGUCAGUAACAUAUAUUUCCAGUCCCAGAGUGGUCUUUAGCAGGGUGAUCCCCUUUCCCUUUGCUUAUUUAUUAUUGCUGCAGAAUUUUUAUCUCCAGGCUUAGAUCAUUUGUAUUCUCAAUAUCCCUCUGUUCGGUAUUGUUAUACUGCACCUACUUCUAUCUCCCACUUGAGUUUUGCGGAUGGUAUUGUUAUUUUUGCAAAUGAGAGCCGAUCUAACUUACAGUGGCUUGUGGAUUUCUUACACCAUUAUAAGGCGAUCUCAGGGCAGUUGAUUAGCGAGGACAAGAGUAACUUCUACAUUGGGAAGCCAGCUUCGACCUCCCGCCAGGCCAUUGUUCACUCUGUGCUUUCAGUGACGUCAGCUUCCGUUUACUUAUCUUGGGUGCCUGAUCUUUACAGGGCACCUCAAGAUCUCCUAUUUUGAUGACAUGGUCCGGAAGGUCAAGGAUAAGAUUUCUGGCUGGGCUAACCGUCUGCUUUCCUUUGGUGGGAAUCUCGUCCUCAUUCGCCAUGUGUUAUCCUCUAUGGCCCUGCACUUAUUUCACGUCCUCCGUCCUUUUAUAACGGUAGUUUAACGCCUAGAGCGAUUAUUCACCCGAUUCCUAUGCGGUGAUUUUGAGGGAAGACACCGGAUCCACUAGUGUAGAUGGCCAAAGGUUUAUUAUCCAGUUGACGAGGGUGGCCUCGAUAUACGAUCUUUUGAUGAUAUGGCGGAGGCUUUUGAGAUUAAACUUUGGUGGCGGUUUUGUUAGCAGAGUUCCUAUAUGAAGUCUAAGUAUUGCAGAUCUACGCAACCAAGCCUUAUCCAGUUUCGCUAUCUUGCCUCUCCUUUAUGGAGACACCUUUAUAAGAUUCGUUGCACGACUAAACCUCAUGUGCGUUGGCUCGUUAGGAGUGGAGAUUGUAGCUUCUGAUAUGAUUGUUGGCUGAGUUCUUGCCCUUUAUUUUUUUAUAACCCUACAACGGCUUUGUCGGUGUCGGUCUAGUUCUUUUGGCAGGGUACAAUCUGGGACAAAGGCAAACUAAAGGAUGUCUUGCCUUCAUCUAUUGUUGAGCAGAUCCUAUUAGUGCCUAUUUCUAGUGGGAAUCCAGACCUGAUUCGUUGGGACCUUGCCCCCGAUGGCACGUUUAACUUGCGGACUGCUUGGGAGCUUGUACGGUGCUCGAGGCCGAGGGAUGAGCUUUUCUCGAUGAUUUGGUAGAGGCAUAUCCUGUCACGAGUUUCCUUUUUUCUCUGGCAGCUACUUCACGGAUUCCUAGCUACUGAUGAUGCCUUAUACUUGAGGGGUUUCUACAUGGUUUCUCGAUGUAUUUGUCAGCGGGUUGCUGAGACUUCUCGGCAACUUUUUAUGGAUUGCCCGCGGGCCCAUCAUAUUUGGGUUCAUUACUAGCGGAUCAUGGGGAUGCGUGAGCUUUAUUUUCUGUCUCCCCGUACUUUGCUUUUAUUUUGGAAACAUUGUGCCCCUUCUCAGAAUCAUCAUCGGGUCCUUCUGCCUUACUUCAUUUUGUGGCAAAUUUGGAAGGCCCUAAAUGCUUUCUGGUUUCAUUCACAAUCUUUCUCCACUGAUGCGGUUAUCUUUCAGGUCGACUCUGAUCUCAGGCUUGCUAGUUCUGCUUUUGGAUUCAAGCCUCCCCAACUGAGGGGAGUCUUGGGUUCUCGUAUUGCGGAGAGCUUGCGAGUGACGGCUCCCCGUAGGAGGUCGAUUCGUCUAGUUGCUUGGAUGAGGCCAACUUCAGGGGUGGCUAAGCUGACUGUGGAUGGUUGCUCUAGGGGCAACCUUGGGAUGGCUGCUUCCGGGGGUAUUCUUCGGGAUCACCGGGGCGUGGUUUUAACGGCUUUUGGAUCCUUUUUGGUUUACAAGCCGAUCUUAUAUGCUGAGCUCAUGGUGGUGUGCGAGGGUUUGGAGCUUGCCAUUCAGCUUGGGUACUCAGUGCUCGAGGUUGAGUCAGACUCGGCUAUAGUGAUGUCAUGGAUUCACACCUCAGGGUCCUGUUCGAUGGGAAUGUUUUUAUUCUCUGCGCUGGGUGUGCCGUCUGGUAACGUCAUUCCCCAUUCAGGUGAGACAUGUUCUUCGCGAGGCUACUUAUGCUGCUGAUGUUCUAGCCAACUGGGCACGCACUCAUCGGACUAGCUGAUGUUUCUUAUCUCCUCGAGAGCUUCCCAAAGGCUUAUCUGGUAUUCUUUACUUAGAUGCCCACGCAAUCCCCCAUGUCAAACGUUAGGAUUUUAUCUUUUUCUUAUAUCUCAUUUUCUCUAGGAGGUUUUGGCUUAUAUCCCCUCCUUUGUAUCUAAUUCAUUUUCAGAUUUAUAUUAUAGGUAAGGGUUCCGUCUAACCCCACCACUCUGGUGGUUUAAAAAAAAAAAAAAACAAUGGCACAAAAUGCCUGUGAUAAUGAAACAAUGUGCCAUCCUUAAACUAAUAUCAUUACAAACUACAAGUGAAAGUUUUUGGAAAACAUGUGAUAAGUUUUUCUCGGAAUUUGUUUUCUUCUUUGUUUUGAUUUAAGUGUAAAAUUUUAAAAUCCGUAACAAAACAAAAAUUUACAUGGGUUGGGUGCACCUUGUGGUUCGUGCAUGCUUUCGUCUAAUAGUAUUUGAUACAUACAUAUUCAUUUUAAAAUUGACGAAUCGUAAUAAAAAAAUUUAUAUAUAAUAAUUGAAUGAGAUCCAUGGUUCACAAUUGCAAAUUAACGGUUGGUUUUAUAAUAAAAAUCUUUAUGUACAUACCAAAUUAAAAAAAGUUAUAAGUGAAUUAAGAUUUUCAAAAUUUGACUCGUAUUAUAUUGUGUACGUCAAUAUAAUAUAAAUUUGUUAUAUAUAUAUAUAUAUAUAUAUAUAUAUAAUCCAGUGCUUUGAAAAACUUUAUACUUGUUUGAACAGUUUUUUUGCUUUCUAUUUAUAUACGGUAUCAUUUAUGUUUACAUAAAUUUUCAUAUGUACCCAAAUUAAGCAUUAAAUACACAAACACUUUGUUAGGGCACAUGUAUAAUUAAUCUUAAUAAUUCUUAUACAAUCCUCUAUUUAACACCAGCAACGUCACCCAUUAUAAUUUAUCACUAAAUAUUGUAAAACUAUUGGUUUUCACGAAUAACUAAUAAAAAUUAUUUUUUUUAAAAGAAAAAUACUGCGAUUCCUUUCACUGUUGUAGUAGUAUAGUUAUCGUGGACGAUGAAUUUCUAGUAUUGUACAAUGAUAUUUAUGUUGAAUAUAACGCUUCAAUGAAUUUUAUUACUAUAUACUACAAUACUCAACCAUCUUCAUUAAAAAAAAAAAAAUUGCAUGAUUAGAAUGAUUAAAGUUCAUCUAAUGACGAGUUUCAUCAUUGACUGUGUCCAAACACAGCAGCAAUCCAGAAUACAUUUAACACGAGAGGCGCACACAAACAUGCAUGAUGAAUCUUCCACCAUUAAACCUGAAAUCAUAAAAUGAAAGAAACAAGAUGAGUGUUGUUUGUCUGAAAGCCGAUUCGAGAAAAAAUAAUAAUAAUAAUAGACCUUUGUUAAUAAUUAAUACUAGUUGUCACUACCUUGUGCAUCUUCCUCCUCUGUAUCAUCGUCCUCUUCCAAUCACACCGCAAGACCAGUAUAUCUCGAGAAUCUUUACUGCCUUCUCACAGAUCCCAUUGCUGUCAUGUCUUUUGAGAUCUUCAAUCUUUUUGAAUCCCUCAGCCGCCUCCACCAACCGUGCAUAAUGAUUAAAAUAUCUAUUGGCGGUACCCGUAUUCAUUUCAGCUUCCCCGACCUUCAAAAUGUUCUCUAAUCCUUUUAAGCAAAUAGUGACGAUCUCUGGAUCAGCGUAUAGAAGGAGAUCACACAAUGGUUUUAUACACCCCUUUCUCACGAGGUACUUGAUUUGCUCAUGAGUACCACCUGAGAUGGCAUUUGAAAUUGCCCGAGCGGCCUCCUUCUUUGUAAAAAAUUCAGCAUUUUGAAGCAGAUCGACAAGGGGACCAAUUACGCCAGCAUCAAUUACCACCUGAAUCUGUUCCCUGUUACCAGCUGUAAUAUUUGAAAUAGUCCUGCAUGCCUCUUUCGCAAUGCCUGUACACUGAGUCAGGAAACCAUCUCCCUUCACAAUAUAUCUGACAGUCCACAGGGGAGGAGUGAGCCCGAAGGGGAAGGGUAAUGGAUGAAGAAGGAGCUUAACAAGUCGUGGACAGACAUCUGCCUCGAUCACAGCUUGAAUUUUGUCAUUCGUACCAUCAGAUAGACAGGAUAGUGCCUCGCAGGCAUAUCUCAAGACAUCGUUGUCAUUUGAAUGAACAAGUUGUGCAAGCGCAGGAAGAGCUGGCCUCACCUGAUCAAAUGGUGGCUCUGGCUUGCCCUGGCAAAAACGAGACAAUGUCUUUGUGGCAUUUCUUAGCAUUGAAGGCUUAGCAUGCUUAUUUAACUGUGCCAGCAACGGAAUCAAAGCUUUUUCACUGAGCACAAGAUCACGGUCUCUAGGUGAGCUACGAGCAAUAUUUCCCAGUGCCCAAACAGCCUUCUCUCGGACAUCAUCACUUGGAGAAGAAAGUAGCUUCACAAAUAUUGGAACAGCACCGCCGUCGAUCACCACAUUAGUAUUCUCAGAAGCAAUGUUUGUAAGAGCCCGAGCAGCUUCCAACUGAAGCUGCGGAUUGUCUUCCCUAGUAAGAAACUCAACAAAGCGCGCGACAACGCCAGAUUGUAUGACUUUCUCACUUGGUGGUAGGAGCAGUUUUCGGAACCAAGUAGUUGCUUCCAGCUGCAAGCCACUGUCAUCUGACCAAACCCCAGCAAGCAUCCCAGGUAAACUCACCAACUUAUUUUAGGAGCAGGAGCAGGAGGAGGAAAUUAAGUUAGGGAUUUAGAGUGAGAGUGAAGGUGGAGAAAAAGCAAGAGAGGGAAAAAGCUUAUUGUUGAGAAAUAUGUACCUUUUGUAUGGUUGUGUUAAGGUCGUCCUUCCAAGCCCAACAUGCUUCACCAUGCCGCUCCACUUUGUGUAAUUUGGGUGUACUUAAUUUUCCUUCAGAGAAAAUCUUCAUAUCGGGGCAAUCAUCCACCACUAAUCUUUCUAAAGAUGGGAACUUGAAAGCACAAUUGCCAGAGCAGAAGCUUGUCAGGCGUUCUAAGUCUACAAGCUUCAACUCCUUCAAUUCUCUGAAAGUAAUAACCUCAUCUUUUGCUACAACAUCAUCCCCCUGUACUAUUUCUGUUAUCCUAUCGCAUGAUUUUAUCUUCAUAUAUCUAAGUCGCACCAGAGUCUUUGCAAUUAAGGAUGUUAAUACGAUUUUCAAGUUGUUGCAACGCGAUACCACCAUAUUUGUAAGAUUCUGAAAGGAUGUCGACGGUGGCACUAGAUUGACUAAAUGGUCACACCCCUUUACACGUAGAAUAACCAAGUUGUUCGUAACAGAGGACUCCCUUAUCAAAAUGUGCUCCAGAUGAAAUGCUUCUCUUAUUUCUACCCACAUCCCAUUUUCAACCUUCUCAUACGGCAACGAGGCACUAUAUCCUCCUAUUUGGAGGACUUUCAUUGUGUGAAGUCUCUGGAGGAAGUCACCAAGUGAUAAAAUCGUCCGCUCAUCACCCAAGUGAUAUUUAUUUGUCACUACGUGCUUUGCAUCAACUUUCAACUUUUCCAAAUUAGGGAAUACCUGGGAGAUCGAUCACAACCCCAAAAAAAAGAAAAAAAAGAAAUACAAGAUGAAUCAAUUGAUAAGAAAUAUAAGUUACCACUAAUUUAUACAAUAUAUUUUAUUCAAUAAAUCUUAACCUUUAAAAAAAAUAGUAAUAAUAGUAUGCCUAACAUCUAGAAUAAUUAUGAAUGAAUACUAUACACUAAUCCGUAAGAGAGUUACGUUGCUGACAAUUUGAGUUUUAGUAAGAAACCAAGCGAUGAAGGCAAAGGCAAUAUAACUCUAAACUCUAUGAUAUAAACUCUCACAGUGCAUACAUAAGAAUUGAAAAAUUGAUUAUAAAAUUCUUGUACCUACCCUUUCCGUGAAGAUACUAGUAGUUCUCACCAUGAAUUCAGGACAUUUAGAUAUCCGUAAUUCUUUCAAGGAUGGAAAUUCAAGAAUAUCAAGAUCUCCAGUGCAGAAGCUUGUGAACUUUUCAAGAUCAGACAUCUUCAGAUAUUGCAACUGAGGAAACAUUACAAUAUUUUUCUUCCUUUCUUCUUGGUUGUCCAUAACUAUUAACUCUUCCAAGACAGGACAUCCGACUAUCUCAAUGCAUUGGAGUUGAACAAAGCUACUAACGGUAGAAGAUGAAAAUAGACAUCUUAAAUUCAUACAGCAGGACAGGGUCAAGCGCGUUAAAUUCUGAAUACCACAAGACAUGACUGCAACUUGGUUUUGCCAAAUCCUUUCAACAUUUAUUGAAAGCAAAUGCAACUUCUCUAACUCUGGUAACCGAACCUGCUCGAUCAAAAAAUUAACUCGUUAAUUACAAGCAACAAUGAUUUCUGUUGAUGGACAAAUCAAUAAAAUUACUCUUUCUCUGGUUAUAGUUCUUUUCAGUUUUUCAUACAAACAACCGUUAAUCAAGUUUUCCAAAUUAUUCCUUACUAAAUGUAUAGAUUUAGACGGCGGCUAAUAUAAUUCAUAUUGCAAAUAUUCUUUGAUUGUAACGAAUUUUGUAAUAUUAAAUUUUGGUUGAUUCGCAAUAGGACCUACUAUCCAGCGGGAGCAGUUCCUUGGGAUUUAACUACUGGCACCUCGAUUAUAUAAAAAUUUGGAAUAUUUUCAAAGGAAAUCACAUAAUUUCCCCUUGCAAAUAGUAAUUAUCAUUAAUUGCCACGGGUUGACAUAUAAUUCUAAGAAAUUAGGCGAGAAGAGUCUCAUCAACAAUCAAUCAGCAGAUAUCACGUUUGGCAGAUCAUCAUGAUUUCCUCAUAUGCUAGAGAAUCAACGUGAUUUCCGCUCAUGCAGGAGCAGGAGUGGACACAUUAUCUUAGAGCAUCCCUCACUGAGAUCUUUUAAAAAAUUUAUAUUAUAAAGUGAACAACAUAUUAAGUAUAGAUUUAGACGGCGGCUAAUAUAAUUUAUAUGUAUUCUAAUGACGUAUAUUAAAGAAAAUGACUAACCAUAAUUUCAAUCAACUUAUUAGUCUAUAUAUAUAUAUAUAAUAUAUAAUAUAUUCAGUGAUUACAACAUAUUUAGUAUUCCAUAACAUGAAGUUUAUAAUAAUAAUUAUUAUUAAUUCACUUAUUGUGUCAAGAACAUUUUCUUUCUCUAAGAAUGAAUUUGUUACACCCUACUAUACUACGGAUGAAAAAUUUAGAAUCAUUGUGAAAUAUAAUUAUUAAUCACUCUUUGCCAUAUUUGCGACCAAAGAAGAAUAUAACAAAGAAAAGAAACAAAAAUUAUAGAGAAUUAAUGAGACCAUUGACGUAUUAAUAACUGACCUUCCCAGUGAAAAGCGUAUUAGAAAUUUGGAUAUUGUCCUCCAAAAUGAUUUCAUGUGACUGCAAAUCAUUAGCUGAUUCCUGUUGUCUCUGUUGACAUUGAGUGUAAACUUAAUUGUGAGCACAAUCUUAAUGCAUAGAUACAAGAUCUCUAAAAAUUAGUAUAAUAAACUUAGCACAAAAUCUAAAUUUGAUAUUUCGGAUUCCAUGAUUAAGAUUUUUUAAAUAAAAAUUUAAUAUAGUUAAUUUAAAAAUAAAAAUUAAAUAUGAAAAAUUAGAUUUGCAAUUAUGGAUUUAAUUUUGAUAAAUAAUGAAUGUUCUCUUUAUAUUUUUUUUUAAAGGUAAAACAGCGUACAAAGCCCAAAUUCAUUUUUUUAGUCCCUUACUCUCCCAUGAUUCAAACUUGGGUGGUUGUAGGGGGACUGAAAAUAUGUAAGACAGUUAACUUCACUUUUUUUUUUUUUUGAGAGAGAAAAGAGAAGAAGGAUAUUACAAAGCACGAAGCUCGUGCAAUAUAAGGGCAAUUAUGGUUUUUUCUUUAAAUUAAAAUGGUAAGAUUCUGAAGCUAAAAGAUUAAAAUAUUAAUUAAAUUGCAAACAUUAAAGAUUUUUUUUCCAAAAUUGGUUGCUUUGAAAAUGAGAAUAAUAUAAUGUUUGAAGACUUUUCAAAAUUAAUUACUGUGAUGCACUAGAAAUUUCUAGCUUUAGUCUAAUGUAUAAAUUGACAAAACGAUAUUAGAAUCCCAGGUGAAAAGAACCCUCUCAUACCAAUUAUUUAAAUUAGGAAUGAUCAUACCUCUGACUCUGCCGAACUGAGGGCGGGGUCUAAACCCCUCAUACGGAGACGCUUGAGAUGGGAAGAGCCCACUUUGACUAAUUCAUUACGAAUAUAAUCGACAUCUUGCUCUUGCAAUCCACGUAAUUCAAGGUCUUCAAUUCUCUGCAGUUGCACGAUCAGCGAAUCCUUCAAGCAAAUCUUGUCAUUGAGGUCGAGACUGAAUUCACGACACCAACUGCCGUUGCUCUCCUCAUCAUCUCCAAUGCGUAUGCUGUACCUUUCCAGCUUCUCCAAGAGCAGGCCUCUGGGCAGAGUGCUGACGUCAUAGACGUGUAAUUCCAAAGAGGUCAAGUUGGGCAAAUGCUUCAACUCCUCAAGGCUUGCAUUCUUAACCCCUCCCACCUCCAUCUCCCAGUAACGAAAGCUUUGAUCUAUAUAUAGUUCUUCUAAAUGUGAUAAUUUUGACAGUAUAUUUGGUGGAAUAACUUCUAGAUAGCAACAAUCCCUCAAAUCAAGCAACUUUAGCCAAGUCAAUUCACCUACUUCUACCGGCAACUUCUUAAUAUAAGAACCUCUUAAGCAAAGGAUUUCUAGUUUCUUCAAGCCUCCUACAACACUUAUAUCGGGCAAGAUGAAGCCGCACAAACUCAGUGUUCGAAGGUUUGACAGGAGACCAAGUGAUGAAGGCAGUGACCGUAGAAACAUGCCAGUCAAGUUGACAACUCUGACCUGCAUCAUCCUCUCGAAAAAGUUGUUUGGAAUUGUUAAUGAUGAAAAUUCCCAACGAUCAGCACGUAUAAAAAGAAGUUCGAGCUGAGGACAUUCCAGUACUUCAGGAAGCAAAUUAUUCUUGAUACCAUGUAAGACGAUUGAAGUGCAAUGCUUUAUUGCACUUCCAUCUGACCAUUCCCUGCAACCAUCAACCUGCUCAUUUGUAGCAGUAAACACAUUUCGUUCAGUAGAUGCAAUUGAUACGGCGACAUCGCGAACUACAUCAUGCAUAGAAAACAACUCUUUCUUCUGGCUUAUAUGGUCAAGCAACAUACAAGAAGCUUUGAGUGUGCGCACCAAUGUAUGUACUCGAUUUCGUGCUACUUCAAUCUUAUUCACACCUUGAAAUAAACCCAAUCCCAUACCACACAUUAACAAGUCAUCAAUAGAUGCUAUGGCUGUAUAUCCUAUUAGCAAAAAGAUGUUCUUGAGAUCAUCCCUUCCUAGUUUAUUGUAGCUCAACUCGAUAGCUUUAAAUGCGGCUGGCUGUACAUCCUUAAAAUUCGAUGAAGAAGGCCUUCUUAGCUGUUCCAAUGCAUCCUUCCAUUCACGUAUGCUCUUGCUCCUUAAUGCCCUUGCAACCGUCACAAUGGAAACUGGUAGACCUGCACAUUCCUUUGCCACAUCCCUUGCUACCUCUUUCAAUUCAUUAUCUUCAACAUAAUCACCUGCCAUCUUCGUGAAUAGACUCCAAGCUUCAUCUUCUUUUAAAAAUCCAACUGGGAAAUUUUUUCGAGACUCCAUCUCUCCAGACAAUACUUCUUCACUCCUUGCCGUGAACAGCACUUUACAUCCCAUGUGAUCAUCUCCGUGAGGAAUUCCGACAUCCAACAAAUCAAGAUUUUCCCAAAUAUUAUCCAAGAUUACAAGGAUCCUCUUCUCUUUCUUCAGUCGAUCAUAGAGUCUUCUUGCCCUACCCGAUUCACUCUCCUCAUCAAAUUUUAGACCUAGUUUAUCCGCGAUUUCUCCUUGAAGCUUUCUUACGUCUCGACUCUCAGACACCUCAGAAAAAACCACCUGAUCGAAAAGCUUGUCACUCUCUGCUUUUCUAGCAACUUCUUUAGCUAGCGUCGUCUUUCCGAUUCCGCCCAUUCCAUAAAUCAAAAGCAUGUUGACAUUGGGAUUUUUUAAUGCAUCAAUUAUUUCAUUCAGAAUGGACGUUCUUGAUUCAAAGGCCUCGAAGUCUUUGUUAGGCAUAAGCAAGGUAUCCUCCGGAAUGAUGCUGUAGGAAAUACUAUUAACUGGUCUAGCGUCCAGGACUUUGACAACAGCCUCCUUCUGCCUCUCUGCUUCCUUGCUAAGUCGAGGGCGGGUCUUCAAAUUAGGACAUAACCCCUUGAAACAACGCUUAUUUGCAGUGGCUUCAUCUUCUGUAAAUUUAUCUGCCUCUUCAAUGACACUGUUGGCCGUUGCAAGCCAAUUCUCAACGUUCUCUUCAAUCUCUUCUCCUUUUCUUUUAGCCUCAUCAACCUGGUGCUCUGUAUUCACCCUCUCAGACUUUAGUUUCACAACUUCAGUGUUGAGAUUCUGUAAGUUGCUCGUGUACUUACUCUCACGCAAAUAGCUAAUUUGGCGAUAUGCGUGAGGAGCCAAGCACUUUGCAACUUCUAAAGCAAUAGUAAGAAUGAUUUCAGCCAUCUUCAGUCCUUUGUCCUUGUCUCUCUAUCUCUCUUUUUCUGAAUUUUGGAAAAACAAUUCAACAAGUGACCACAACAAGAUGGAACAAAAUAAAAAGGAAAAAAAUACAAAGAGUGGAUGGAGAAUAAAACAGAGACAGCGGCACAGCUAGACACAACUAGAUAGAGAACAGAGGAAAACCAAAUAACAAGACUUAAGAUUACAACAAACAGAGGCCAAGUAUUAUUGUUGAGAUCAGAAGAUGGAAAAUUCCAAAGAGUUGAUGGCAGAUGCUGAAUAACAGAACAACAAUGAACACAAUAAACAGAAGCAAAGUGUGUUUGUGAUCGACAGACGGAAGUAAGGAAAGCGGUUGUUGAUUGAAAAUGAAUGAAUGCAAAGAAAGACUGAUGUUAAAAAUUGAUGUCAAGGAAUAAUUGAACUUUCGCUGAAUUAUUGUUUGUGGCUUCUUUUACUGUUUAUUUGUGGGUCAUGUCUUUUGGAACUAAUCUUGUCCAAAAAAUGUUGUUUAUUUGUGGGUCAUGUUAUUCAGCAUCUGCCAUCAACUCUUUUGUUUAUUUAUUCAAAAAAUAAAUUGUGAUUAUUUGUUAAUGUAUGCGAUUACUUGUGAUGGUAAACAAAGUAGAUAUGGUAUAUUUUGAAGUUAAAUUAAAAAAAAAAAAAACAGAACUUUUACCGUUACUUGCCUUAUCAUCUUUUAAAUUAGAGUUAUUAUUCUUUUAUUUUUCAAGUUGCCAACUCAUCAGUGUAUUCUUUUAUUGAAUUUAAAGAUCAAUGAUUAUAAAUUUUUGUGAAAAUUUUAAGUCAAAACUUUAAAUUAAAAUAAUCUUUAAGUUAUAGGGAAAUAAUAACUUAGUAUAACAAAUAUUAUAUCCUAUACUUUAUUGCUACAAAAUUACGAAACCUUAUAGUUUCAAAAACAAAAAUUACGAAACCUUAUAUUAUAUUAUGUUUCCAUAUUUCUCCUUUAUAGUGAAGACUCAUACUUCUUAUCUAAUAAAUGCUAAAGUAUUGGCUUAAAUUUUUUAACCAGCAUAGUAGACCCUUAAGCUAUAUAUACUAUAAUGUCCCUCUUCUCUCACAGAGUAAACCAAUCUGAUCUCAGAGUGAGUUGAUACCAUGACUUCGCAUCAUUUGUGAUCAAAGGAGUAUCAUUACUAACUAAUAUAGGCUCCAUCAAUAGGCAUGAUAAUAAUUUUUUUUUUUAUCUACAAACGCUGUUUUUCAAAAUAUUAUAUCUUAAGACUUAACUAAAUAUUUUUUAACUAUGUAGAUAUAGUUUGUUUGAUCUCUUUUAAAUAGUGGAGAUUACAAACAAACAUAUGUGAAUUAGUAGUGAUGUUGAGUUCAGAAGCUUGAAGUUAAAAAAAUUAAGGGUUUCUUGAUCUAGAGAAAUUUCAAAUGAGUGAAGCGUCCUCGAAAUCGGAAGACGAAAAUAAGGAAAGGGUAAGGGUGUAUUUUCAAAGUGAUUCUAUUAAGAGAUCUUUGAAGUAGGGGUGGGCAAGUCGGGUUUUGGUUCGGGUUGUUCAAAUUUCGGUUUGGGUUUUAACCCAAUCGGGUUUGAGAAUUAAACUCAAUCGGGUUGAAAACGCCAAUCCAAACUAAACCGAACCAAAUUUAAUUCAGUUCGGGUUCAUAAUUCGGAUCGGACUGGGUUGAUAAUUCAUGUUAAAAUUUCGAUUCGGGUUAAUUUGGGUUAGAAUAAUUCAAUCUAAAAUUUUGGGUUAGUUCGGUUUAAAACGGGUUGGAACUAUUUAAUCCAAAAAUUCUACCAACAACCACUUAAAAUCUAAAAAUCUCAAUUCCAAACAUCCUUAACAACAAAUAUCAACUACAAACCAUCCUUUACAACAUUUCAACAAUAACAAUAGCAAUAAUAACAACAACAACAAUAAUAAUAAUAAUACCAACAACUAUGAAUCAGCAAUUCAACAUAUUGCCAUAUUCUAAAUUUAAAAAAACACACAAAUUAUUUAAUUAAUUAAUUAAUUAACAAUCUCCAAUUUAAUUUAUAAUAACAACAAAAAUCCUCUCCAAUUUAAUUAAUAACAGUCUCCAAUUGUUUAAUUAUCAGUCAACAGCAACAAACCCAAUCUAAUUUAAUCAUAACAAUCUCCAAUUGUUCAAUUAUCAGUUAACAGCAACAAAUCAUCUCCAAUUUGUCACGAACAGCCUCUAAUUGUUUAAUUAUCAGUCAACAACAACAAACACACUCCAAAUAAUUGAACAAUUAUUAAUUAAUUAAUUAAAAAUACCCAAUUUAAUUAAUAACAACACCCAGGAGCAAGUCAGCAAUAAACCCACUACAAAAUCCAAAUAUCAGUGUAAACUAAGUGUCAAACCUUGAUCGGUGGGAAGCUACAGCGUCGGCAAAGCGUGACCGUGUGGGGCUGAGUGAGACCGUCGACCGAGGGUGUGAGAAGGGAGAAGAGGGAGCUGGGAGGUAACAUGGUGUGUGUGAGUUUAUAUAUAUAUAUAAUUUUUAAAAGCCAAAACUUAAAAAAAAAAAAAUUUAACCCAAUCCAAACGCGCACCUCAGAUUACUUCCGUGUUAAGAGAUGAAUCCCACACUCUUGAGCCUUUGUCGUCCUAGUCAACUAUCAAAACAAAUCAUUAUUGAAUGUGAACAGAAUUAUUGAUCACCCAAUUUUCAAACUUGUCAUCCUUAUUGAAUCUGCAUUCCCUUUUAAAAUUUUUUAAAAAAGUACAAAUAAUGAAACAAAGUGUUGUUCCUUCAACAGUUGAUAGAGUUACGCGGCUUCAACUUGCAAGUGCUGUCGGCAUUUUCAAACUUGCAAUACCCUUCAACUUGCUUUCCAAGAUAGCUAUAAUUAAUAAUGACAACAAUCUCCCUUGUAGUGACUAGUGAGCAACUUGUUUCGUGAAAUUAACGGCAUCUUCUCUCACAUUUAAAAAAAAAAAAUUGAAUUAUAAAACCCACCAAAACUAUAAAAGAAUUGUUAGUUUUUCUUCAUUAAAAUUAAUAGAUUGCUCCUCAUAUUGAAAAAUCAAAAUUCAGAAUAAGAAUGAUUGAUACUCUUUAUUUACUAAAAUGAAAAUAAAAUAUAUGAAGCCUACAUAUUUUUGAAAUAAAAAAAAAGAACUUUAUUUUUCAUGAGGAGUGUUGGGAAUCAAGUUCUCAUUAUUUAAACUCUCAAUUGUACCAUUAUUUAAACUCUCAAUUGCACCUCACCGAAAUUUCAUAAUUUCACUUUUGUUCUCAAUUAAAAUAUUAUUAUAGUUAUUAUUCUUAUAAAUGUUGAUGAUGAUGAUACAAGAUAAUAAAAUUAAUGAUAAUUAAACCAAUUUGAAUUCAGAGUGAGUGAGUACCAUUACUUCGCAUUAUUUGAUAUCAAAGGAGCAUCAUAACUAACUAAUAUAGGCUCGAUCGAAUUCAUCAUGCGAAGUAUAUUAUCGGCUGUAGGUAUGGAAAUAAAUUUUGUAUCCACAAACACUAUUUUUCAAAAUAUUUUAAGACUUGACUUAGCAUUUUUUAACCAUAUAUGUAUAGGUUGUUUGACCUAUUUUAAAUAGUGGAGAUUACAACAAAUGAACAGAUGUGGAUUUGUAGAGUUGUUGAGUUCAGAAGAUUGAAGUUAACAAAGGGUUUCUUUAUCUAGAGAAAAUUCGAAAGAGCGAAGUGUCUUCGAGAUCAAAAGACGAAAUAAGGAAAGGGUAAGGUUAUACUUUCAAAAUGAAUCUGUUGAGAGAACUUUAAAGAUUACUUUCGUUAAGAGCUGGAUCCCACACUUGAGUCUUCGUCGUCUCAGUCAGUCAGCUAUAAAGACAAAUUAAUUUUGAGCGUGAAAGGACACAAUUGAUCACCAAAUUUUCAAACUCGUGAUCCUUAUUGAAUCUGUAUUCUCAUUUGAAAAACAAUAAAAGAUUAACAUUAAUUUAACUUCAUCUAGAUUCCCAUUUGAAUCUGCAUUCCCAUCCCGUUGUUCUCUGGGAAUGCACAUAAUCAAAAAAAAUCCUAUCCGCAUUUUCAAACUUGUGACCCUUCAAGCUUUCUAUGACAACUAUAACGAAUAAUUACAACAGUGCUACCUAAUAGUGAGCAACUUGUUUGAUGAAAUUAACAACUUCUUUUCUCUCAUAUAUUUUUAAAAAAUUGAAUUAUCAAAGUUUUUAUUUCAAAAUUAGUGCUAUAGUUCAUUAAUUUUUCAAAUUUUCCUUUUUCUUUCCACACAACAGAUUGAUUUGCCCUCCAAAAAAUGUAUUAUAUUGUUUAAUAUUGUAACUUCAAGAAACUUAUAAUAAAUUUUUAAAGAGAUAAAUAGAGAAUGUCAGUCUCCCAUCUACUCAAAAUUAAUAUAUAUCAUUAACUCUUGAUUAUUUUUAUAACAACUAAUAACUUUCUUGGCAGCAUAAUUUUACAGUAUCAUCCUUGUUUGUAAGUAUAUUUUUAUUCAUAUUUAUUAUAAAUUAAUUAAAUCAUAUCAAUGAAAAUUGAAAUAAAAAUUGAAGUACUAAAAAUUAAAAAAAUAUAUUUUGGUGUGAAUAAAAAAUUGAAAAUAAAAAUAUUUUUCUUAUAUUUUUUGUUAUUUUUAAAUUUUUUCUUAUAAUAAAUGUAUAUUUUAUAUGCUCAACUUUUUCUUUUAAUUUUUGUUAUUAGGAGGAUUUUUAGAUAUAAUGAAAUUUGUAAGGUAGUAAGUAAUAUAUAAUAAUUUUAAUAGAGAAAAGUAAAAAAUCUCUUAUUUUAAAAUAUAAGGAGAAAAAUAAUUAAUUUCAAGACAUUUUAGAAGAUAUUUCAAUACGCGGUGGACCACAAACUCGAGUCUUUGUCAUCUCAGUCAAACUAAAAGGACAGAAUAUUGAGGGCAUGGCUAAGGUGCAGAAGCUGCAAGUAACAGCUUCGAACUUUCCCAUUUCCAUCACCUUGCAUUGGGACCUCUUUCUUUGUCCUCUAGCACCCGUGGAAGUUCCCCAUUGGCCACUGUUAGGAGCUGUAACAUAGACUUCUCCGAAAAUUGAGCGCGAAGGGCUCAAGUGAUUGUUAAUUUCACAGCAAUUGCCUUUUUUCUUUCUUUUUUUUUUUCUAAUUAUUGGAAAAUAUAAUUUAGUAUAACAAAUAUUAUAUCCUUUCCUUUAGUGCUGCAAAAAUUCCGAAACCUUAUAUUAUAUAAAGUUUUCAUAUUUCUCCUUUAUAGUGAAGACUCAUACUUAUUCUCUAGUAAAUGCUAAAGCAUUGGCUUAAACUUUUUAACCAGCACAGUAGACCCUUAAGCUAUAUAUACUAUAAUGUCCCUCUUCCCUCACAGAUUAAAGCCAAUAUGAUCUCAGAGUAAGUUUGCUUCAAAGGAGUAUCCUUACUAACUAAUAUAGGCUCGAUCAAUAGGGAUGAUAAUAAUUUUUUUUUAUCUACGAACAUUAUUUUUUCAAAAUAUUAUAUCUUUAGACUUAACUAAAUAUUUUUUAACCAUAUAUGUAUAGUUCGAUUAAAUAGUGGAGAUUACAACAAAACAGAUGCGAAUUAGUAGUGAUGUUGAGUUCAGAAGAUUGAAGUUAAAAAAAUAAAGGGUUUCUUGAUUUAGGGAAAUUUCAAAAGAGUGAAGCGUCUUCUAAAUCAAGACGAAAAUAAGAAAAGGGUAAUGGUGUAUUUUCGAAGUGAUUCUAUUGAAAGAUCUUUGAAGAUUACUUUCGUUAAGAGCUGGAUCCCACACUCUUGAGCCUUUGUCGUCCCAGUCAACUAUAAAGACACGUUAUUAUUGAGUGUGAAUAUUCCGAGUUAUAAAUCACCAAAUUUUCAAACUUGUGAUCUUCAUUGAAUCUGCAAUCCCUUUUGAAAAAAAAAAAAGAAAAAGAAAGGAAAACUGCAAAUAAUGAAACAAAAUUCUGAUCCUUGAUAGAGUUACGCGGCUUCAACUUGCAAGUGCUGUCGGCAUUUUCAAACUUGUGAGACCCUUCAACUUGCUUUCCAAGAUAGCUAUAAUUAAUAAUGACAACCGAAGACGGCCACGUUUGCGGUACAAAAGUUGCACCAUAUUAGACGUUCUUUUUUGUUCUUAUCCGAAGUAACCGUUGGAUUCAAAGGAAAGUGAUCAGACAUUCAAUAGCUUCACACGUGGACAUUAUAGGAUACCGGUCAAAUCGGUUAGCGCUCCUCCACAUCAAACUCACAAGCAUGGCAAUCAUCGUAUUCGUAUCAGCUUGGAAACUUGUUACAAGUAACGAAGAGCAACAGAGUCCGCUCCUCUAGAGUCGGCAACAGAGUUUUAAUUAACGGCAUCUUCUCUCACAUUUUUUUUUAAAAAUUGAAUUAUAUAACCCACCAAAACUAUAAAGAAUUGUUAUUCUUCAUUAAAAUUAAUAUACUGUUCCUCAUAUUAAAAAAUCAAAAUUCAGAAUAAGAAUAAUUGAUACUGUUUAUUUACUAAAAUGAAAAUGAGAAUAAAAAUAAAAUAUAUGGAGCCUAUAUAUUUUUUAAAUUAAAAAAUAAGAACUUUUCAUGAGGAGUGUUGAGAAUCAAGUUCUCAUUAUUUAAACUCUCAAUUGUACCUUACCAAAAUUUCAUAAUUUCACUUUUGUUCUCAAUUAAAAUAUUAUUACAGUUAUUAUUCUUAUUUUUGUAGUUGUUGUUGUUGAUGAUGAUGAUUAUGAUGAUACAUGAUAAUAAAAUUAAUGAUAAUAAUAAUGAUAAUGAUAAUGAUAAUAAUAAUAAUGAUAUGAUAAUGAUGAUAAUAAUUUGAACAACAACAACAACAAUAAAUAAUAAUAAUAAUAAUGAAAAUAAUAACUAUAAUUUUAACAACAAUAAUAAUCAUUAAUAUUAUUAUUGUUAAAAUUAUUAUUAUUAUUAGAUAAUUAUUUUGAAUAAUAAUAAUCACAAGUCUAUUCUGAUUCCAGUUUAUUCCGAUUAUCGAUUAGAAAAUGCAUCAUUACUGUUUUAAUAAUAACUAAUAAUUCUCUUGACAUCAUAAUCGUAAUUCUUAUACUAUUAUCCUUAUUUUAAAAUCCACUACCAUGAGCUUGCAUCAUUUGAAAUGGUAGGUACUAGGUAGCAAUUGCUUACAUCAAAAUAUCUAGACUCACUCGGCAAAGUAUCCGAGGCCAAAACGCCAAAAGAUGGGACACCCACAUGUGCAUCUAAUUACAAAAUCUAAAGUUAAUGAAAAAGAAAAAAGAAAAAGUAUAAAUGAACGGUAUUGGCUGUAGGACAAGGGGAGGGGAAAAAGGACCAUUUUGUUUUCUUUGCUAAUUCACAUGGGGAAGGGAAAAAAAGAAAAAGACAGUUUUGAUUAAAAAACACAGAAUAUUCAAUUCACAAGCCACCAAUGCUUGUGGACCAAUGGUCGAUAUAUGAAAGUUAGAGAUUCUGGCAAAAUGAGCAAAUAUUUUGAGUUGAUUAAUGGAUUUGUUUGUAAUGCAAUACAAGAUAGCAUUUUAAAGCUGGCAAGAAAGAAAGAAAUAAGUCAAUAAUUGAGAUAUUUAAAGAAGCUCAAGUGGUCAUGAAAUCUCUCCUUAAAAACUAUACAAGAUAAUGUUAAUGAUAAAGUUAGCCAACCAAGUCGUUCAAUCAUUGCUAGAAGCAAGCAGCCAUUGAAGUUGAUAGAAGCUAAUGCAUGGAAAAAGGUUCGUUACAUAAAGGAGAUAAUGAGAAAAUUGAUGAACCCCUAUCAUCCAUGUUUUGUUUCAAUCAAAAGGUUUGAAUUUUAAGGCCGAUAUUUUGGACUGAAUCCCCCUGUCUGCUUCCAAAGGGGAGGAUGUGCAUGUAGUUGAUUGGGCCGAUGAUUGUGAUGGGAGGGAACUUUUAGCUUGGAAAUGGACCUAGCAAGCCCAUGUUUGAUUCGGUAAGUUGUGACUUCUCAUGGGCAUUUGAAAUUUUUAAAUGGCCUUUUAUAACCUUUGUCAAGAUUCUCAGAAAUCGAAUCAUUCGGUGAUUACUUGCAAAUUCGGAAAGGAAAUUGGAAUCAAACUGGGGUUCUAAUUAAAAAAAAAAAGGGUUCAGAAUCAGAAUUUUGUUCUUUUGACUGACUAAACUACCCUCAUUUAAUUUUCAAAAUGCCCAAAUUUUUAUCAUGCUCACUUGGCGUUAUCUCGUCUUGUGGGAGCUGUAGGACAGUUGAGAUAAAAGAUAUUGCUCCAGUAUCUACUGUUUUCUCAUCCUGAUCUUCAGAGUUAUUCUCAACAAUGGACAAAUUUGAGUUUAGAACAGCAUCAGAAACCAAUGACACCCAGUCGCAUCCAGCUACUUCUUCACUUUGCUCAAUUCGACAGAUUUUACGCAAAUUUGUUUUGUUCUCAAAAUAGUCUGCUGCUCCCGGAUUGUCCUCAUUACAUUGAACGAAUGAUGACGACGCUCUGUCCGUUUCUGGCUCUCUGCUUUUCUCUUUCACAUCACGAGACACCUCGUUUCUAACUGGGGUACCACCAUCACAUUUAACUGUUAUUGGCAACUCAAUAGCUAAUUCCAAUGUUUCCUCAAGCAGUUUAGAGAUAAACUCUCUCGCUGAACUCCCUGGAGUAACACAAUCCAGUUUUCCAGUGCAAUCAUCAAACAGUUGAACAGCUCCUGAAUUCCCUUUGCUUUUCUUGUUUUCUUUUCCAUGUAAAGGGAGCUCAGGCUUCAAUAUAUCUGGGGAUUGAUUACUAAUGAUAAAGACAACAUGCUGUAGAGGACACAAAUUGUUAUUAAACAACGAUGCACUUUUCAUUUUUCAACUGAGUACGGUAAAGCAAGAAUGGGUAAUUAGUUUUACCUGCUAAGCGAAAAUCUACACUCCCGAAGGUAACCGAUCUUGGGUGAAGCAAAUAAAGACGAAGGCGAAGUAAAAUUCACUGAGUUGAAUGAGCGAUCAUUGCUGAUAUAAUUAAAGACUGGUGAAUCCUGCAUGUUGACAAGCAUCAUUUUUAAUCUAACAUAGAGUCUUAAAAACCUGGUCAGUGGCAAAUGAUCACGACAACAAAUCUGAAGUACAAACAGCAGAGCUCAACAAAUCACUAAGAGAAAAUAACACCAGUAACCAAGCAGAUGAAAGAAAAGCAAAAUAAUCCAUCUCAAAUCACCACAUGCACAAUUUAAGGGGGUUGUGACAUGGGUUUAAGCAUGAUUUAACAAGUGCCACCAGUGAAUUCUCAGAUUGAAUUUUCAUACACAUGUCAAAUUUUCAAGUCCAACGAAUUGUUAUCUUUCUGAAGAUAUUAACUAUGCAUAGCAUGCUAUAAACAAAUCAUAUUAUUAGGGCCUUUGUUUGCUGUACACAACAUAUGUACAGAGGAACAAAUCCAUGAGCUGAAAUCAUCAUAUUCCAAAAUAUUCUACCCAAUCAACACUACAAAACCGUAACGCUAAACAGAAUUGGAGCAAUUUAAGAAAGCUAUUUGUCACACAAAGCACUAGUACCUCAGAACCCAAUUUGCAAAAAAGCAACAAAAAUGAAAAAUAACAAAUGCCCAGAUGCAAAAUCAGGAAAAAAUGCUCAAAUACAAACUACAACCCCAUAAGCUGAGAUUGACCUCAAACUUGGAAACAGAAGCGACAGUGAUCUGUUUCUUGUCUGGAGUGUCCAUUUCUAUAAUCUACUUUGUCCGUUUUCAGUCGCUCCGCCACAAAGCCUCUUCACUCCGAAGCUGAAACUCGCCACACACUUGCAAAACGAAAGCAUUUGAUUGAUUGAGAGGCGGGAAGGCGGGAAAACGAGCGAAAUUUGCUUUUGUUUUUUCUUCGUUUGGUCAUACAUGUGCGGGCCCCCCAGGUUGACAAGCGUUAUCAUUACUAUUUGCAUUAUUUGAAGGACGCGUGUCAUGCAACGACGAUAGAAAAAGUGGUGCAAAACUCCAAUUGUCACGAAAUGAUGAUAAAAUAAAAAUAUAUCGUUAAUUUUUCACUUAACAUUGGAAUAUCAUAUAAUUUUAUGGUCAUUUUCUCGCCGCCACAUUCUUUUGAUAAAAUAAUACGGUAAAACUUUUCUAUAAUCAUGAUAUUAGAACCCAAUUAACUUUGUUUCUACAAAGAGGUUAUAGCUUAAUAAAGUAAAAUUGUAAAAAAUAUUAUUUUGACUUAAUUAUCUAAAGAGUAAAUAUAUAAUAAUUAAUUAAUAAAUUAUGUCAAAUACAAUAUAUGGACUAUGAUAAAAAAGAUAGACAUAAUUUCAUAAAAUUAAUACAUAUGUUUUUGUAGUGCUGCGAUUAUACAAAGUUAUCUUAAAAGUGUAAAGAGUAAAGUAUUGUUUUAAUUAAUUUAAAAAAAUAUUUUAUUAUUAACCUUUAAUGCAACAUAGUAAUUUUUUUUCCCUGGCAACAAAGUAUUGUUCCAAAUAAUUAUUAUUGGAUCUAGAUCCUGCCCUAGGCAUUUUCUCUACUAAUCCUCAUAAACUUUUAGGGUAUGUUUGGCACGUAAGAUUAGAUUGGACAAACUAUUAUGAUUGGACUAACUUAGAAUGGAUUAGAUUAGAUUGGAUUAUAUAUAGUGCUGACUUAUGUUUGGUAUGGUAUUGGAUUAGAUUAUGUUAAAUUAAAUUUACAUAAAAUUAAAUAGUAUUUACAUUAAUAUUUGAAUUUAAAUAUCAACUAUUUAUAGAUAUUUAACAAGAAAUAUUAUAAUUAAUUAAAAAUAGCAAUUGGGUAGUCAUAAUUAUAAUAAAGAAAUAUAAAUUAUUUAAAUUAUAGGUUAUUUCAAAGAGUGAUGAUACAACCACAAAUUCUUGUACAAACUGAUUUGGCAUUAAUUCAUUUAUUGAAUGAAAAUAUAAAAUAAUAAAAAUAAAUCAUGUGGGCCCAAGAUAUAUUUAAUUCAACCAAUUUUAUCAUGCCACAUCAGUUUGUACAAAAAUUUGUGAUUAUAUUAUUACUCUAUUUCAAAUGAGAGAUAUCAUUUCAUUGAAUAAAAUAAAUAAAAUUAUUCAAAUAAUAAAUUAAUUAAUAAAAUUUAAGUAAAUCAUGAAUAAAAAAGAAAUCAAUUAAUUAAAAACAGUAAAUAAUUAAAUAAUUUUUAAUUUAUAAAUAAAAUGGUAUAAUAAAUUAUGGAAGAUACUAUAAAUACACAAAUAUUUUUUUCACAUUAUCUAGUUCUAACUAAACACACAUAAAAAUUAGGAUUAGCAAUCCCAUGAAUUUAGGAUUAAAAUUUGAAUUUAGUCGAUUAAUCCAAUACAAGUGAGCAUGCUAAAUAUGGUAUUAAUAUUUUAUCCCAGUAAUAAGUCCAAUUCUACACUUAAUCGUACCUCCCAAAUAUAAUCUUAAGGAUCUAUUGACAUGUGUCAUUAAUGAAAUUAAAUGGCUAAGAUUUUGUUUUAAUUAUUUUUUACCUAAAUAGACAUCAAAACUCAUGUGUGACUCUUGUUAAAUUUUUUCUUACAAAUUCUUUUCCUCUUAAUUCUUUAUAUUUUGACACUAAUUUCCAGCAAAUUAUUUAAAAAAAAGGAGCACAAAUUGGAAAAAAGUGAUUGACAACAAGGUUUGCAUCUUAAUUUCAAAAUUUUCCUUUCUUUGAUGUUUUUGUGGUUUCUAUAAUUGUUGUUUUCACUCUAAGUUGCAAUUCAAUGAACUAAAUUAGUGUUGCUACUUUAUAAACUGCUAUUACUGGGCAUAUAAUUCUAUUGCUACAAUUUUUUUGAGUUUAUAGUUUCUGUUCUAUUCUCUUUUUGGGUUUGCAACUGCUGUUUGUUGUUUUUUUAGGUUUUAUAGUUGAUGUUUUGGGAAAAAUAAAAAUAAAUGUGAUCUUGAAUUCUUUAACUACUAUGAAACAAUUAAAUUAUUUAGCUGCUGCAUUUUCUGCUGUAUUAUUAUAGGCGAGAUGUGUGUCGAAAGGGAAAGAAUUUGCCUAAAAAAAAAAAUUGACAAGAGUCACAUGUGAGUUUAGAUGUCUUUUUUAAGUAAAAAUUAAUUAAAAUUAAAUAUUAGCCAUUAAUAACACAUGUCAAUAAAUUUUUCAAAGUCUAAGAAGAUUGGAAGAGGAUCCGAUCUAUUAUUUACUCUAUAAAAGGAAGUUCCUUGAAGACAAGAACUAUAAAUAAAUUAAUAUAAUGAAUUUAUUCUUAACCUAGUCUAAAUUGAGACUAAAAUUUUUUACUUAAAAAUUUACUAGCUAGCUUUACCUUGAUGGACUAGCUAUGGCCCAUACACAUUUCUCCAAUUUUAUUAAUAUUUUUGUGCAUAGCAAUUAGGGAUACGUGACAAUAAAUUAUCCUUUUAACAUAUAAAAAGUAUUCUCACAAGUAGUGUGCCCCUCCAAAGGGCACAGACAGACUUUUAGCCUCUUUCUUCGGUUUACCACUCCAGUUGGAAUCUUCAAUAAGAUUAAACAUUGAAUAUAUCUAAAAUAUUAGCAAUAUUUGUACUUAUAUUUAACAAAACUAGAGUAAUAUAUUGAUUAAUCUACAUAAUUUUGGGCGGGUUCUUAUGUAAUGUUACAAUUAACAUAGAUUAUUUUCACGGUAUAAGGCAAAUCUUGAGAAUGAACCCAUUUCAAUAUGGUUUCCACAAUAAAUGAACCCACUUUACUACCAAUGAAAGGCCUUGACUCAUAUAUAUCCACCUGGAAAGAAGGGGGGGGGGGGGGAGAGAAGAAAUCUUCUAAUUUCUUUCACCAUCAACAAAAUCAGUGAAACACAUACUAAUUCAAAAUAAAAUAAACUUUGUGAAUUGAAAUAAUGCCUGCUCUAAAGAAAAUGAUAACUGCUAUUCAUUUUUCUGAACUGCUGAUAAAAGCUUCUGCUAUUUACUUCGAAAAAAUUGAGUAACUUCAAAUUUUGAGUUUAGGCAAGAGGAUGAAUGGUAAAAGUGAGACAUUUUAGGGGAAAAGUAAAUACUUGAUAGGCCAAUGAAACAUUCAAAAGAUUGAAAUCUAAAUGAGCAAAACCUCAUGGCCUUGAGGCCCUUGAUCCAACAAUUCCACUGCUGUUGACAUGCCUGCAAGCCCAACUCCAAUAAUAGCCACUUUCAGCUUUGGUCCUCUAUAAUGUUCCGGUUCUGGUGGAAACAAACACUUGGGAGCUGCCAAGUAUACCAUUCAAUUAUCCACAGCGAUAUUGGAAAAACAUACAUGUUUGAAAGUACUAAAUAUCAAAUGUCUCCCGAAAAAAAUACAAAGCACAAUUGCAUAAGCAUUUCAUUUCCCAAUAAAUUUCAAGAAUACAAAAUACUUGGUCUGUUCUUGAGUUCCUUUAAGAAAAUUUCCACGAGAGAGCACGCAAGCCACUCAAUAACACUCCAAAGUCAGAUUUUAAACGUUAUCUUGAUCUAUAAGUACAAUCCAUGAACCAUUCUGCCACAAAUUCAAUUAAAAAUUAUUCAAGUAAAAUGCCAAAUUCUCCUUCAAUAGCCUCAAAAAUUCAUAACUAGCAAACACUACAGAACAAAAAGAGCUCCCAGCAAUAAACGCAUAAAAAUCCCACCAGAAACCAGAAAACCCAAAAGAUCAAUACUUGGUAAACAAACAAAUCAAAUCAAAUAAAACAAAAAGAAGAGAAAUUUACCAUUAACACUCAUAUCAGAAACGUUAGUAUCCAAAGAAGCCCGUACACAGAAUCUUGGAACCUUCACUUGAACCCGAGACCAACAAACACCAGUAACUGAAGUUGCAGGAAACAGAAGUGAAGAACCCAUAUUGAAAUAAAAGAAUCCAAACCCAAAGUGCCACAUCUAAAUAUGAUGGAUCCACUUAAAAUAAACAUAUAAAAAUCUUCAAUAUGAGUGCGAAAAUGUGUGGGGGAAAAAACUAAAAAGUGGUUUACCAUGCAGCAAUAUGAAUUUUAAGCUCUCUUUUCUUAUGUCACUCAAGGCAUUGGCUGGAUGGCCAAACAGCAGAGUUCAAGUGUACAAUAGAGAAUCGAAAUUUUCCUUUGUAAAUGUUCAUAAGUAUUUACCACAGAUUUUUAAGUUAUUCUUGAUAGAUCCCCUACCACAUACGCUAUAAUAUUUCUCUCCUUUUAAUUUAAAAGUAAAUCAUGCAUAAUAACGCACUUGUAAAGAAAUGAAAUUUUCGGUAAUUAACUGACAAAAUAAAAAAAAAGGAUUAUGCGAAAGAAGUUAAUAUAGAGUAAGUCGAGUACUUGACAAUCAAAGUAAUUUACUCGAGGUUGAGUAAGGAUAGUACGAUACUUUCUCAAGUUUUCUGAGGACAUUCAUGUGACAUUGGACUAUUGAUUAUAGUUAGAGAGAAGUCCAAGGAUGUAAGUGAUGAUGAUAGAUUCAGAAUUCUUUUGAAGAAAAUAUUUUAUAUAAACUUAAUUAUAUGGUAUAAAAUGAUUGGCCUUAAUAAAAUUAAAAAAUAAUAAAAAUAAUACACGCCUGGGUCAUGCAAUAUUUUCAACCAACUAAUUUACACGCAAAAUUAAAACUUUAUGAGUACAUUUAUUUGCUAGCAGAAACUCUGCCAAAUUUUCCGAAAUGUGAAAGUGAACACUUUUAACAGCGGCACAAAAUGCCUGUGAUAAUGAAACAAUGUGCCAUCCUUAAACUAAUAUUAUUAGAAACUAUAAGUGAAAGUUUUCAGAAAACAUGUGAUAAGUUUUUCUCGGAAUUUGUUUUCUCCUUUGUUUUGAUUUACGCGAGAGAUAGUUGUAAAGAUUGUUUUGAUAAGUUUUCAGAAAACAUGUGACGAAUCGUAGUAAAAAAUUUAUACAUAAUAAUUGAAUGAGAUCCAUGGUUCACAAUUGCAAAUUAAAGGUUGGUUUUAUAAUAAAAAUCGUUUUGUGCAUACCAAAUUAGAAAAGAUUAUAAGUAAAUUAAGAUUUUCAAAAUUUGACUAGUACUAUAUUACGUACAUCAAUAUAAUAUAAAUUUGUUAUAUUUAUAUAUGUUAUUCUGUAACUAAUGCUUUCAAAAAUUUUAUACUUGUAUGUUUGAACAACUUUUUUUCGCUUUCUAUUUAUAUACGAUAUUAUUUAUGUUUACAUAAAUUUUCAUAUGUACCCAAAUUAAGUAUUAAAUACACACACUCUGGUAAGACACAUUUCUAGUAUCAGACAAUGAUAUUAUAUUGAAUGUAAUGCUUCAAUGAAUUUUAUUACUAUAUACUAAAAUACUCAACGAUCUUCAUUAAAAAAAAAAAAAAGAAAUUGCAUGAUUAGAAUGAUUAAAGUUCAUUUAAUGACGAGUUUCAUCAUUGACUGUGUCGAAACAGAACAGCAAUCCACAAUACACUCAACACGAGAGGCGCACACAAGCAUGCAUGAAUCUUCCACCAUUAAACCUGAAAUCAUAAAAUGAAAGAAACAAGGUGAGUGUUGUUUUACGGUCUGAAAGCCGAUUCGAAAUAAUAAUAAUAAUAGACCUUUGUUAAUAGUUACUACUAGUGGUCACUGCCUUGUCCAUCUUCCUUCUCUGUAUUAUCGUCCUCUUCCAAGCCGCUGUCAUCUGACCAAACCCCAGCAACCAUGGGAAAAAUCACCUACUUGUUUUAGGAGCAGGAGCAGGAGCAGGAGGAGGAAAUUAAGUUAGGGAUUUGGAGUGAUAGGGAAAAAGCUGAUUGUUGAGAAAUAUGUAUACCUUUUGUAUGGUUGUGUUAAGGUCGCCCUUCCAAGCCCAACGUGCUUCACUCCGCCGCUGCACUUCGUGUAAUUUGGGUGUACUUAAAUUUCCUUCAGAGAAAAUCUUCAUAUCGGGGCAAUCAUCCACCACUAAUAUUUCCAAAGAUGGGAACUUGAAAGCACAAUUGCCAGAGCAGAAGCUUGUCAAACUUUUUAAGUCUAAAAGCUUCAACUCCUUCAAUUCUCUGAAAGUAAUAACCUCAUCUUUUGCCACAACAUCAUCCACCAAUACUAUUUCUGUUAUCAUAACGCAUGAUUUUAUCUUCAUAUAUCUAAGUCGCACCAGAGACUUUGCAAUUGAGGAUGUUAAUACGAUUUUCAAUCUUUCGCAACUGAAUACCACCAGAUUUGUAAGAUUCUGAAAGGAUGUCGACGAUGGCACUAGAUUGACCAAACGGUCACACCCCUUUACACGUAGAAUAACCAAGUUGUUCGUAACAGAGGACUCCCUUAUCAAAAUGUUCUCCAGAUGAUAACAAUUAUUUGCUUCACUUAUUUCUACUGCCAUACCAUUUUCAACCUUCUCUUUCGGCGACCGGCCACCAUAUCCUUGUAUUUGGAGGACUUUCAUUGUGUGAAGUCUCUGGAGGAAGUCAUCAAGUGAUACAAUAGUCGGCUCAUCAACCAACUCCACAAAAAGAUAUUUUAGUUUGCAAAGCAAGUCUUCAAAAAAUAGAUAUUUAUUUGUUCCUAUGUACUUUGCAUCAACUUUCAACUCUUCCAAAUUAGGGAAUACCUGGGAGAUCGAUCAGAACCAAAAAAAAAAAAAAUACAAGAUGAAUCAGUUGAUGAGAAUUAUAAGUUACCACUAAUUUAUACAAUAUAUUUUAUUCAAUAAAUCAAUAAAUACAAGAUAAACUUUCACAGUACAUACAUAAGAAUUGAAAAAUUGAUUAUAAAACUCUUGUACGUACCCUUUCCGUCAAGAUAUUAGUAGUUCUUUUGCAUCUCGCCAUGAAUUCAGGACAUCCAGAUAUCCCUAAUUCUUUCAAGGAUGGAAAUUCAAGAUUAUCAAGAUCUCCAGUGCAGAAGCUUGUGAACUUUUCAAGAUCAGACAUCCUCAGAGAUUGCAACUGGGGAAACGUUACAAUAUUAUUCUUCAUUUCUUCUUGGUUGUCCACGACUAUUAACUCUUCCAGGACAGGACAUUUGACUAUCAUAAUGUGUUGGAGUCGAACAAAGCUACUAACUGUACAAGAUGAAAAUAGACAUCUUAAAUUCAUACAGCUGUACAGGGUCAAGCGCGUUAAAUUCUGAAUACCACAAGACAUGACUGCAACUUGGUUCAGCCAAAUCCUCUCAACAUUUAUUGAAUACAACAUCAACUCCUCCAAAUUUGGUAAUGCAACCUGCACGAUCAAAAAAUUAACUUGUUAAUUACAAGCAACAAUGAUUUCUGUUGAUGGACAAAUCAAUAAAAUUACUCUUUCUCUGUUUAUAGUUCUUUUCAGUUUUUCAUACAAACAACCGUUAAUCAAGUUUUCCAAAUUAUUCCUUACUAAAUUUUGGUUGAUUCGCAAUAGGACCUACUAUCCAGCGCGAGCAGUUCUCGGGGAUUUAACUACUGGCACCUCGAUUAUAUAAAAAUUUAGACGGCGGCUAAUAUAAUUUAUAUGUAUUCUAAUGACGUAUAUUAAAGAAAAUGAUUAACCAUAAUUUCAAUCAACUUAUUAGUCUAUAUAUAUAUAUAUAUAUAUAUAUAAUAUUCAGCGAUUACAACAUAUUUAGUAUUCCAUAACAUGAUGUUUAUAAUAAUAAUUAUUAUUAAUUCACUUAUUGUGUCAGAGUAUCUUUUCUUUCUCUAAGAAUGUAUUUGUUACACCCUACUAUACUUCGGAUGAAAAAUUUAGAAUAAUUGUGAAAUAUAAUUAUUAAUCACUCUUUGCCAUAUUUGUUACCAAACAGGAAUAUAACAAAGAAAAAAAACAAAAAUUAUAGAGAAUUAAUAAGACGAUUGACUUAUUAAUAACUGACCUUCUCAGGGAAAAGUGUAUUAUAAAUUUGGACAUUGUCCUCCAAAAUGAUUUCAUGUGACUGCAAAUCAUUAGCUGAUUCCUCUUGUCUCUGUUGACAUUGCAGGUAUCUUGAUUUUAGAGUGUAAACUUAAUUGUGAGCACAAUCUUAAUGCAUAGAUACAAGAUCUUUAAAAAUUAGUAUAAGAAACUUAGCACUAAAUCCAAAUUUGAUAUUUUGGAUUCCAUGAUUAAGAUUUUUUAAAUAAAAAUUUAAUAGAGUUAAUUUAAAAAUAAAAAUUAAAUAUGAAAAAUAAACUUGCAAUUAUGGAUUUAAUUUUAAUAAAUAAUGAAUGUUCUCUUUAUAUUUUUUUUAAAAGGUAAAAGAGCGUACAAAGCCCAAAUUCAUUUUUUUAAGUCCUUUACUCUCCCAUGAUUCAAACUUGGGUGGUUGUAGGAGGACUGCAAAUAUAUAAGACAGUUAACUUCACUUUUUUUUUCUUUUUUUUUUUGUUGAGAGAAAAGAGAAGAAGGAUAUUACAAAGCAUGAAGCUCGUGCAAUAUAAGGGCAAUUAUGGUUUUUUCUUUAAAUUAAAAUGGUAAGAUUCUGAAGCUAAAAGAUUAAAAUAUUAAUUAAAUUGCAAACAUUAAAGAUUUUUUUUGCAAAUGGUUGCUUUUAAAAUGAGAAUAAUAUAAUAUUUGAAGACUUUUCAAAAUUAAUUACUGUGAUGCACUAGAAAUUUCUAGCUUUAGUCUAAUGUAUAAAUUGACAAAACGAUAUUCGAAUCCCAGGUGAAAAGAACCCUCUCAUACCAAUUAUUUAAAUUAGGAAUGAUCAUACCUUUGACUCUGCCGGAUUGAGGGCGAGCCAGAGACGCUUGAGAUGGGAAGAGCCCACUUUGACUAAUUCAUUACGAAAAUAAUCGACAUCUUGCUCUUGCAAUCGCCAUAACUCAAGGUCUUCAAUUCUCUGCAGUUGCACGAUCAGCGAAUCCUUCAAGCAAAUCUUGUUAUUUAGCUCGAGACUGAAUUCACGACACCCAAUGCCGGUGCUCUCCCAAUAGCCAUCAUCUCCAAUGCGUAUGCUGUACCUUUCCAGCUUCUCCAAGAGCAGGCCUCUGGGCAGAGUGCUGACGUCACGGGCGCGUAAUUCCAAAGAGGUCAAGUUGGGCAAAUGCUUCAACUCCUCAAGGCUUGCAUUCUUAACCCCUUCUUCCACCUCCACCUCCCAAGCAGCAAAGCUUUGACCUAUAUAUAGUUCUUCUAAACGGGAUAAUUUUGACAGUAUAUUUGGUGGAAUAACUUCUAGGUCCUCACAAUGUCUCAAAUCAAGCAACUUUAGCCAAGUCAAUUCACCUACUUCUACCGGCAACUUCUUAAUAUCAGAAUCUCUUAGGCAAAGGAUUUCUAGUUUCUUCAAGUCUCCUACAACACUUAGAUCAGGCAGGUAGCACCAACACAAACUCAGUGUUCGAAGGUUUGACAGGAGACCAAGUGAUGAAGGCAAUGACCGUAGAUCCAUGUUAGUCAAGUUUACAACUCUGACCUCGAUCAUGCUCUUGAAAAAGUUGUCUGGAAUUGUUACUCGUGAAUAUUCCCAAGGAUCAUCACUUAUAAAAAGAAGUUCGAGCUGAGGACAUUCCAGUACUUUAGGAAGCAAAUUAGUGUUGAUAUCAUGUAAGACGAUUGAAGUGCAAUGCUUUAUUGCACUUCCGUCCGACCAUUCCCUGCAACCAUCAACCUGCUCAUUUGUAGCAGUAAACACAUUUCGUUCAGUAGAUGCAAUUGAUCUGGCGACAUCGCGAACUACAUCAUGCAUAGAAAACAACUCUUUCUUCUGGCUUAUAUGGUCAAGCAACAUACAAGAAGCUUUGAGUGUGCGCACCAAUGUAUGUACUCGAUUUCGUGCUACUUCAAUCUUAUUCACACCUUGAAAUAAACCCAAUCCCAUACCACACAUUAACAAGUCUUCAAUAGAUGCUAUGGCUGUAUAUCCUAUUAGCAAAAAGAUGUUCUUGAGAUCAUCCCUUCCUAGUUUAUUGUAGCUCAACUCGAUAGCUUUAAAUGCGGCUGGCUGUACAUCCUUAAAAUUCGAUGAAGAAGGCCUUCUUAGCUGUUCCAAUGCAUCCUUCCAUUCACGUAUGCUCUUGUUCCUUAAUGCCCUUGCAACCGUCACAAUGGAAACUGGUAGACCUGCACAUUCCUUUGCCACAUCCCUUGCUACCUCUUUCAAUUCAUUACCUUCAACAUAAUCACCUGCCAUCUUCGUGAAUAGACUCCAAGCUUCAUCUUCUUUUAAAAAUCCAACUGGGAAAUUUUUUCGAGACUCCAUCUCUCCAGACAAUACUUCUUCACUCCUCGCCGUGAACAGCACUUUACAUCCCAUGUGAUCAUCUCCGUGAGGAAUUCCGACAUCCAACAAAUCAAGAUUUUCCCAAAUAUUAUCCAAGAUUACAAGGAUCCUCUUCUCUUUCUUCAGUCGAUCAUAGAGUCUUCUUGCCCUACCCGAUUCACUCUCCUCAUCAAAUUUUAGACCUAGUUUAUCCGCGAUUUCUCCUUGAAGCUUUCUUACGUCUCGACUCUCAGACACCUCAGAAAAAACCACCUGAUCGAAAAGCUUGUCACUCUCUGCUUUUCUAGCAACUUCUUUAGCUAGCGUCGUCUUUCCGAUUCCGCCCAUUCCAUAAAUCAAAAGCAUGUUGACAUUGGGAUUUUUUAAUGCAUCAAUUAUUUCAUUCAGAAUGGACGUUCUUGAUUCAAAGGCCUCGAAGUCUUUGUUAGGCAUAAGCAAGGUAUCCUCCGGAAUGAUGCUGUAGGAAAUACUAUUAACUGGUCUAGCGUCCCGGACUUUGACAACAGCCUCCUUCUGCCUCUCUGCUUCCUUGCUAAGUCGAGGGCGGGUCUUCAAAUUAGGACAUGACCCCUUGAAACAACGCUUAUUUGCAGUGGCUUCAUCUUCUGUAAAUUUAUCUGCCUCUUCAAUGACACUGUUGGCCGUUGCAAGCCAAUUCUCAACGUUCUCUUCAAUCUCUUCUCCUUUUCUUUUAGCCUCAUCAACCUGGUGCUCUGUACUCACCCUCUCAGACUUUAGUUUCGCAACUUCAGUGUUGAGAUUCUGUAAGUUGCUCGUGUACUUACUCUCACGCAAAUAGCUAAUUUGGCGAUAUGCGGGAGGAGCCAAGCACUUUACAACUUCUAAAACAAUAGUAAGAAUGAUUUCAGCCAUCUUCAGUCCUUUGUCCUUGUCUCUCUAUCUCUCUUUUUCUGAAUUUUGGAAAAACAAUUCAACAAGUGACCGCAACAAGAUGGAACACAAGUGACCACAACAAGAUGGAACAAAAUACAAAGGAAAAAAAAUACAAAGAGUGGAUGGAGAAUAAAACAGAGACAGCGUCACAGCUAGACACAAUUAGAUAGAGAACAGAGGAAAACCAAAUAACAAGACUUAAGAUUACAACAAACAGAGGCCGAGGUGGAUAUAUAUACUUGGAGAAUAAAAUUCAAGAGCAAAGCGAGUGCUGGGCUGCAGUUUCUUAAGGAGAUUUAUAUAUCAUCCUCAAAAAUAAAUAUUUUAAGGUAGGUAUUUAGACUAUUUCAUCAUAAAAUAAAUGUAAUUAAUUUUCAUAAAUAUGUGAUAUCAAUAUUUAUUUAUUUUUUUAAUUACUGAUGGCCUUUGAAUAUACGAUACAUAUUACUAAUUCAAAAAAUAAAUUGUGAUUAUUUGUUAAUGUAUAUGAUUACUUGUGAUGGUAAACAAGGUAGAUAUGGUAUAUUUUGAAGUAGAAAAAAAAAAACAAAAGAAAAAACAGAGCUUUUACCAUUGCUUGCCUUAUCAUCUUUUAAAUUAAAGUUAUUAUUCUUUUAUUUUUCAAGUUGCCAACUCAUACGCAUUUUCUUUUAUUGAAUUUGAAGAUCAAUGAUUAUAAAUUUGUGUGAAAAUUUUAAGCCAAAAUUUUAAAUUAAAAUAAUCAUUAAGUUAUUAAAAAAUAAUAACUUAAUAUAACAAAUAUUAUAUCAUAUACUUUAUUGCUACAAGAUUACAAAACCUUAUAUUAUAUUAUGUUUCCAUAUUUCUCCUUUAUAGUGAAGACUCAUACUUUUUCUCUAGUAGAUGUUAAAGUAUUGGCUUAAACUUUUUAACCAGCACAGUAAACCCUUAAGCCUAUAUAUGCUAUAAUGUCCCUCUUCCCUCACAGAUCAAACACUAUUUUUCAAAAUAUUAUAUCUUUAGACUUAACAAAAUAUCUUUUAACCAUAUAUGUACAGUUUGUUUGAUCUCUUUUAAAUAUUGGAGAUUACAACAGAACAGAUGCGAAUUAGCAGUGACGCUGAGUUUAGAAGAUUGAAGUUAAGAAAAUUAAGGAAAGGGUAAGGAUGUAUUUUCAAAGUGAAUUAUUGAGAGAUCUUUGAAGAUUACUUCCGUCAAGAGCUGGGUCCUAUACUCUUAACCCUUUGUCCUCCAGUCAACCAUAAGACAAAUUAUUAUUGAGUGUGAGCAGACAUUAACCACCAAAUUUUCAAACUUGUGAUCCUUAUUGAAUCUGCAUUCCCCUUUACAAAAGUAAAAAAAAAAAGUGCAAAUAACGAAACAAAAUUCUGUUCCUUGACUGCAAGUGCUGUCGGCAUUUUCAGACUUGUAAGACCCUUCUACUUGCAAGAUACCACUGAAUUUGUCUUUUUUUUUUUAAAUUACACUAUAUUAUCUUAUAUUUUAUAAAAAAUUUAAUAAAUAUUAUAAAUUAUAAAUUUUUAUAUUUAAUAUUCUCAAAAUAAAUUAUCAAACAAAUGAUUCAUUUAUUAUUUUUUCUUUUAAAUUUUUGUUAUUAAGAAGAUUUUUGGAUAUUAAGCGUGAAGGGCUCCACUGAUCGCUAAUUUUGCAGCAAUUGCCCUUUUCUUUCUCCCCUAAUUGUUUUGAAAAAUAUCUAGUCUCAUUCAGCGAAGUAUCCAAGGCCAAAGGGCUAAAAGAUGGGACACCCACAUGUGCUUCUAAUUAAAAAGGGUUAUUUUUCGCUACCCCACAUGUUUUGACAAAUCAUAUUGUGUACCCAUUUGUUUCAACAAUCAUCAGUGUGCACCCAUUCUGUUAAAUUCAGCCGUUUAGUUUAACCAAUCAAGGGUAAAAUGGAUAUUGUACAAUAAAUGAAUAAAAAAUCAAGUUAAACUGUUUACACAGAAGAAAGAGAACAAGGAGAAGUAAAAGAACAACAUCAUUUCUGAAAAAACAACUCCAUCUCUGCAAAUCGUACCAUCCAAGAGCAUAAAUCAAAGCAAAUAUGGAGGGAAAAUAUUAUGUGUUGGAGUUGAUGUUCUUAUAUCCCCAUCUAGAGUAAGAGGUUUUGACAUGGUAGCGUCUUAUGACACCAUUGUAUUACAAGUUAUCAUUGGUAGUUUUUUGGCUGAAGGCUGGAAGGAGUCAAGAUCAUGGAUGCAACCAAAACCAUUGUCUUCUUCUAUGCCAAAAUUCAUCCUAGAAGCAUCAGCAAUUGGAAGCCCACCAUCACAUGGAAACUUAAGUGAAUCAUCUGGUGGACCUGGAAGCCCUCUAAACCACAGCACCGAAGGAGGCUGCAGUAACAGCAAUCCGCCAAGCAUACUGAAAUUUAAUGAGUUGGUGUUGUGUGAUUCAGCAUCAGUUUUUAUUUUUUAAAAUGCAUAUUAACAGUGACUGGUGGCAUUUUUGAAAUUUAAUGAUUUGAAAUUCAAAUUGGGGACAAAAUCACCAUUUCACAAAAUAAUUGUCAGAAUGGUUAAAAUAAACGGCUGAAUUUAACGGAAUGGGUGCGCGGUGAUAAUUGUUGAAAUAAGUGGGUUUACGGUAAAAUUUGUCAAAACAUGUGGGGGGUGGCCAAAAAUAACCGAAUUAAAAAAUCUAAAGUUAGGGGGACCAUAACUUACAUUUAAUAUAAUUUAUGAUAGGAGUCCACUUAUGUUACCACUGUACAACAGGUUUGGUCUUUUCUGACUCAAUUGCUGUAAAAGUUUGUUGAGCCCCUUGUACUCGAUAUUAUUUACUAUUUAUUUAUAAGUAUUAUAAAAAUUUUUGCUUACUUGUUAAAACAAACCUCUCGGCCCCACUUCCCUUUUUUUUUUUUUGAAAAGCCCCACUCCCCUUGUACUCGAUAUUUUUUACGCGUUUCUCUUUUCUCUCCCCCACGUGAACACUUUUGCCUUUUGCUCGUUCACGUGAAAGUCAGUUUAGAAUUUUGAUCUUAUUUCACAGAGCUAAUUUUUUUAUCACAAGCAGGAGAGAAACGGCAUUUCUUAGCAGUAGUUCAUCACUGUAGUAGCGAGCGAGUGAGGAACAAAAUUACCAACAAUUCUCAAAAAAUAAUUAUAAAAAAUGAUCACAUGCUAUAAUUAAUCAUGACACUUUGACAACAUUACUCCCACCGAGCAAAAGUUAACAGCAUCUUCUCCCACAUUUUUAAAAAAAAAAUUGUAUUAUAUAACCCACCAAAAGUAUAAAGAGUCUUUUCUUAUUAAAAUUAAUAAAUUACUCUUUAUAUUGAGAAAUUAAAAUUUAAAAUGAGAAUGAUGGGCGAUGUUCAUUUCUUAAAAUAAAAAUAAAAUUUAUGAAGUUUAUCUAUUUUUAGAAUUAAAGAAUAAGAACUUAAUUUCUUAUGGGGAGUGUUGGAAAUCAAGUUCUUAUUCCUUAAACUCUCAAUUUUACCUCACAAAAAUUUAUAAGUUCACUUUUAUCUUUAAUUAAAAUAUUAUUAUGUUAUUAUUAUGGUUAUUAUUCUUAUUUUUGUAGUAGUUGCUGUUGUUUUUGUUGAUGAUGAUGAUAAUAGUUGAUAAUAAAAUUAAUAAUAAUAAUGAAAAUAUAACUAUAAUUUUAACAGCUACAAUAAUAAUCAUUAAUAUUAUCGUUGUUGUUCUUAUUAUUAUUAUUAUUAUUAUUAUUACUACUACUACUAUCCUAUUAUAUUAUUAUUAUUAAAUAAUUAUUUUGAAUAAUAAUAAUCUCAAUUAUUAUAACAAACAACGACAAUAAUGAACUAAUGUCAUUUUCAUAACUUAUAACAAUUUAUUUUUUAUUUCAAGACAAAAUAAACAUAUUAAUAAUAAUACAGGUCAUUUCGAUUAUGAUUCUUACAGGUAAAAUAAAUAAUUUAUUAUGAUUUUCACAUCAUAAUCAUAAUUCUUAUAGUAUUAUCUUUAUUUUAAAAUACUUUUUUUAUUUAUAUUUAUUAUAAAUUAAUUAAAUUAUACCAAUGAAAAUUAAAUAAAAAUUUAAGUAAUAAAAAUGAGAAAAUAUAUGUUUCCGUUUGAAUAAAAAAUUAAUAAUAAAAUAUUUUUCUUAUUUUUUAAUAUUUUUAUUAUGAAGAAAAUAUAUUUUUCUUUUUUUAAUUAUUUUGAAAAAAUAUCCAGACUCAUUCUGCAAAGUACCCGAGGCCAAAGCGCCGAAAGAUAGGACACCCACAUGUGCUUUUAUUUACAAAAUCUAAAGUUAGGGUGGGUGUCCGAAACUUAAAUUUAAUAUAAUUUAUAAUUAGGUAAAAUUCUUUGAUUGACCCAUUAAAUUUUAUUAUUCUACUACUUAUUUUUAUAUUAAAAAAUUAGUAAUGUAGAAAAAUUCUUAAAAGUUAAUGGAGAAGGAAAAGAAAAAGAAAAAGUGUAAAUGAACUGUAUUCACCUAAGUUUCAAACACGUGGUUCAAUCUGAAUUCGCUUUUUUCAAAAGUAAAUACAAAAGAAAAUAUAAAGAAAAAAAAUUAAACGAGACAAAAAUCUGUGGCGUGGGUCAUUCAUAUCUUUUGUCAUUUCUUUUUUAGAGGUACAUGGGGUGGAUAUUUUGAAGUGACAAGCAGAGCUUUUACUGUUGCUUGCCUUAUCAUCUUUUAAAAUUAGAGUUACUAUUCUUUUAUUUUUAAGUAGCCAACGGAUGGUAGCCAACUCAUCCAUGUUCUCUAUUAUUGAAUUUAAAGAUCAAUGAUUUAUGUUAAUAAAUAUUUUGUUAACUAUCAAAGUUUUUAUUUCAAAAUUACUGUUAUAAUUCAUUAAUUUUUCAAUUUUUCCUUUUUCUAUUCACACAACAGAUUGAUUUGCCCUCCAAAAAAAUGUAUUAGAUUGUUUAAUAUUGUAACAUCAAGAAACUUAUAAUAAAUUUUUAAAGAGAUAACUAGAGAAUGUUAGCCUCGCAUCUACUCAAAAUUAAUAAAUAUACCACUAAUUCCUUAUUAUUUUUAUAAAACUAAUAACUUUCUUGGUAGUAUAAUUUUAUAGUAUUAUCCUUAUUUGUAAGUAUAUUUUUAUUCAUAUUUAUUAUAAAUUAAUUAAAUCAUAUCAAUAAAAAUUAAAAUAGAAUAAUAUGUUUUGGUGUGAAUAAAAGAUUGAAAAUAAAAAUAUUUUUCUUAUAUUUUUUGUUAUUUUUAAAUGUUUUUCAUAUAAUAAAUGUACAUUUUAUAUUCUUAAGAUGAAUUUUGAGUAAAUGACUCAUUUACUCAUUUUUUUUCUUUAAAUUUUUGUUACUAGGAGGAUUUUUAGAUAUAAUGAAAAUUGUAAGGUAGUAAGUAAUAUAUAAUAAUUUUAAUAGAGAAAAAUAAAAAAAUCUCUUAUUUUAAAAUAUAAGAAGAAAAAUAAUUAAUUUUAAGAAAUUUUAGAAGAUAUUUCAAUAUGCUGUGGAUCACACCCUCGAAUCUUUGUCGUCUCAGUCAACUAAAAGGACAGAAUAUUGAGCGUGAAGGCUCAACUGAUUGUUAAUUUCACAGCAAUUACCUUUUUUUUCUUCUUUUUUUCCUAAUUAUUUUGAAAUGGUAGGUAGCAAUUGCUUACAUCAAAAUAUUUAGACUCACUCGGCAAAGUAUCCGAGGCCAAAAUGCCAAAAGGUGGGACACCCACGUGUGCAUCUAAUUACAAAGUCUAAAGUUAAUGAAAAGAAAAAGAAAAAGUAUAAAUGAACGAUAUUCAUUCAAACAUCUAGUUCAAUAUGAAUUUCUUUUUACCAAAAGUAAAUUUGGGCGAGACUUUGCGAGGGGCCUCGGUGUGCCCGCGGGGAGUCGUCGGCUGAGCGCUGCCCAAAAAUAAGCGUCCGAAGGUCGUACGCUCGCGUGUGAGGCUGCCCUUGCUCGCGCGGCAACGUAGAGUAUGCUCACGCACGAGGCUGCCCACGCCCAGUCGCAAGUAGGGCAGCGCGCGCGACAAGUGGUUGCCCACUCUCGCGCACAAAACAAGCUUAUAAUAGAGCAGCUCCAGGCAUAUGAGGCAGUAGCCAUAAGACAUAAUUUUGAGAAUGGUGAGUGUGGAAACAGGGAGGAAUUUCAUAAGGUCAAAAAUGGGAUAUUGGCGGGCGAGGCUUUGCGAGGGGCCUCGGUGUGCCCGCGGGGAGUCGCGGGCACAGCCGCACCCCAAAAUAACGCCCCAAGGUCGGGGUGAUAAAAAGGCCUCAGUGCCCCGAGACGGGUGUGCUAUAGCCUUGGUGGGGGGCGCGGGCGAAGUUCGUCCGCCAGCGCGGCCGUGCCCGCAACUUCCGGCGGGCACACUGAGGCCCCUCGCAAAGCCUCCCCCUAUACCGAGUCCGGCGGACGAACUUCGCACGCGCCCCCCACCAAGGCUAUAGCCCACCCGUUUCGGACGAGACUUUGCGAGGGGCCUCGGUGCACCCGCGGGGAGUCGCGGGCACAGCCGCACCCAAAAAUAGUGCCCCAAGGUCAGGGUGCCGAAAAGGCCCCUAGGGGCCCCGAGACGGGUGGGCUAUACUGCCUCAAGGUCGGGUGCUAAAAAAGCCCCAGGGGCCCCGAAACGGGUGGGCUAUAGCCUUGGUGGGGGGCGCGGGCGAAGUUCGUCUGCCGGACUCGGAAUGAAGCGAGGCUAAACGAGAGCCCUCGGGUGCGCGGGCGAUGCUCGUAUGCCGGACUCAGAAUGGGGCGAGACUUUGCGAGGGGCCUCGGUGUGCCCGCGAGGAGUCACGGUGCCAAAAAGGCCCCAGGGGGCCCGAGUCGGGUGGGCUAUAGUCUUGGUGGGGGACGCAAGCGAAGUUCGUCUGCCGGACUUGGAAUGGGGCGAGGUUUUGCGAGGGACCUCGGCGAGCCCGCAGGGAGUCGGCGGCCGAGGACCAUCUUGAAGUCAUCCAUGAGGACGAUGGAGAAAUCAAGCUUUCCGCUCCACGUACUGAGUGUUAAGUGCACGCCUUGUGCAAUUCCUGCAAUUGACUUGGCGGGUGAGUUUACCGCUUUCAUCGUGCCUCUUUUCAUCUCGAUUCCCGAGGCCCGCUGGUCCCAUUGGACGAAACGGAACCACAAUCAGAUGCCUCGAUCAUGAGUUACGGCCAAAACCGGUAAAAACAACCCCGAUCUUACCCCCCGCUGGCGAUCAAAACCCGCUAACGCACUAGCGGAAAAAGGCCCCGAGACGGGUGGGCUUUAGCCUUGGUGGGGGGCAUGGGCGAAGUUCGUCCGCCGGACUCGGAAUGGGGCGAGGCUUUGCGAGGGGCCUCAGUGUGCCUGCGGGGAGUCGUGGGCACCCUGCCCUUCGGGGCCCAAAAAUAAGCGCCCGAAGGUUGGGGUAGCAAAGGCCCCAACGAAAAAAGGCCCCGAGACGGGUGGGCUAUAGCCUUGGUGGGGGGCGCCGCCGCACAAUUCAUCCUCCGCGGCCCUUUCCCCACUCCCCGGUGGGUCCGAGGUGUCCCGGAGAGUUACGAACUUGACGUGAUAAGUUGUAUAUUUCACGUGAAGUGUUACAUCCUUACUUCUUCAGCUUCCUUGUACGUUCACUUCUUAAGAAUCUGGCUAUGUUUUUUUAAUUUUAGGUAUUUUUAGUGUUGAAAUCUGGCUUGUAGUUGGGCUUAAUGAGUAGUGUAAAGAUUGUUGAUCAAUGAUUAAUGUGCUUGUUGCUGAUUUAUUUCUGUUUUUGUUUCAGAUUGGUGAGUGUCGCCUUGGUGGGGGGUGAGGGCGAAGUUCGUCCGCCGGACUCGGAAUGGGGCGAGGCUUUGCGAGGGACCUCGGGGAUGCAGCCCAGCCUCGCAUGCCAGCAGCACAUGCUCGCGGGCAAGGAUGGGCGCUCGCGCGGGGCAUACAGUAGGCAGUCGCGCGGUAAACUGCCCACGCUCUCGAGGCAAGCAGCUCCUAGUCGGGCAAGGCAGUGCGCGCUCGCCACCAAGGCAAGUAGCCCAAGCUCGCGCGAGGAAGUCAGGCCAGGCUUGUGCGCGCGCGUGGGGUGAGGCUUCGUAAGGGGCCUCAGUGUGCCCGCGGGGAGUCGUGGGCAUAGCCGCACCCAAAAAUAGUGCCCCUAAGGUGGUGGGGGGCACGGGCGAAGUUCAUUCGCCGGGCUCUGAAUGGGGCGAGGCUUUGCGAGAGGCCUCGUUGUGCCCACGGGGAGUCACGGGCACAGUCGCGCCCAAAAAUAGUGCCCCAAAGUCGGGGGGCCAUUGACUGGUGUACCACGAUCAUAUUUAACUGUUGUAUGCAUGAAUCCUUGUGACAUGACAUAUAGCCAAUUAAAUUCUGACAUGCGUGCAAUAAAGACUGUAAAGUGACCGGUUAUUCCGGUUGAAUUCACAAGAACUCUUGUUUGUGUGUUUAUGUUCCAAGUUGUGUACUCUUUGUUACGAGUUCUCUAAUUAGUCUGAUAUUAUCGCAACUGAUGCUCAAUAAUGUUACAGGUUUUAUAAUAUAUGUCACUGGUACGAUCGCUGUCACAAAUUUUGAACGAAAAGUUCCUAAUAAAACAAGUUAUUUAAUUAAUUAAAUAAGAAUAAAAUGAAUUUGUGAAAAAAAAUUUAAUUUAAUUUUGAAUUAUUUUAACCAAAAUUUAAGUUUUUUUUUUAAUUUGUUUAAGAAAAUGCGUUUUAAUUGGAAAAUCAAUGAAAAAAUUUAUGUAACAGAAAAAAAAAAAAAGCAAAACGUUUUGUUUUGGAUGGAGGCCAUAGAUUCCAAUAUUUCCUUCACGAAAACUACAAAAAAUUAUCAAAGGCAUCAAUUUCUACACUCUCACCGAGCAAUACUCUUAACCCAGAAGAAAGUGUAUAAACCAACCCCAAUCAGUCCAUCAAUGUCGUCAACCUCAUACAAUAUAAAAAAAAUCCGUGUCCAUUAAACCGUCUUUAUUGAGCCAUUAGACUAUUCGUGUCAUCUUCCCAUCUCGUUGUAGUAUUUUGCCGUUCAAAUCUAGUUAUCAAUUGGGGAAAAUGGGGACCAAUCUGCAAGUCUUUAAAAUAGAUAGGAACUUUAAUUGGGCACUAUGUUCACAGUGGUGGACCCAGCAGCAUUAAUAUUUAAGGUGGAGCUAUUUGUAUCUUAAAAAUGAUUUUAAAUAUUCUAAUUUCAAUAAGAAUAUAUAUUAUAAAAAUAUUUAUUAUAUAAGUUAUUGGACAAUAUAUUAUAAGUCAAUAUUAUAUAAUUACUUUGAACACUUAUAUAGCACAAUCCUAAUUUAAUUUAUUAUUCUCAUGACUUAAAUAUAAAAAUUUUUAUUUCCAACAUCUUAAUAAAUAUGUAGAUGAAUAAUAAGGAAAUUAACUUUGAGAAAAAAUUAAAUACAAAAUAUGUGUAAUACUUUUAAAAAUAAAAUAAAACAAAAGUAUUGCACAAGAUUUUUUUUGGGGGGAGGGGGGGGGGGGGGGCUUUGGCCAUUCUUCUUCUUCUUCUCCUUCUCUCUCUCUCUUUUUUUUUUUGGGUAGUAUUUAUGGAACAUUUUCUAUUGUUAUGUUCUCAUCACAAGUUAUUUUGGGUGUAAAAUUCAAUAUUGAAAAUAAAUUAAAUGAAAAAUUAGUAACGAAAAUUAUGUUAAAUUAUUUUUUUAUAACUUAAUUUUUAAUUAUAUUAUUGUGAGUAUAUGCUAAAUCUCUUAAAAAUAGAGUGUUGAAUAAUUUUAUUAGUUUUUUUUUAAAUAAAUAAAGUUAAGUAACUUAAAAAGUUUAAGUAAGGAUAUUUUUGAAUUUUAAUUAGUGUACAAAGUAAAGUUUAAUUUUUUUAUAAUUAAAUUAUAAACGUGAAAAAUAAUAGAAUGUUCAAAAUAAUAUUUAGAGUACUAAUAAUCCUACCUUAAUCUUUAUCAUCACAUUAUUUUUCAUAAAAAAUUUACAAUUACCUCUUUAUUGGAUAAUUUUGUUCCCUCUCUUACCUUAUGUUCCCUUACAUUCUCAUUUCUGCAUCACCAUUUAAAUUGUAAUCAUAACGUUAAUCUUUAUCCAUCACAUAUUUUGCCAAAUUUAUUCGCACCGCAAAGCUCUUUCCUUUUUUUUUUUUUCCUCCGUUAAGUUUGCUAUAAUGUACGUGAAGAAUAGUUAAAGAGCUCUUUCGUGUCCUUACCCUUUUUUUCGGGUUCACUUUUGCUGCUUUUUAACGUUUCUCCAGAAUUCACUUCAACAUGACUGGCGCAUUUUCUUCUUUCUCGUUGCAACAUCAACUGGGCCACCACCUCUUGCCUCUCCCGGUUCCCCUCAAUUUUCGUAUUCAAUGUCCACCGUUGAUUGUACAUUUAUUAAAACUCUGUGGUUAUUGUUUUUUUGCAUACAUUUAAUUCCACACGGUCUAUCAAUAGAGCAGGUGCAUCGUAGUUGUGGCCUUAACUGUUAUUGGUAACUCAAUAGCUAAUUCUAAUGUUUCAUCAAGCAGUUUAGAGAUAACCUCUCUCGCUGAACUCCUUGGAGUAACGCAAUCCAGUUUUCCAGUGCAAUCACCAGACAGUUGAACAGCUUCUGAAUUCCCUAUGCUUUUCUUGUUUUCUUUUCCAUGUAAAGGGAGCUCAGGCUUCAAUAUAUCUGGGGAUUGAUUACUAAUGAUAAAGACAACAUACGGUAGAGGACACAAAUUGUUAUUAAAGAAUGAUGCACUUUUCAACUGAGUAUAGUAAAGCAAGAAUGGGUAAUUAGUUUUACCUGCAACGUGAAAAUCUAGACUCCCGACGGUAACCGAUCUUUGGUCAAGCAAAUAAAGAAGAAGGCGAAGUAAAAUUCACUGAGUUGAAUGAGCGAUCAUUGCGUAUGGACUUGACUUGUUCAAUGGGUGAAAGACUGCUGAUAUAAUUAAAGACUGGAGAAUCCUGCACGUUGACAAGCAUCAUUUUUAAUCUAACAUAGAGUCUUAAAAACUUUGUCAGUGGCAAAUGAUCACGACAAGAAAUCUGAAGUAGAAACAGCAGAGCUCAACAAAUCACUAAGAGAAAAUAAGACCAAUAACCAAGCAGAUAAAAGAAAAGCAAAAUAACCCAUCUCAAAAUCACCGCAUGCACAAUUAGGGAUGGCAAUUUCCGGGUCCGGGUCCGGGUCCGGGUUUGGCUGUUCCGGAUCCGGACCCGGACACGAAAUUUUCAUAACCGGACCCGCAUUAAACCCGGGUUUUUUUAAUCCGGGUCCGGUCCGGGUUCAACCCGGAAAAAUCCGGGUUUCCGGAUUCCGGGUUUUGAACCCGGAUUGCUUAUUUUUUUUUUUUUAGAGACCAUAUAACUUAUUUUAACAAGGCACAGGGGAUGGGGUUUAAUGUUUUAAUCUUUUCCCCAACAACACACUACACAAUUCUUCCUAGAAUUGGUUCAAUAAAAUUUGAUGGAUAAAAGGCAAAAUAAAAGAACAUAUAACACAUCAGUGACAUCACUAGACUACUAGAACCAAAUUGUUUAACUUUGGUUCAUCAAAAUUUGCCGGACAUAGGGCAAAAAAACAGAACAUAUAAACACAUCCAGAACCACCAGCCCACUAGAACCAAAUUGUUUAACUUUGGUUCAUCAAAAUUUGCUGGACACAGGGCCAAAUAACAGAACAUAAUAACACAUCCAGCUUCUAAAACAAAUACAACACAAAUACACAAUAUAAAAUCUAAAAUUCAAAGUUUUAAAGUAAUAAACAUCCACAAAUACAAAUUCAUAACAUAAUUCUAUAAUUUAAAGCUGAAAUUUCCAGCCACUGCCCACUAGUGCUCAGAUUUCUAGCCACUGCCCACAGCCCACCAAUGCUCAAAUUUCCAGCCACCGCCCACUAGUGCUCAUAUUUCCAGCCACUGCCCACAGCCCACCAGUGCUCAAAUUUCCAGCCACUGCGGCACUGCCCACCAGUGCUCAAAUUUCCAGCCACUGCCCACCAGUACUAAAGACUAAACUCUGAAUCAUGCACUUCAUUGGACUGUUGUUCACUCAUCAAACUUUCAUCAAUCAAAUGCUCUGCAGAAAGUAUUGCUUCCUCUGGAAUUCCAUUUACAAAAAAUGUGUAAAUCAUAAACAUAAUGAACAAGACAACCAAUUAGUGACAAAUUGAUAAUAAGAACAAUACAACAAAUAAUUUGAUUCUAAUAAAUAAAAUUUUCAUACCUUUUAAGUUUUGUUCAAGCCAAAACCAAUUUUGAGUGCACACUAAUGCCUCUACUGUGGAUGGGUGAAGUCUACUACGAUGAGGGCUCAAAUGUCUACCUCCAGUGCUAAAAGCAGACUCUGAAGCAAUUGUUGAUACAGGAAUGGCCAAAAAGUCCCUUGCAAUCUUUGCAAGUAUAGGAUAUUUGCCUUGAUUAUUCUUCCACCAUGAUAAAAUGUCAAAUUGACUAGUUGAAGGCAAAGUACACUCCUCAAGAUAAAACUCUAAUUCUGAUUUGGAAUGAGUAUUUUGCGUGUUUUCAUUUCUAAAUAAUGCCCACUCAUCAGCCAUUUCAUCCAAAUCUAAAUCUAACAUAUUAGAGUCCUCUCCUCCAGCAGCUUGAGAAUUGGCACCAUUAACCCCCCCACUUGAAUUUGAUAGAUGAUUUACUUCAUACUCAUGUACUAAAUCAACAAAUAACUUACGCACUCUUUCAAUUUCAGAUUCAGCUCUUUCCCCAUAUAUUUUAGGAAAUAAAAAGUUAAUCAAUAACAUUUUACGCCUAGGAUCUAACAUAGUCCCCACUGCAAGAACUCCAUGAAUAACAUCCCAAUACUUUUCAUACUUUGCAAUCAUCCUAGUAGCCAUAUUUUUUAUCCCCUCAAUUGGUGAUUGCAACCAUGCAUUCAUUGACAAUCUAAUUUCACAAAUCUUGGCAAAAAAUAAAUUAGAUGUCGGAUAUUGUGUCCCCGAAAAAAGUUCUGUCAACUUAUAAAAGCUUUUUAAAUACUCACACAUAAGCUUUGACAAAUUCCACUCUGACUCACUAGGUAAAGAUGUAUAAUUUCUCUCACGUUCCUUUAAACGAUCAAAUACAUUUUUAUACAGCAAUGCAGUACUAAGCAUCAAGUAAGUAGAGUUCCAUCUAGUUUUACAAUCAAGUACUAAGUUUUUGGUUUCCUUAAUACCUAAUUGUUUUUUUGCAUUCUCAAAUUUUUCAACUCUAGCUGGUGUUGCUGUCCAAUAAUGAACACUAUCUCUAAUUUUCUCAACUCCCUUUUGUAUCACUGACAAACCAUCUCUAACUAUCAAGUUCAAUAUAUGAGCACAACAACGCAUGUGAAAGAAUUUGCCACCCAUAAUCAUUGAACUAGUAGAAAAUUUCCCCAACAACAAGGCAAUCAUAGAAUCAUUUGCAGCACAGUUAUCAGCAGUUACAGAGGACAAUUUUCUAUCUAUAUUCCAAUCCAUCAAACAAUCAUAUAACUCAUUACACAUUACCUCAGCACUAUGUGGAGCUGGCACAUAUAUAAACCUAAUAAUGUGAAAAAAUAAUUAAAAUAUUAGACAGGACAUUAAUUUAUGCUUAAACCAGAAAAAAAAGUUUCAAGAAUAUUACCUCAUAAUACGACUUCGCAACACCCAUGAACUAUCAAUGUAAUGUGCCGUAAUAACCAUGUAUCCUUUUUUUUGGUUACUAGCAGUCCACAUAUCAGUAGUAAUUGCGAUUCUACUCUCACAAGCUUCCAAAAUACCCAUUGUCUUUUUCUUUUCAACAUCAUAAAGCCUCAAAAUUUCAGCUUUGAUGGUGUUUCUACUAAUAGUCUCAAUAGAAGGUUGGAGUAGCUUCAACAAGUCAUAAAACCCAACAUACUCAACAAAUGCCAAUGGGAGCUCAUGUAAUACAAUCAUUCUAGCUAUAAAAAGCUUUACUGUAGCCAUAUCCCAUUUUGACUCAGAACUAAAAUUACUAAGUGAAGUGCUUCCAUCAACUUUAGAAGAAAAGGAUAGGUGCAUUUGCUGUACAUUCUUAAAUGACCUUCUAGGACAACGUUUAGCAUGGUUUAUUAAGUGAUUAGUACCCCUCGAAUAAUGUCCUUGCAUAACUAACCCACAGUAAUUGCAAAUUGCCUGAACUUCCUCACCCAACUUAACUUUUUUGAAAUGAUUCCAAGCAUCAGAGACUACUCUACCACCACUAUCUCGUUUUUGUGAAGUGACAGAAUUAGUAUUACCCCUACGGCCACGGCUACGGCCACGACUAUUCCCCUGAACUGCUGCUGUUGAAUUUGGUUCUAAUUCAACAGCUGUAUCGUUAUUAUUUUCUAAUUCUGUCCUAACUCUCACACAAACACUUUCAUCACUUUUUUCAGAGGCGUCCAAGUCGAUUCUUUGUUCAUUUUCCAUAUCAAAUUUUCACUCUACAAAAAUUAUGUCAAGAUAUAAUUAAUUCCAGCAACUUCUUCCAAUUUAUAUGCUAUGUUUAACCGUAAAAGCUAUAAAUAAUAUUUUAGAGAUACCAUUUCUAUUCUAUUAACAGCAACAAUAAAAAUAAUUCAAAAAAUAAACUAUAAAUAAUAAAAUUGAAGCAUAACAAAGUAUAGAUACUAAAAAUCACAGAGUUUAGCUAUUAAAGUCACAAAGUAUAGAUAUUAAAAUUACAAAGAGAGCAAAACAGAACACAGAACACAGAGCACAGAACACAGAACAUAUUUGAUUUGAAAACUCAAUGUUAAUGGGUCUUUUAAGCAAAGGUAUGUUAUCAAGUUUUUAUGCAACCUUAGAGAUAGCUAGUAUAUUUAAUCUAUCUCUACAGAAUUCUGAUACAGAUUAGUAUGAUUUACUGUGUUAACCGAUAUUAGACUUCUUUUGCAGACUCAAAAAAGUGCCUGCGACAAAUUUGCAGAUAUCCUAAACAAUUCUUACUGCAUUGGCAGAUUAUUCUAAAUUUCUAAUCGAGGAAAAGGAUCAGGAGUGUACAAUACUAACUGGAAAGAGUCAUUACUCUUCAAGCAACUCAGUAUACACAAGUAGUAAAAGCACAGGACAAGGUCGAACCCAAUUUCAGUGAGAGAAAGCAGAAGCAAGCCAAACAGAGUAUUAAUGCUAGUCAGGCUCAGAACUACCAUUCAUGCAGCUAGCCAUAGGCAGCAGCCCUUUGGCUAAUUAUACUUCAAAUUCAAUUCUAAGCUUACUCACUAACCAACUCUUAAUGCACAAAACCAACAAUACGCGGCAGAAGAAAAAUGGCAACUGUUCUGUUUUAGACAACAAUUUCUCCUUGUGCCAGAAAAACAAAGAACAAAAAGAGGCAAAUAAUUCAGAAAAACAAAAAGCUUAUAAUUAGUCAAGUGCUCUCAUAUGUCAUAUACAAAGAAAACAAUGUAUGAGGAAAAAUCAAAUUGUGCCAGCAGCAAUACAAGCUCAAAGCAUAACAGCACAAAAAUUGCAAAGAGGGAAAAUCAAAGUGUAAUAGAGCAUAAAUUGUAAAGAGAAAAGCCGAGACUCACAAAUAUUCACAGCGGCAACUGAAGUAUAUGCUGAUGAACACAGAACACAGCAGCGAGACUGAGGUGGAUUUCAACCCCUUUUGCUGGCCGCGACAGAGUGAGAGAUCAGACGAGUGAUGAAACGAACAAAGCCUCGCCGUGAAGGUGAUGACAAGCCACGACGCGAAGGAUCUGAUCUGAUCUGAAGAAGAGAUUACAGGAGAGUUGCAGAGAGAGUGAGAGAGAUUAAGUGACGAUGGAGGACUGAGAUGAGCAAUGAGUCACGGCUCACGGGUGAGAGAGAUUGAGAGAGGAACGGAUUACGGUUUACGGAUGAGACUUGAGAGAUUGAAAGGAGAAAUUACAGAUUUACAGUAAUUUUUUUUAGGUUGAAGGAGAAAUUUCGAGAGAGGAUUAGAGGAACGAGACGAGAGAGAUCUAGAUUCUAGGGUUCACUUUUGUUUUCGUUUUUUUUUUUUCUAUUUAUAAUUACGGAUUUACGGAUCAAAAUUAAUAUUAAAAUAAAUAAUAUCCGGGUCCGGGUUCCGGAUUUGCGGGUUCACCUGAAACCGGAUCCGGACCGGAAAAAUGCGGGUUGUCAAAAACUGAUCCGGAUUCCGGAUAAAAACUAUGCCGGUGCGGGUUGAACCCGGACCGGAUUUUCCGGGUUCAAUCCGGGUCCGAUCCGGGUCCGGGUUUGAUUGCCACCCCUAUGCACAAUUUAAGGGGUUUGUGACAUGGGUUUAAACAUGAUUUAACAAGUGCCACCUGUGAAUUGUCAGAGAUUGUAUUUUCAUACACAUGUCAAAUUUUCAAGUCCAACAAAUUGUUAUCUUUCUAAAGAGGCUAAUAUUAUUAUUAUCUAUGCAUAGCAUGCUAGAAACAAUUCAUAUUACUAGGGCCUUUGUUUUCUGUAAACAACAUAUGGACAGAGGAACAAAUCCCUGAGCUAAAAUCAUCAUAUUCCAAAAUAUUCUAUUAAAUCAACACCACAAAACGCGAACGCUAAACAGAAUUGGAGCAAUUUACCAAAGCUAUUUGUCACGCAAAGCACUAGUACCUCAGAACCCAAUUUGCAAAACAGCACCAAAAAUGAAAAAUAACAAAUGCCCAGAUGAAAUAUCAGGAAAAAAAAGGCUCAAAUCCAAAUUACAACCCCAUAAGCUGAAUCGUUCUCUUCGAACUGAAUUAAAAAAAAUUAAAAAAAUUAAAUAGGGAGAUUGACCUCAAACUUUGGAAACAGGAGCGACAGCGAUCUGUUUCUUGUCUGGAGUGUCCAUUUCUAUAAUCUACAUUGUCCAUUUUCAGUCGCUCUGCCACAGAGCUUCUUCCCUCUGAAGCUGAAGCUCACACACACUUGCAAAACGAAAGCAUUUUUAGUGAUUGAGAGGCGGGAAGGCGGGAAAAUGAGAGAAAUUUACAUUUGUUUUCUCUUGGUUUGGUCAUACCUGUGCGGGCCCCAGCUUGACAAGCGGUAUUAUUACUAUUUGUAUAAUUUAAAUGACGCGUGUCAGGCAAUGACGAUAAAAAAUAUAUACAUAUAUUGUUAAUUUUUCACUUAACAUUAAAAUAUCAUAUAAUUUUUCCAAUUUUAUGGUUAUUUUCUCGCCCUUAUGCCACAUUCUUUUGAUCAAAUAAUACAGUAAAACUUUUCUAUAAUCAUAAUAUUAGAGCCAAAUUAAAUUUGUUUCUGUAAAGAGGCUAUAGCUUAAUAAAGGUAAAAUUAUAAAAAUUAUUAUUUUGACUCAGUUAUCUUUAGUGCAAGUGAUAUAAAGUACAGAUAUAUGAUAAUUAAUUAAUGAACUAUGUCAAAUACAAUAUGCUGACAAUGAUAAAAAAGAUAGACAUAAUUUCAAGAAACUAAUACAUAUAUUUAUGUAGUGCUGGGAUUAUACAAAAUUAUCUUAAAAGUGUAAAGAUUAAAGUACUAUUAUGAUUAAUUUAAAAAAAUUAUUUUAUCUUAAUCUUUAAUGCAACAUAGUUUUUUUUUUUCUUAGCAACAAAGCAUUGUUCCAAAUAAUUAUUAUUGGAUUCAAAUCAUGUCCUAGGCAUUUUUUCUUCUGGUCGUCUUAAACUUUUAAUGAUUUAUUGGCAUGUGUCAUUAAUGAAAUUAAAUAACUAAGACUUUGUUUUAAUUAACGUUUACAUAAAUAGACAUCAAAACUCACGUGUGAUUCUUAUCAAUUUUUUUCCUGCAAUUUUUUUCCUCUCAACUAUUCAUAUUUUGACAUUAAUUUCCAGCAAAUUAUUAAAAAAGAAGAAGCGUAAAAUGGAGAAAAGUGAUUGACAACAAGGUUUGCAUCUUAAUUUCAAAAUUUUCCUUUCUUUGCUAUUUUUGUGGGUUCUACAAUUGUUGUUUUCACUCUCAGCUGCAGUUCAAUGAACUCUAUUAAUAACCAUGAAGCUUAAUGUAUCAAUUCCAGUACGACAAGUCCUUCUACGCAUGUUACAACACUUUUUUGUCAUUAUAGGUUGCAAAUGUUCCGUAAUGUACUCAUUCAUAUAACGGAAACGCUAUUAUCAAUAAUGAAAGUUGACUAAGUUUGUAAAUUCUAUUUAACGAAAAAGUAUCAUAAAUUUAGUUGAACAAGAGGUAAUUAAUAUGUAAUCUAUGAAACUAGGGUGUGACUAAGUUACAUAGUAAUGUAACUUACAUGAACACAAAAAUAAUUAGUUUUUAAACUACAAGUAGCUUUGAAACAGCUCUUAAAUUGAUAUAAGUUCUAUUAUUAUGUAACUUAGCAAGGUCAGAUAUUUUAAUAAUAGCUUACUCUACCGUGCCAAUGUCAUUAGUAUUAAUCUGUUGAACCUAAGACCAGAUCUAAGCUGAUCUAGAUUCCCCAAGAUCGCACACCACACAGUGAUUAAUGAAUCAAGAACAAUAAACCAUCAAAGAAUCGCAAACUUACAUGUCGGGUUACAUGUAAUAAAUGUUUUAAUUAUUAGAUGAUUCAUAAUGUUAGACCAUUUUUUGUAUGUUUUGUAAUCUACGUUUGAUAAUUUAAUUAGCUGAUAAACACUUGAAUAAUAUUAUUUUAUUAACUAUGUCAUUGAUCCCCAGGAAAAAAAAAAAAACCAAUUUGGGAUGUUAUACAUUGCUUUUUCAUUAAUUCCCAUUUUAUAUUAAUAUUUAUCACAUAUAUUCUUAGUAACUUGUAACCCUUUUUGCUAAGGGUGAAAUGUGUUUGUUACCCCUUCUAUUUCUGAGAUUGUCCUUACAAUAAGGAUGCCGGCCCCAAUGUCAAAAACUGCUAUCUCUGGGUGUAAAUUCCUUAUAAAAUUCUUUUUUAAUUGAAAUUACUUAAAUAAUUGAAGAUAAAUUAAUUUUUUAUUUCAUUCAAAUAAAAAAAAUCAAUUAAACACUUAAAUAAGCUAUCCUUUUAAUUUUUUUUUUACACCCCUCCAGUUUCAUAAUUUAUAUUUAUAAUUUAAAUUUUAAUGGAAAAUAUUUUUUUGAAAAAUUUUAAGAAUUAAGAAUUAUGGGGAUAAAAAUUAUGUAAUAAGAACAAAAUAAUUUAAAAUUUUAAAAUUUGCAUGCAUUAUAAACAAAAACUUGAAAGAAAUACUCUUUUCAGGGUGAAAUUUAAUGAGAAAAAGAUUAAUUUUAAUUUAUGAAUUAGUAUUUUAUAAGUUAAACUGAGGUAUUUCAAGAAAUAGAAUUCAAAAGGCAUGGGAACGAGGGCCUUGGGUUUCAUUUUGUUUUGUAGGAAUUGGGAAAAAUACACGGACAGACAAAGGGAGCAGUCAUUAUAAUGCUGUGAAGCUGGUCGGAGAUACCCUGCCCAUUUGUAGCUUAGACUCCUGGGGUUUUGUUCAUGUCUUUUAUGUAUCCCACUUUUUCAUGCAGCAGAUGUACAUAUGAUGAGAUGAAAACAACAGCAAAAAUUGCUGUCUCAUAAGAGAAAUAGUCAUACAUAGUUGGUUAGGCCUCCUGUCCAUUAACUUAAUAAUGAAUUUUAUGAAAAUUGAUUAUCUCAUUGGAAUUACAUAGAUAUUGGAAAACAUUACUCCAGCCCCACCAUCCCAACCAUUUACUUAGUUCAUCAGUAAAAGCUGGAUUUUCCAUUUGUUCUUGAGAUUCAAAUUAAGGCAACAAGUUGCUCAUUCUAUAUUAUCUAUGUAAUCCUGUAAAAGUGAAGGGCGUUUAGAUGUGGAAAAACCUUACUCCUGCCGCAACACCUCAAACAGAUUGUGAUCAGACAAGACUUAGUUCAUCAUUAGCGGUAGUUGGAGCUUCCAUUUGUUCUAGAGAUUCAAAGGCAGCAAGCUGCUUCCUCAGUGCUACUAAUUCUUCCCCGGCAUUGCAUAUGUAGCCUGAGGCUCGUCUGCCAGACAAAGUUGCUCCUUCCAUACUAUCUAUGUAAUCCUGUGAGAGUGAAACCAUUUAGAAGACAUCUCUUUUUUUUUUUCAAUAUUUGGAAUGAAACAAUUAUAUACAGUUACCUGUUUUGUAUAUGAGCUGGCGAGGAAGAAGUUCUUCAUUGGUAUCUUUUGAUCAGGUCUGAAGGGGUCUUUACCAGGUCCCUCACCUCACAAAGAUUGCCGGAUUUUGACGACAGAUAACCAAAUAACUUCUAAACCUUGGGAUGAUGGAAUUAGAGCUAAAACCUAAUAAAAGGAACCGUGAAUGGAUAGUAUGGAUUCAUGUAUAUUAUCCAGAAAGUUGCAUGACCGUUUGUGGUACUCAGGUCACUAAAAAACGUGAGAUAAACAUCUAGGAUAAGAAAAGCAAAAAAGCGUAACCUAAUAUGUAUUAUAUGAAUUGAAGGUGUCACUGAACACUACUAACCUGCUUUGCCACUCUCCUUAUGAUUUCAUCAUUUGGUAAGGGCAUAUAAGGAUCUCCAGGCGUCAAAACGCAUCUGAAAGAUAAUAUGGUUAUAGGAAGCAAGAUGGAAUACAAAGACACUUGGCAAAAGGAAGUCAAUCAGAUUCCAUGCACAAAAAAUAACUAAAAAUGACGAGGAUAAGAAAUGUUUCUUACUGGAGAAAUGAACCUUGCCCUUCUCUGUAGUAGUAUUCUGGUGAAGUGAGUGCUAGAUCUGCAAAGCAAGAGAAAUCUGCAUCUGGAGUAUAUAAAAGGUUAUCUAACCCCACAGCUUGCCUCAAUUGCCUACAUGUUCAAUACAAGGAUCCGUUAAAAAAUGGAAAUUUCUUCAAUGCAUUAGUAAAGGGGAGUGAAGUGAAAGCUGAUUUCUUAGGCCUUCACAGAGCAUCUUGUGUUUGACAGCAAGCAUUAAAGAAUAAACUCAAAGUCAAUGCUUCUAACAGAUGAUAUAAACAACAAAUUUACAAAUAUCAGGUCAUUGCAUUAGCUCCAUGCCUCCGUCAGAGCGAACAUUAAUAGAUGCGUAAAAAAUAAAUAAGAGCGAUAUGUGAAACAAUUUACCUUAGACAUGGCAAGUCCUUUGACAAAUGUUUCCCCGUUAGCAGAUUUAUCAUAAUGCAUCUCUCUGCAUCCCCACCUAAGAUGGAACCUGUUCUCACAAGAACAGAUUCCAAGGUUGGGAAAAUCAAUUGAUCAUCGGAGAAAACAAACAGGAUUAACAAAUCACUACAAUGGUGUGAACCUGUAAAUACAAACGUACCUGCCCCCUUUAUCUGUGAUAUAUUUUCUUAUUGGCCCACUCAAAUAAACAUCCGGAGAACCCUUGAGCAUCUGCAAUAGGGAAGCCUCGGUCUUAGUUGCAAACAGUGCAAAUAUAGUAUGCAUACAACGAGCAAUGAUGUUAUCACAAUCAAUAAACCCAAGGGCAAACGCAACAGGAUCUUACAUUCUUUGGAUACUCAUCCAUGUACCACCCUUGGACAAAAACCAAUCAGAGAAGCUUAUCUGUAAGAAGAAAUGAAGUUUGAGGUAAAAUAAAAAUUUGUAGGAACAGGGAUUGAAAUUCAACAAACAAGAAAAUAUGUUGUUUGUUGAAAUUCAACAAACAACAAACAAGGCUCCAUCAGGAUCAAGAAGUGCCUUUACAACAGGACUCAGCGCAAGAGCAAUAGCAUUUCUUGAUUUAUCAUAAGUCUGCACUUGAGCAAUAUACGAGGCAAAGUACAUCAAAAGAGAAUCCAAAAGAGGCAAGAAGCUUCAACAUGAAAAAAGGAGUACUGCCUCGUCAUACUGCUUUGCAAUCACAGUGCAAAAGAUAACAUCAACAAAAUCAAAAUCGAGCAUAAAUCCGUAUGCACUACCUUAAGCUGAUUUGUAGACAAAAAUGCACGAAUCCCAUGUAAUGGAGCUCCAAUCGGAAACCGGAAAUCAAGUUCUGGAGUUGAAAAUCAAAAUCAUGAAUCAAAUCAGAGUUAUUAUUGAAUUAGACAAUCCAUAAACCAAUAGAAGGUGAUGUCAAACCAUCAAGCAUAACUAUUAGUUGUUUUAAGUGAUCAAGAAAUAACUGUACCACCAAUUUCACCACCCUUAUUUACAAAUUUAUGAGUAUGAUCCUUCAUGAGUAAAUUUUCGUCCGCACCGACCUGUCGACAUCCAUGAAAAACUAUCAGAUCAUAAACACAUGUUCCAGUUAAAGAGGAUCUAUGAUUCUGAUCCAUCAUGUUAUUUGAACAACAUUUUCGGAUUUUCUUACAACCCUAAGCUAUUAUCAGUUAUCAUCGCUACAAAUGAUAUGGUCAAGAGGAAUGAUAGUUCUUGUUUCAAGAAUCUCAAAUCGUAAUUCUUUUGCAUGGCUUCUGUGCUUUUAUAAUCAUUCAAACACGCAUAUCCACAACUAAGCAAGCUUUACCUUUUUUGUCAAUCGGAACAGAUUAUUGCAGCAUCCAAAGAAAAUGUGCAGGCUGAUUUCAAUAUGGUUUCCAUGUUUACCGACAAAUGAAGCCACUUUACCACCAAUAAAAGACCUCAACUCAUAUAUAUCCACCUGGAAGAAAGGAAAAUUUAAAAAAAAGGAACUUCUAAUUUCUUUCACCAUCAACAAAAUCAGAAAAACACAUACUAAUUCAAAAUGAAAUAAAGUUUGUGAAUUGAAAUAAUGCCAACUCCUAAGAAAAAUUAUGACUGCUGAUAUUUUUUCCGAAAUGCUGAUAAAAGCUUCUGCUAUUUACUUUGAAAAAAUUGAGGUUAGAAGCCUAUUUACUUGAAAUUUUGAGUUUAGGCAAGAGGAUGAAUGGUAAAAGUGAAACAUUUUAGGGAAAAAUGUACGUCAGUGGCCAAUGAAAGCAUUAAGAAGAUUGAAAUCUAAAUGAGCAAAACCUCAUGGCCUUGAUCCAACAAUUCCACUGCUGUUGACAUGCCUGCAAGCCCAGCUCCAAUAAUAGCCACUUUCAGCUUUGGUCCUCUAUAAUGUUCCGGUUCUGGUGGAAACAAUUAAACAAACCCUUGGGAGCUGCCAAGUAUACCAUCCAAUUAUCCACAGCGAUAAUGGAAAUAUAUAUGUGUUUGAAAGUACUAAAUUCCUAAACAUGACAUGUAUCCAAAAAGUGACGCAAAGCAGAAUUGCGGAAGCAUUUCAAUUCCCAAUAAAUUUCAAGAAUACAAAAUACUCGGUCUGUUCUUUCAAUUCCUUCAAUAAAAUUUCCACUAGAGGCUACGCAAGCCACUCAAUAACACUCCAAAGCCAGAUUUUAAACGUUAUCUUUAUCUUUAACUCCAAUCCAUAAACAAUUCUGCCACAAAUUCAAUCCAAAAUUGUUCAAGUGCACCGCCAAUUCUCCAUCAAUUCCCUCAAAAAUUCAUAAUUGGCAAACACUACAAACCCAAAAGAGCUUCCAGCAAUAAACGCAUAAAAAUCCACCAAGCAACAUAAAACAAAAUACCCAGAAACCAGAAAAGCCAAAAGAUCAAUGCUUGGCAAACAAGCAAAUCAAAUAAAACAAAAAGAAGUGGAAUUUACCCUUAACGCUCAUAUCAGAAACAUUAGUGUCCAAAGAAGCCCGUACACGGAAUCUUGGACCCUUCACUUGAACCCGAGACCAUCUAACGCCAGUAACUGAAGUUGCAGGAAACAGAACUGAAGAACCCAUAUUGCAAAUCCUGAGCUGAAAUCAAAGAAAUUCAAUUGGAACUCAAUUCAGCUCAACCGAGCGGAGCUCUCUUUUGCUUCAAUAACAAAGUGUUUUUCUUUCAUAUCAACAAAGAUUUGUCAACAUCAACAAAAUUUAACUAAGAAUCUAACAAGAUGCUAAGGAAGAGAGUUUUGUCAGGGAACUGUUUCGGUGUGGUUGGCCAAGUGCUUCUUUGUUUGUUUUUUUUUUUUUCUUUUUUUGCCCUUUUCAUUAAUACACAACAGUAGUACUCGUGAAGAGCACAAAAUGUUGGUGACUUUGUCACUAACGAUACCAAAGUGGAGUGACCAGAGCAACCAACUAAAUUUUAAAGAGAGGGAAUGAUAAGUAAUAUUUUCUUUGGGUGAUUAAUUAAUUUAUUAUCAAAUAAUUUUAUUUAUUUAUUUAAACGACAUCCUUAUCUUUGUACAAGGCAGCUGAAAGAUGACGAUGUUGUGUUGUCACAUAUUUUUGGGCCGACCGUUUCUUGUUUCGGCUUAAAUGAGGCUUUUGUAAUUUUGUACUAAAAAGUGGCAUUGGCUGGAUGGCCAAACUGCAGAGUUCAAGUCUACAAUAGAGAAUCGAAAUUUACCUUUGUAAAUGUUCAUAAGUAUUUACCACAGAUUUUUAAGUUAUUCUUGAUAGAUCCCCUACCACAUACGCUAUAAUAUUUCUCUCCUUUUAAUUUAAAAGUAAAUCAUGCAUAAUAACGGGUUUGUAAAGAAAUGAAAUUUCUGUUAAUUAACUGUCAAAAAAAAAAAGAUGGAUUAAGCUAAAGAAGUUAUUAUAGAGUAAGUCGAGUACUUGACAAUCAAAGUAAUUUUACUCGAGGUUGAGUAAGGAUAGUACGAUACUUUCUCAAGUUUUCUGAGGACAUUCAUGUGACAUUGGACUAUUGACUAUAGUUAGAGAGAAGUCCAAGGAUGUAAGUGAUGAUGAUAGAUUCACAAUUCUUUUGAAGAAAAUAUUUUAUAUAAACUUAAUUAUAUGGUAUAAAAUGAUUGGCCUCAAUAAAUUAAAAAAUAAUACACGCCUGGAUCAUGCAAUAUUUUCAACCAAAUAAUUUACACGCAAAAUUAAACUUUAUGAGUACAUUUAUUUGCUAGCAGAAACUCUGCCAAAUUUUCCGAAAUGUGAAAGUGAACACUUUUAACAACGGCACAAAAUGCAUGUGAUAAGUUUUUGUUAGAAUUUGUUUUCUUCUUUGUUUUGAUUUACGCGACAGAUAGUUGUAAAGCGUAAAAUUUUAAAAUCCGCAACAAAACAAAAACUUACAUGGGUUGGCCGCACCUUUCGUGCCUGCUUUCGUCUAAUAGUAUUUGAUACGUACAUCAAUAUAAUAUCAUGGACAUUGAAUUUCAAAUUAACAGUUGGUUUUAUAAUAAAAAUCUUUAUGUUAUAUUACGUACAUCAAUAUAAUAUAAAUUUGUUAUAUAUAUUUUUUUUUCUGUAACCAAUGCUUUCAAAAACUUUAUAUUUGUAUGUUUGAACAAUUUUUUUUUGCAUUCUAUUUAUAUACGGUAUCAUUUAUGUUUACAUAAAUUUUCAUAUCUACCCAAAUUAAGUAUUAAAUACACAGACACUUUGUUAAGACUCGUGUAAUAAUUAAUCUUAAUAAUUUCUUAUACAAAUACAAUCCUUUAUCUAAGACCAGCAACGUCACUCAUCAUAAUUUUUCACCAAAUAUUGUAAAGUUGUUGUAGUAGUAUAGUUAUCAUGGACAUUGAAUUUCUAGUAUCAGACAAUGAUAUUAUAUUGAAUGUAGUGCUUCAAUGAAUUUUAUUACUAUAUACUAAAAUACUCAACGAUCUUCAUUAAAAAAAAAAAAAAUUGCAUGAUUAGAAUGAUUAAAGUUCAUUUAAUGACGAGUUUCAUCAUUGACUGUGUCGAAACACAACAGCAAUCCACAAUACACUUAACACGACAAUCAUGCAUGAAUCUUCCACCAUUAAACCUGAAAUCAUAAAAUGAAAGAAACAAGAUGAGGGUUGUUUUACCGUCUAAAAGCCGAUUCGAAAUACUAAUAAUAAUAAUAAUAAUAGACCUUUGUUAAUAGUUACUACUAGUGGUCACUGCCUUGUCCAUCUUCCUUCUCUGUAUCAUCGUCCUCUUCCAAGCCGCUGUCAUCUGACCAAACCCCAGCAACCAUCCUGGGAAAACUCGCCUCCUUGUUUUAGGAGCAGGAGCAGGAGCAGGAGGAGGAAAUUAAGUUAGGGAUUUGGAGUGAGAGUGAAGGUGGAGAAAAAGCAAGAGAGCGAAAAAGCUGAUUGUUGAGAAAUAUAUACCUUUCGUAUGGUUGUGUUAAGGUCGUCCUUCCAAUCCCAACAUGCUUCACCCAGCCGCUGCACUUUGUGUAAUUUGGGUGUACUUAAUUUUCCUGCAGAGAAAAUCUUCAUAUCGGGGCAAUCAUCCACCACUAAUCUUUCCAAAGAUAGGAAAUUGAAAGCACAAUUGCCAGAGCAGAAGCUUGUCAGACUUUUUAAGUGUAAAAGCUUCAACUCUUUCAAUUCUCUGAAAGUAAUAACCUCAUCUUUUGCUACAACAUCAUCCACCAGUACUAUUUCUGUUAAACCUGAAAUCAUAAAAUGAAAGAAACAAGAUGAGGGUUGUUUUACCGUCUAAAAGCCGAUUCGAAAUACUAAUAAUAAUAAUAAUAAUAGACCUUUGUUAAUAGUUACUACUAGUGGUCACUGCCUUGUCCAUCUUCCUUCUCUGUAUCAUCGUCCUCUUCCAAGCCGCUGUCAUCUGACCAAAAACUCGCCUACUUCUUUUAGGAGCAGGAGCAGGAGGAGGAAAUUGAGUUAGGGAUUUGGAGUGAGAGUGAAAGUGGAGAAAAAACAAGAGAGGAAAAAAGCUAAUUGUUGAGAAAUAUAUACCUUUCGUAUGGUUGUGUUAAGGUCGUCCUUCCAAUCCCAACAUGCUUCACCCCGCCGCUGCACUUUGUGUAAUUUGGGUGUACUUAAUUUUCCUUCAGAGAAAAUCUUCAUAUUGGGGCAAUUAUCCACCACUAAUCUUUCCAAAAAUGGGAACUUGAAAGCACAAUUGCCAGAGCAGAAGCUUGUCAGGUUUUUUAAGUGUAAAAGCUUCAACUCCUUCAAUUCUCUGAAAGUAAUAACCUCCUCUUGUGCUACAACAUCAUCCACCAGUACUAUUUCUGUUAUCUCAUCGCAUGAUUCUAUCUCCAUAUAUCUAAGUCGCACCAGAGUCUUUGCAAUUGAGGGUGUUAAUACGAUUUUCAAGCCUUCGCAACACGAUACCACCAGAUUUGCAAGAUUCUGAAAGGAUGUCGAGGAUGGCACUAGAUUGACCAAACGGUCACACCCCAUUACACGUAGAAUAACCAAGUUGUUCGUAACAGAGGACUCCUCUAUCAAAAUGUGUUCCAGUGGAUAUUUUGCUUCUCUUAUUUCUACCCCCAUCCCAUUUUCAACCUUCUCAUACAGCAACCAAGCACCAUAUCCUCCUAUUUGGAGGACUUUCAUCGUGUGAAGUCUCUGGAGGAAGUCAAAAAGUGAUAAAAUAGUCCGCUCAUCACCCAAUGUCACAUAAAGAUAUUUUAGUUUGCAAAGCAAGCCUUCAGAAAAUAGAUAUUUAUUUGUUACUAAGUGCUCUGCAUCAAUAUCCAACUCUUCCAAAUUAGGGAAUACCUGGGAGAUCAAUCAGAACCCCAAAAAAAAAAAAAAAAUACAAGAUGAAUCAAUUGAUGAGAAAUAUAAGUUACCACUAAUUUAUAAAAUAUAUUUUAUUCAAUAAAUCUUAACCUUAAAAAAAAUAGUAAUAAUAAUACGCCUAACAUCUAGAAUAAUUAUGAAUGAAUAAAAUUCACAGUACAUACUUAAGAAUUGAAAAUUUGAUUAUAAAAUUCUUGUACGUACCCUUUCCGUCAAGAUAUUAGUAGUUCUUUUGUAUCUCGCCAUGAAUUCAGGACAUCCAGAUAUCAUUAAUUCUUUCAAGGAUGGAAAUUCAAGAAUAUCAAGAUCUCCAGUGCAGAAGCUUGUGAACUUUUCAAGACCAGACAUCCUCAGAUAUUGCAACUGGGGAAACGUUACAAUAUUAUUCUUCAUUUCUUCUUGGUUGUCCACGACUAUUAACUCUUCCAGGACAGGACAUCCGGCUAUCUCAAUGCUUUGGAGUCGAACAAAGCUACUAACAGUAGAAGAUGAAAAUAGACAUCUUAAAUUCAUACAUCGGUGCAGGGUCAAGCGCGUUAAAUUCUGAAUACCACAAGACAUGACUGUAACUUGGAUCGGCCAAAUCCUCUCAACAUUUAUUGAAUCCAACGUCAACUUCUCUAACUCUGGUAACCGAUCCUGCUCGAUCAAAAAAUUAACUUGUUAAUUGCAAGUAAACGAUCAUUGAUUAUAAAAUUCUUGUACGUACCCUUUCUGUCAAGAUAUUAGUAGUUCUUUUGUAUCUCGCCAUGAAUUCAUGACAUGCAGAUAUCCAUAAUUCUUUCAAGGAUGGAAAUUCAAGAAUAUCAAGAUCUCCAGUGCAGAAGCUUGUGAACUUUUCAAGAUGAGACAUCUUCAGAUAUUGCAACUGGGGAAACGUUACAAUAUUAUUCUUCAUUUCUUCUUGGUUGUCCACGACUAUUAACUCUUCCAAGACAGGACAUCUGACUAUCCCAAUGCGUUGGAGUCGAACCAAGCUACUAACAGUAGCAGAUGAAAAUAGACAUCUUAAAUUCUCACAGUCCCACAAGGUCAAGUGUGUUAAAUUCUGAAUACCACAAGACAUGACUGUAACUUGGUUUUGCCAAAUCCUCUCAACAUUUAUUGAAUGCAACUCCAACUUCUCUAACUCUGGUAACCGAACCUGCUCGAUCAAAAAAUUAACUCGUUAAUUACAAGCAACAAUGAUUUCUGUUGAUGGACAAAUCAAUAAAAUUACUCUUUCUCUGGUUAUAGUUCUUUUCAGUUUUUCAUACAAACAACCGUUAAUCAAGUUUUCCAAAUUAUUCCUUACUAAAUGUAUAGAUUUAGACGGCGGCUAAUAUAAUUCAUAUUGUAAAUAUUCUUUGAUUGUAACGAAUUUUGUAAUAUUAAAUUUUGGUUGAUUCGCAAUAGGACCUACAAUCCAGCGCGAGCAGUUCUCGGGGAUUUAACUACUGGCACCUCGAUUAUAUAAAAAUUUGGAAUAUUUUCAAAGGAAAUCACAUAAUUCCCCCUUGCAAAUAGUAAUUAUCAUCAAUUGCCGCGGGUUCACAUAUAAUUCUAAGAAAUUAGGCGAGAAGAGUCUCAUCAACAAUCAAUCAGCAGAUAUCACGUUUGGCAGAUCAUCAUGAUUUCCUCAGAUGCUAGAGAAUCAACGUGAUUUCCGCUCAUGCAGGAGUGGACACAUUAUCUUAGAGCAUCCCUCACUGAGAUCUUUUAAAAAAUUUAUAUUAUAAAGUGAACAACAUAUUUAGUAUAGAUUUAGACGACGGCUAAUAUAAUUUAUAUGUAUUCUAAUGACGUAUAUUAAAGAAAAUGACUAACCAUAAUUUCAAUCAACUUAUUAUUCUAUAUAUAUAUAUAAUAUUCAGUGAUUACAACAUAUUUAGUAUUCCAUAACAUGAUGUUUAUAAUAAUAAUUAUUAUUAAUUCACUUAUUGUGUCAAGAACCUUUUCUUUCUCUAAGAAUGAAUUUGUUACACCCUACUAUACUACGGAUGAAAAAUUUAGAAUAAUUGUGAAAUAUAAUUAUUAAUCAAUCUUUGACAGAAUUGCUACCAAACAGGAAUAUAACAAAGAAAAAAAAACAAAAAUUAUAGAGAAUUAAUAAGACGAUUGACUUAUCAAUAACUGACCUUCUCAGUGAAAAGUGUAUUAGAAAUUUGGACAUUGUCCUCCAAAAUGAUUUCAUGUGACCGCAAAUCAUUAGCUGAUUCCUCCUGUCUCUGCUAACAUUGCAGGUGUAUUGAUUUUAGAGUGUAAGCUUAAUUGUGAGCACAACCUUAAUGCAUAGAUACAAGAUCUUUAAAAAUUAGUACAAUAAACUUAGCACUAAAUCUGAAUUUGAUAUUUUGGAUUCCAUGAUUAAGAUUUUUUUUAAAUGAAAAUUUAAUAGAGUUAAUUUAAAAAUAAAAAUUAAAUAUGAAAAAUUAGACUUGCAAUUAUGGAUUUAAUUUUGAUAAAUAAUGAAUGUUCUCUUAAUAUUUUUUUUUAAAAGGUAAAAGAGCGUACAAAGCCCAAAUUCAUUUUUUUAGUCCCUUACUGUCCCAUGAUUCAAACUUGGGUGGUUGUAGGAGGACUGAAAAUAUAUAAGACAGUUAACUUCACUUUUUUUUUUUUUUUUUUUUUGAGAGAAAAGAGAAGAAGGAUAUUACAAAGCAUGAAGCUCGUGCAAUAUAAGGGCAAUGAUGGUUUUUUCUUUAAAUUAAAAUGGUAAGAUUUUGAAGCUAAAAGAUUAAAAUAUUAAUUAAAUUGCAAACAUUAAAGAUUUUUUUUUUCAAAUGGUUGCUUUGAAAAUGAGAAUAAUAUUAAUAUUUGAAGACUUUUCAAAAUAAAUUACUGUGAUAGAUGCACUAGAAAUUUCUAGCUUUAGUCUAAUGUAUAAAUUGACAAAACGAUAUUAGAAUCCCAGGUGAAAAGAACCCUCUCAUACCAAUUAUUUAAAUUAGGAAUGAUCAUACCUCUGACUCUGCCGAACUGAGGGCGGGGUCUAAACCCCUCAUACGGAGACGCUUGAGAUGGGAAGAGCCCACUUUGACUAAUUCAUUACGAAUAUAAUCGACAUCUUGCUCUUGCAAUCCACGUAAUUCAAGGUCUUCAAUUCUCUGCAGUUGCACGAUCAGCGAAUCCUUCAAGCAAAUCUUGUCAUUGAGGUCGAGACUGAAUUCACGACACCAACUGCCGUUGCUCUCCUCAUCAUCUCCAAUGCGUAUGCUGUACCUUUCCAGCUUCUCCAAGAGCAGGCCUCUGGGCAGAGUGCUGACGUCAUAGACGUGUAAUUCCAAAGAGGUCAAGUUGGGCAAAUGCUUCAACUCCUCAAGGCUUGCAUUCUUAACCCCUCCCACCUCCAUCUCCCAGUAACGAAAGCUUUGAUCUAUAUAUAGUUCUUCUAAAUGUGAUAAUUUUGACAGUAUAUUUGGUGGAAUAACUUCUAGAUAGCAACAAUCCCUCAAAUCAAGCAACUUUAGCCAAGUCAAUUCACCUACUUGUACCGGCAACUUCUUAAUUGUAGAACCUCUUAAGCGAAGGAUUUCUAGUUUCUUCAAGUCUCCUACAACACUUAGAUCAGGCAAGCCGCAGUAACACAAACUCAGUGUUCGAAGGUUUGACAGGAGACCAAGUGAUGAAGGCAGUGACUGUAGAUACAUGUAAGUCAAGUUUACAACUCUGACCUCGAUCAUCCUCUCGAAAAAGUUGUUUGGAAUUGUUAAUGAUGAAGGUUCACGACCACCACCACGUAGAAAAAGAAUUUCGAGUUGAGGACAUUCCAGUACUUCAGGAAGCAAAUUAGUCUUGAUAUCAUGUAAGACGAUUGAAGUGCAAUGCUUUAUUGCACUUCCGUCUGACCAUUCCCUGCAACCAUCAACCUGCUCAUCUGUAGCAGUAAACACAUUUCGUUCAGUAGAUGCAAUUGAUAUGGCGACAUCGCGAACUACAUCAUGCAUAGAAAACAACUCUUCAUCCAAGAAGCUUUCAUGGUCAAGCAACAUACAAGAAGCUUUGAGUGUGCGCACCAAUGUAUGUACUCGAUUUCGUGCUUCUUCAAUCUUAUUCACACCUUGAAAUAAACCCAAUCCCAUACCACACAUUAACAAGUCAUCAAUAGAUGCUAUGGCUGUAUAUCCUAUUAGCAAAAAGAUGUUCUUGAGAUCAUCCCUUCCUAGUUUAUUGUAGCUCAACUCGAUAGCUUUAAAUGCGGCUGGCUGUACAUCCUUAAAAUUCGAUGAAGAAGGCCUUCUUAGCUGUUCCAAUGCAUCCUUCCAUUCACGUAUGCUCUUGCUCCUUAAUGCCCUUGCAACCGUCACAAUGGAAACUGGUAGACCUGCACAUUCCUUUGCCACAUUCCUUGCCACCUCUUCCAAUUCACUACCUUCAACAUAAUCACCUGCCAUCUUCUUGAAUAGACUCCAAGCUUCUUCUUCGUUUAAAACACCAACUGGGAAAUUUGUUCGACAAUCCAUCUUCUCAGACAAUACAUUUAGACUUCUGGCCGUCAACAAUACUUUACAACCAUCUCCAAGAGGAAUUCGGACAUUCCCCAAAUUAAGAUUUUCCCAAAUGUUGUCUAAAACUAUCAGGAUCUUCUUCACUUUUUUUAUACCUUCACAUAACCUGCCUGCCCUUCCUUCAUUACUUUCCUCAUGCAACUUCAGGCCUAAUUUAUCUGCGAUUACUCCUUGAAUCUUUCGUAUGUCUUGCUUCUGAGACACCUCCACAAAAACCACCUGAUCAAAGAGUUUGUCACUCUUGACUUUCCUAGCAACUUCUUCGGCCAGCGUCGUCUUUCCGAUUCCGCCCAUUCCAUAAAUCCCAAGCAUGUUGACAUCGCGAUCUUCUAGUGCACUGAGUAUACUCCUCAAAGUGGACAAUCUUGAUUCAAAGGGCUCGUAGUCUUUGUUAGGGAUAAGCCGAAUAUCCUCUGGAGCAGUACGGUAGGAAAUUCUAUCAAAUUUUCCAUCUCCUCGGACUUUGACAACAGCCUCCUUCUGCCUCCCUGCAUCCUUGCUAAGUUCACGGCGGGUCUUCAAAUUAGGACAUAAUCCCCCGAAACAACGCUCACUUGCAGUGGCUUUGUCUGUAACUUUCUCUGCCUCAACAAUGACAUUGUUCGCCCCUGCAAGCCAAUUCUCAACGUUCUCAUAAAUCUUUUCCCCGUUUAGUUCAGCCUCAUUAACCUGCCUCAACAAUGACUCCCUCUCAUACUUCAGAUUGUCAACUUCAGUCUUGAGAUUCUGUAAGUUGCUCGUGUACUUACUCUCACGCAAAUAGCUAAUUUCGCGAUAUGCGGGAGGAGCCAAGCACUUCACAACUUCCACAACAACAGUAAGAAUGAUUUCAGCCAUCUUCAAUCCUUUGUCCUUGUCUCUCUAUCUCUCUUUUUCUGAAGUUUUGAAAAACAAUUGACUAUUUGGGAAGCACACUGAGUGAUUGAACACAAGUGACCACAACAAGAUGGAACAAAAUAAAAAGGCAAAAAAAUACAAAGAGUGGAUGGAGAAUAAAACAGAGACAGCGGCACAGCUGGACACAACUAGAUAGAGAACAGAGGAAAACCAAAUAACAAGACUUAAGAUUACAACAAACAGAGGCCAAGUAUUGUUGAGAUCAGAAGACGGAAAAUUCAAAAGAGUUGAUGGCAGAUGCUGAAUAACAAGACAACAAUGAACGCAAUAAACAGAAGCAAAGUGUGUUUGUGAUCGACAGACGGAAGUAACGAAAGCGGUUGUUGAUUGAAAAUGAAUGAAUGCAAGGAAAGACUGAUAUUGAAAAUUGAUGUCAAUAGCGAAGGAAUAAUUGAACUUUCGCUUAAUUAUUGUUUGUGGCCUUCUUUUACUUUUUAUUUGUGGGUCAUGUCUUUUGGAACUAAUCAUCUUAGGUUAUCCCUUAUAGCUUUAAGGCCGGUAAACCGGUGUCCGUUGGAUUAGCAUAUAGAAAUCCAACGGUGGAUAUAUAUACUUGGAGAACAAAAUUCAAGAGCAAAGCGAGUGCUGGGCUGCAGUUUCUUAAGGAGAUUUAUAUGUCCUCCUCAAAAAUAAAUGUUUUAAGGUAGAUAUUUAGACUAUUUUAUCAUAAAAUAAAUGUAAUUAAUUUUCAAUAAAUAUCUUAUAUAAAUAUAUAUUUAUUUUUUUAAUUACUAAUGACCUUUAAAUAUACAUAUAUACAUAUCACUAAUUCAAAAAAUAAAUUGUGAUUAUUUGUUAAUGUAUGCGAUUACUUGUGAUGGUAAACAAAGUAGAUAUGGUAUAUUUUGAAGUUAAAUUAAAAAAAAAACAGAGCUUUUACCAUUACUUGCCUUAUCAUCUUUUAAAUUAGAAUUAUUAUUCUUUUAUUUUUCAAGUUGCCAACUCAUCCGCAUUCUUUUUUAUUGAAUUUGAAGAUCAAUGAUUAUAAAAUUGUGUAAAAAUUUUAAGUCAAAACUUUAAAUUAAAAUAAUCUUUAAAUUAUUGAGAAAUAAUAACUUAGUAUAACAAAUAUUAUAUCCUAUAAUAUGCAGAAGCUGAAGCAGCAAAUUGGGGGCUGGAAAUUGCAGAAAAUGCAGCAUGCAUCCCACUGAUUAUUGAAUCAGAUUGCCAAGACGUGGUGAAUUUAAUCACAAAAAAGAAGAGUAGCAAGGUGGAGAUUUUUUGGACUAUCUCGGAAGUUCAUGAAAGGCUGAAACGUCUGAACCAAGUCACUUGUCAACAUACCCCCAGAAGCUGUAAUAGUAUUGCUCAUACUUUAGCUGGUUUUGCUUUAAAAGUUGUGUAACCUACUAUUUGGUUGGAAACUUGCCCAACCCAUCUGCUGUACUUGUUCUCCUAGUUACACUUUCCUUUCAAAAAAAAAAAAUAUCCUAUACUUUAUUGCUACAAAAUUACGAAACCUUAUAUUAUAUUAUGUUUUCAUAUUUCUCCUUUAUAGUGAAGACCAUACUUCUUUUUUAAUAAAUGUUAAAGUAUUAACUUAAAUUUUUUAACCAACACAGUCGACCCUUAAGCUAUAUAUAUUAUAAUAUCCCUAUUCUCUCACAGAUUAAACCAAUCUGAUCUCAGAGUAAGUUGAUACCAUGAGUUUGCAUUUGCCAUCAAAGGAGCAUCAUUACUAAUUAAUAUAGAUUCGAUCAAUAGGCAUGAUAAUAAAUUUUUUUAUCUACAAACAUUAUUUUUGAAAAUAUUAUAUCUUUAAACUUAACUAAAUAUCUUUUAACCAUAUAUGUACAGUUUGUUUGAUGUCUUUUAAAUAGUGGAGAUUACAACAGAACAGAUGCGAAUUAGUAGUGACGCUUGAGUUCAGAAGAUUGAAGUUAAGAAAAUUAAGGAAAGGGUAAGGAUGUAUUUUCAAAGUGAAUUAUUGAGAGUUCAGAGAUCUUUGAAGAUUACUUCCGUCAAGAGCUGGGUCCCAUACUCUUAUGCCUUUGUCCUCCAAUCAACCAUAAGACAAAUUAUUAUUGAGUGUGAACAGACUUAUUAACCACCAAAUUUUCAAACUUGUGAUCCCUACUGAAUCUGCAUUCCCCUUUACAAAAGUAAAAAAAAAAAGGGCAAAUAACGAAACAAAAUUCUGUUCCUUGACUGCAAGUGCUGUCGGCAUUUUCAGACUUGGAAGACCCUUCUACUUGCAAGAUACCACUGAAUUUGUCUUUUUUUUUUAAUUACACUGUAUUAUCUUAUAUUUUAUAAAAAAAUUUAAUAAAUAUUAUAAAUUAUAAAUUUUUAUAUUUAAUAUUCUCAAGAUAAAUUAUCAAACAAAUGAUUCAUUUACUAUUUUUUCCUUUAAAUUUUUGUUAUUAAGAAGAUUUUUGGAUAUUGAACGUGAAGGGCUCAACUGAUCGCUAAUUUUACAGCAAUUGCCCUUUUCUUUCUCCCCAAAUUGUUUUGAAAAAUAUCCAGACUCAUUCAGCGAAGUAUCCGAGGCCAAAUGGCUAAAAGAUGGGACACCCACAUGUGCUUCUAAUUACAAAAUCUAAAGUUAGGGGACCAUAACGUACAUUUAAUAUAAUUUAUGAUAGGGGUCCGCCUAUGUUAUCACUGUACAACAGGUUUUGUCUUUUCUGACUCAAUUGCUGUAAACGUUUGCUGAGCCCCUUGUACUCGAUAUUAUUUACUAUUUAUUUAUAAGUAUUAUAAACAUUUCUGCUUACAUAUUAUAUAAAAAUUUAAUUUGUUUCCUUACACUCUUGUUCAUUUACUAUUUUUUUGUAGUAUCAAAAGAAUUUAUAUUUACAACCAUGAUAUAUUAAUUAUCAUACCACUCUAAUAUUAAUAAAAAGACAAAGACAUCCUUAAAUUAAAACAAAAAAAAAUACUUUCUUCUUUUGAGGAAUUACGGUAUCUCAUCUUCCACCACUCAUCCUCAACAAAAUUUUUAAGGAUAUAACCAUUCAUCUUCUUUAUAAUAUCAUAUCACAAUAAUUAAUACUUUCAUGACAAAAUAAAAAAUAAAUUCCCAUAGAAUACAUUCCUCUCCACUAUUAAUUUCUCUUCAUCAGUAACCUUUAUCGACAAUUAAAACCACCAUUAGACUCAUCAUAAAGAGAGAGUAAGAGAAAGGAAGAAGAAACGAGAAAAAAUAUAUGAACCUUUUAUAAUUUUAUAGUGCGUUCACUAAACGAGAAUCGAAAUGAGGUGAAAUCAAAAUGAGAAAUUAAAAUCAAAAUAAGUUAUUUACUGGAACUAUAUAAAUGGUAAUUGAAAUAAGUUGUAUGGUCAUUAAUGUGUUUAUCUCGUCUUAGAAUCAAAAUUGGAAUGAGUUAAAUUAUAAUAAAUUACUAUAAAAUCAUUAAUUAAUUUUUAUCAUAAUUAUUAUUUUAUAUUUUUAAUUAUUGUGAUUAUUAUUAUUAUUAUUCCAAAAAAUAAUUAUUAUUAAUAUUAUUGUUAAUUAUUAUUAACCAUUAAACUAAAAAGUUACUAUUAAUUAUUGUUAAUAUAUUAAUUAAUUAUAAUACUUUUUAUUGUUGUUAAUAAUAAUAACUUUAUGAUUGAGUGUGAACAGUCCGACUUAUUGAUCACCAAAUUUUUAAAUUUGUGAUCCUCAUUGAAUCUGCGUUCCCCUUUGCAAAAGUGAAAAAAAAAAAAAAAUUGCAAAUAAUGAAACAAAAUUGUCGGCAUUUUCAGACAUGUAAGACCCUUCAACUUGCUUUCGAAGAUGGAAAAUGCUACUCAGCGAGAAUGCCGAGAGAAACGGCAUACAGUUUGUCUCGGCCCCACUCCACGUGAAGACUUUCUCUUUUCACAUUUUUUACGCGUUUCUCUUUUCUCUCCCCCCACGUGAACACCUUUGCCUUUUGCUCGUUCAGGUGAAAGUUUAGAAUUUUGAUCUUAUUUCACAAAGCUAAUUUUUUUAUCACAAGCAGGAGAGAAACGGCAUUUCUUAGCAGUAGUUCAUCACUGUAGUAGCGAGCGAGUGAGGAACAAAAUUACCAACAAUUCUAAAAAAAAAAAUUAUAAAAAAUGAUCACAUGCUAUAAUUAAUCAUGACAAUUGACAACAUUACUCCCACCGAGCAAAAGUUAACUGCAUCUUCUCCCACAUUUAAAAAAAAAAUUAUAUUAUAUAACCCACCAAAGUAUAAGGAGUCUUUCCUUAUAAAAAUUAAUAAAUUACUCUUUAUAUUAAAAAAUUAAAAUUUAAAAUGAAAAUGAUUGAUCAUCAAUUAUUAUUAUUAUUAAAUAAUUAUUUUAAAUAAUAAUAAUCACAAUUAUUAUAACAAACAACAACAAUAAUUAACUAAUGUCAUUUUAAUAACUUAUAACAAUUCAUUUUUUAUUUCAAGAUAAAGUAACCAUAUCAAUAAUAAUAUAUGUCAUUUCGAUUCUAAUUUUUACAGGUAAAGUAAAUAAUUUAUUCUGAUUUUUAUUUUUUAUUUUAUUUUAUUCUAUUCUAAUUCCAUUUGAUUCUGAUUCCAACCAAUUCUAAUUACCGAUUAAAAAUUACAUUGUUACUACUUUAAUAAUAACUAAUGAUUCUCCUCACAAUUCUUAUAGGAUUAUCCUUAUUUUAAAAUAUAUUUUUUAUUCGUGUUUAUUAUAAAUUAAUUAAAUUAUAUCAAUGAAAAUUAAAUAAAAAUUUAAGUAAUAAAAAUGAAAAAAUAUAUGUUUUGGUUUGAAUAAAAAAUUAAUAAUAAAAUAUUUUUCUUAUAUAUUUUAAAUAUUUUUAUUAUAAUAAAUAUUUAUUUUAUAUUCUCAAAAUAAAUUAUUAAGUAAACGAUUCAUUAACUCAUUUUUUUUCCUUUAAAUUUUUGUUAUUAAGAAGAUUUUUGGAUAUUGGCCGUGAAGGGCUCAACUGAUCAUCGCUAAUUUCACAGCAAUUGCCUUUUCUUUUUUUCUUUUUUUUUAAUUGUUUUGAAAAAAUAUCCAGACUCAUUCUGCAAAGUACCUGAGGCCCGCCAAAGCGCCGAAAGUUAGGACACCCACAUGUGCUUUUAUUUACAAAAUCUAAAGUUAGGGGGGGUGUCCAUAACGUACAUUUAAUAUAAUUGAUGGUUGGGUAAAAGUCCAUUAAAUUUCAAUAUUCUAUUAUUUAUUUUUAUAUUAAAAAAUUAUUAAUGUAUGAAAAUUCUUAAAAGUUAACGGAGAAGGAAGAGAAAAAGAAAAAGUGAAUACAAAAGAAAAUAUAAAGAAAAAAAAUUAAACGAGACAAAAAUAUGUGGCGUGGGUCAUUCAUAUCUUUUGUCAUUUCUUUUAUAGAGGUACAUAGGGUAGAUAUUUUGAAGUGAAAAGCAAAUCCAAAGUUAAUGAAAAAGAAAAAAAGAAAAAGUAUAAAUAAACGGUAUUCGCCUCACUUUCAAACAUCUAGUUAAACAUGAAUUUCCUUUUACCAAAAGUAAAUUUCCUCUCGGAUUGUCCUCAUUACGUCAAACACGAAUGAUGACGACGCUCUGUCCGUUUCUGGCUCUUUGCUUUUCUCUCUCACAUCAUAUUUAACUGUUGGAUCUUUCUACUAUGCAGCUGGUGUAUGCAUGAUUCCUUGUGACAUGACAUACAGUCAAUUAAAUUCUGACAUGCUUGCAAUAAAGACUGUUAAAGUGACCGGUUAUUCCGGUUGAAUUCACAAGAUCUCUUGUUUGUGUGUUUAUGUUCCAAGUUGGCUCUUUGCUUUUCUCUCUCACAUCAUAUUUAAGUGUUUUGGAUGGUGGCCAUAGAUUCCAAUAUUUCCUUCAAGAAAACUACAAAAAAAUGAUCAAAGGCAUCAAUUUCUACACUCUCACCGAGCAAUACUCUUAACCCAGAAGUAAGUGUAUAAACCAACCCCAGUCAGUCCAUCAAUGUCGUCAACCUCAUACAGCAUAAAAAAAAUCUGUGUCCAUUAAACCGCCAUUUAAACCGUCUUUAUUGAGCCAUUAGACUAUUCGUGUCGUCUUCCCAUCUCGUUGUAGUAUUUUGCCGUUCAAAUCUAGUUAUCAAUUGGGGAAAAUGGGGACCAAUCUGCAAGUCUUUAAAAUAGAAAGAAACUUUAAUUGGACAAUAUAUUAUAAGUCAACAUUAUAUAAUUACUUUGAACACUUAUAUAACUCAAUCGUUCGAGGUUGAGUGAGGAUAGUACGAUACUUUCUCAAGUUUUCUGAGGACAUUCACGUGACAUUGGACUAUUGACUAUAGUCAAGAGAGAAGUCCAAGGAUGCAAGUGAUGAUGACAGAUUCACAAUUCUUUUGAAGAAAAUAUUUUAUAUAAACUUAAUUAUAUGGUAUAAAAUGAUUGGCCUUAAUAAAAUUAAAAAAAUAAUAAAAAUAAUACACGCCUGGGUCAUGCAAUAUUUUCAACCAACUAAUUUACACGCAAAAUUAAACUUUAUGAGUACAUUUAUUUGCUAGCAGAAACUCUGCCAAAUUUUCCGAAAUGUGAAAGUGAACACUUUUAACAACGGCACAUUCAAAGUUAAUGUUGAUGCUGCUGUUAAUUUUGAAAGGCAAAAGGCCGGCCUGGGGGUUGUUAUUAGAGACUCAUGCAACAAAGUUAAAGUGGCUGUUGUGAAAUCCACUCUAUUUACAGGGGAUGUAAAGACUGCAGAAGCUGAAGCUGUUGAAUGGGGGUUAGUGGUGGCAAAAAGUGCAGCUUUUCAAUGCAUAAUGGUGGAGUCAGAUUGUCAAGAAGUGAAGUUAAUUAACAACAAAGAGGGCAGUAGGACAGAGGUUAUGUGGGUGAUCUCAGAAAUUCAAAGUCUUAGCAAGGAUUUCCAGAAUUUCAACUGCUAUCACACUCCUAGAUCAUGUAAUACUCAUGCCCAUUCCUUAGCUAAGUUAGCUCUAAGGAACAAUGAAACUGUUGUAUGGCUGGAACCAAUUCCAGUGGAAGUCGAAUCUGUGUUAUCAUCUUUGCUUUGAAAUCGUUUAUUUCCUUCUCAAAAAAAAAAAAAAACAACGGCACAAAAUGCCUGUGAUAAUGAAACAAUGUACCCUUCGUGCCUGCUUUCGUCUAAUAAUAUUUGAUACGUACAUAUUCAUUUUAAAAUUGGCGAAUCGUAAUAAAAAAAUUUAUAUAUAAUAAUUGAAUGAGAUCCAUGGUUCACAAUUGCAAAUUAAAGGUUGGUUUUAUAAUAAAAAUCGUUUUGUGCAUACCAAAUUAGAAAAGAUUAUAAGUAAAUUAAGAUUUUCAAAAUUUGACUAGUAUUAUAUUACGUACAUCAAUAUAAUAUAAAUUUCUUAUAUAUAUAUUUUACUCUGUAACCAAUGCUUUCAAAAACUUUGUACUUGUAUGUUUGAACAACUUUUUUCGCUUUCUAUUUAUAUACGAUCUCAUUUAUGUUUACAUAAAUUUUCAUAUGUACCCAAAUUAAGCAUUAAAUACACACACUUUGGUAAGACACAUUUCUAGUAUCAGAAAAUGAUAUUAUAUUGAAUGUAAUGCUUCAAUGAAUUUUAUUACUAUAUACUAAAAUACUCAACGAUCUCCAUUAAAAAAAAAAAAAGCAUGAUUAGAAUGAUUAAAGAUCAUUUGAUGAGGAGUUUCAUCAUUAACUGUGUCGAAACACAGCAGCAAUCCACAAUACACUUAACACGAGAGGGGCACACAAGCAUGCAUGAAUCUUCCACCAUUAAAUCUGAAAUCAUAAAAAAAAAAGAAAUAAGAUGAGUGUUGUUUUACGGUCUGAAAGCCGAUUCCAAAUAAUAAUAAUAAUAAUAGUAAUAGUAAUAGUAAUAGACCUUUGUUAAUAAUUACUACUAGUUGUCUCUGCCUUUUGCAUCUUCCUCCUUUGUAUCAUCGUCCUCUUCCAAUCACACGGCUAGACCAGUAUGUCUCGAGAAUCUCUACUGCCUUCUCAGAGAUCCCGUUGUCGUCAUGACUUCGUAGAUUUUCAAUCUUUUCUAAUCCCUCAGCCUCCUCAACCAACUGGGCAUAUUGAUUAAAAUCUCCAACGGCGGUACCCGUAUUCAUUUCAGCUAACCCGACCUUCAAAAUGUUCUCUAAUCCUUCUAAGCAAACAGUGACGAUCAUUGGAUCAGCGCAUAGAAGCAGAUCACACAAUGGUUUUAUACACCCCUCUUUCACGAGGUACUUGAUUUGCUCAUGAGUGCCAAACUUGGUGGCAUUCGAAAUUGCCCAAGCGGCGUCCUUCUUUGUAUCAAAUUCAGCAUUUUGAAGUAGAUUGACAGUGGGACCAAUUAAGCCGGAAUCAAUUACCGCCUGAAUCUGUUCCCUGUUUCCACAUGCGAUAUUUGAAAUAGUCCUGCAUGCAUCCUUCUUAAUGCGUUUUCCAUGAUUAUGGAUCAACAGGCCCAAAAGGUAUGGCAGUGCACCACAGUUAAUUAUAUACUGAGCCUGGAAAUCAUCCCCCGUCACAAUAUUUCCAAUAGUCCGCAGGGCAGGAGUGAGCACUGAGGAUGAUGAGUGACCAAGGAGCUCAACAAGUCGUGGACAGACACCUGCCUCGAUCACAGCUUGAACAUUGUCAUUCGUACCAUCAGAAAGACAGGAGAGUGCCCAGCAGGCAUCAGUCAAGACCUCUUCAUUGUUUGAACGAAUAAGCUGUGCAAGCGCCGGAAGAGCUGGCCUUACCUGAUCAAAUGGUGGUUCUGGCUUGCCCUUGCAUAAAUUAGACAAUGUCGUUGCGGCAAUUCUCAGCAUUGAAAGCUUAGCAUGCUUAUUUAACUCUGCCAGCAAUGGAAUCAAAGCUCCUUCACUAAGCACAAGAUCACGGCAUCCAGAUGAGUCACCAGCAACAUUUCCCAAUGCCCAAACAGCCUGCUCGCGGACAUCAUCACUUGGGGAAGCAAGCAGCUUCACGAAUAUUGGAACGGCACCGUGGUCAAUCACCACCUUAAUGUUCUCUGAAUUUCCAAAAGCAAUGUUUGAAAGAGCCCAAGCAGCCUCAUACUGAAGUUGCGGAUAGUCUUCCCUCAUAAGAAACUCAACAAAGCGCUGGACAACGCCAGAUUGUAUGACUUUAUCAAUUUGUGGACUCCUCGCAAUCGAAAGCAGUUUGCUGAACUGAGUAGUUGCUUCCAGCUGUAGGCCGCUGUCAUCUGACCAAACCCCAGCAACCAUCCCGGGUAAACUCGCCUACUUAUUUUAGGAGCAGGAGCAAGAGGAGGAAAUUAAGUUAGGGAUUUGGAGUGAGAGUGAAAGUGGAGAAAAAGCAAGAGAGGGAAAAAGCUGAUUGUUGAGAAAUAUAUACCUUUCGUAUGGUUGUGUUAAGGUCGUCCUUCCAAGCCCAACAUGCUUUACCCCGCCCCUGCACUUUGUGUAAUUUGGGCGUACUUAAUUUUCCUUCAGAGAAAAUCUUCAUAUCGGGGCAAUCAUCCACCACUAAUCUUUCCAAAGAUGGGAACUUGAAAGCACAAUUGCCAGAGCAGAAGCUUGUCAGACUUUUUAAGUGUAAAAGCUUCAACUCCUUCAAUUCUCUGAAACUAAUAACCUCAUCUUUUGCUACAACAUCAUCCACCAGUACUAUUUCUGUUAUCAUAUAGCAUGAUGCUAUCUCCAUAUAUCUAAGUCGCACCAGAGUCUUUGCAAUUGAGGAUGUUAAUACGAUUUUCAAGUUGUUGCAAUGCGAUACCACCAAAUUUGUAAGAUUCUGAAAGGAUGUCGAUGAUGGCACUAGAUUGACCAAACGGUCACACCCCACUACACGUAGAAUAACCAAGUUGUUCGCAACAGAGGACUCCUCUAUCAAAAUGUGCUCCAUAGGAUAAAGCCUGUUUGCUUCUCUUAUUUCUACCCACAUCCCAUUUUCAACCUUCUCAUACACCAACGGGGCACUAUAUCCUCGUAUUUGGAGGACUUUCAUUGUGUGAAGUCUCUGGAGGAAGUCACCAAGUGAUAAAAUAGUCCGCUCAUCACCCAACGUCACAUAAAGAUAUUUUAGUUUGCAAAGCAAGCCUUCAGAAAAUAGAUAUUUAUUUGUUACUAAGUGCUCUGCAUCAAUAUUCAACUCUUCCAAAUUAGGAAAUACCUGGGAGAUCAAUCAGAACCCAAAAAAAAAAAAAAAUGCAAGAUGAAUCAAUUGAUGAGAAAUAUAAGUUACCACUAAUUUAUAAAAUAUAUUUUAUUCAAUAAAUCUUAAACUUAAAAAAAAUAGUAAUAAUAAUACGCCUAACAUCUAGAAUAAUUAUGAAUGAAUACUAUACACUAAUCUGUAAGAGAGUUACGUUGCUGACAAUUUGACUUUUAGUAAGAAACCAAGCGAUAAAGGCAAAGGCAAUAUAACUCUAAAGCUUUAUGAUAUAAACUCUCACGGUACAUACAUAAGAAUUGAAAAAUUGAUUAUAAAAUUCUUGUACGUACCCUUUCCAUCAAGAUAUUAGUAGUUCUUUUGUAUCUCGCCAUCAAUUCACGACAUCCAGAUAUCAUUAAUCCUUUCAAGGAUGGAAAUUCAAGAAUAUCAAGAUCUCCAGUGCAGAAGCUUGUGAACUUUUCAAGACCAGACAUCCUCAGAUAUUGCAACUGGGGAAACGUUACAAUAUUAUUCUUCAUUUCUUCUUGGUUGUCCACGACUAUUAACUCUUCCAAGACGGGACAUCUGACUAUCUCAAUGCGUUGGAGUCGAACCAAGCUACUAACAGUAGCAGAUGAAAAUAGACAUCUUAAAUUCUCACAGUCCCACAGGGUCAAGUGUGUUAAAUUCUGAAUACCACAAGACAUGACUGUAACUUGGUUUUGCCAAAUCCUCUCAACAUUUAUUGACACCAACUCCAACUUCUCUAACUCUAGUAACGGAACCUGCUCGAUCAAAAAAUUAACUUGUUAAUUACAAGCAACAAUCAUUUCUGUUGAUCGACAAAUCAAUAAAAUUACUCUUUCUCUGGUUAUAGUUCUUUUCAGUUUUUCAUACAAACAACCGUUAAUCAAGUUUUCCAAAUUAUUCCUUACUAAAUGUAUAGAUUUAGACGGCGGCUAAUAUAAUUCAUAUUGAAAAUAUUCUUUGAUUGUAACGAAUUUUGUAAUAUUAAAUUUUGGUUGAUUCGCAAUAGGACCUACUAUCCAGCGCGAGCAGUUCUCGGGGAUUUAACUACUGGCACCUCGAUUAUAUAAAAAUUUGGAAUAUUUUCAAAGGAAAUCACAUAAUUCCCCCUUGCAAAUUAGGCGAGAAGAGUCUCAUCAACAAUCAAUAAGCAGAUAUCACGAUGUUUAUUCAGUGAUUACAACAUAUUUAUAUAUAUAUAUAUAUAAUAUAUUCAGUGAUUACAACAUAUUUAGUAUUCCAUAACAUGAUGUUUAUAAUAAUAAUUAUUAUUAAUUCACUUAUUGUGUUAGAGUACCUUUUCUUUCUCUAAGAAUGUAUUUGUUACACCCUACUAUACAUCGGAUGAAAAAUUUAGAAUAAUUGUGAAAUAUAAUUAUUAAUCACUCUUUGCCAUAUUUGUUAUCAAACAGGAAUAUAACAAAGAAAAAAAAACAAAAAUUAUAGAGAAUUAAUAAGACGAUUGACUUAUUAAUAACUGACCUUCUCAGGGAAAAGCGUAUUAGAAAUUUGGACAUUGUCCUCCAAAAUGAUUUCAUGUGACUGCAAAUCAUUAGCUGAUUCCUCUUGUCUCUGUUGACAUUGCAGGUGUCUUGAUUUAAGAGUGUAAACUUAAUUGUGAACACAAUCUUAAUGCAUAGAUACAAGAUGUUUAAAAAUUAGUAUAAUAAACUUAGCACUAAAUCCAAAUUUGAUAUUUCGGAUUCCAUGAUUAAGAUUUUUUAAAUAAAAAUUUAAUUGAGUUAAUUUAAAAAUAAAAAUUAAAUAUGAAAAAUUAGACUUGCAAUUAUGGAUUUAAUUUUGAUAAAUAAUGAAUGUUCUCUUUAUAUUUUUUUUAAAAGGUAAAGGAGCAUACAAAGCCCAAAUUCAUUUUUUUAGUCCCUUACUCUCCCAUGAUUCAAACUUGGGUGGUUGUAGGAGGACUGAAAAUAUAUAAGACAGUUAACUUCACUUUUUUUUUUCUUUUUCUUUUUUUCAUUUUUUGUUGAGAGAAAAGAGAAGAAGGAUAUUACAAAGCAUGAAGCUCGUGCAAUAUGAGGGCAAUUAUGGUUUUUUCUUUAAAUUAAAAUGGUAAGAUUCUGAAGCUAAAAGAUUAAAAUAUUAAUUAAAUUGCAAACAUUAAAGAUUUUUUUUCCAAAAUUGGUUGCUUUGAAAAUGAGAAUAAUAUAAUAUUUGAAGACUUUUCAAAAUUAAUUACUGUGAUGCACUAGAAAUUUCUAGCUUUAGUCUAAUGUAUAAAUUGACAAAACGAUAUUAGAAUCCCAGGUGAAAAGAACCCUCUCACACCAAUUAUUUAAAUUAGGAAUGAUCAUACCUCUGACUCUGGCGAACUGAGGGCGAGGCGUGAACCCCUCAUCUCGAGACGCUUGAGAUGGGAAGAGCCCACUUUGACUAAUUCAUUACGAAAAUAAUCGACAUCUUGCUCUUGCAAUCCACAUAAGCGAAGGAAUUCAAUUCUCUGCAGUUGCACGAUCAGCGAAUCCUUCAAGCGAAUCUUGUCAUAUAGCUCGACUCUGAAUUCACGACACCAAAAGUUGGUUCUCUCCCGAAACCAACCUCCAUGUCCAAUGCUUAUUCUGUACCUUUCCAGCUUCUCCAAGAUCAGGCCUCUGGGCAGAGUGCUGACGUCACGGAUGUCUAAUUCCAAAGAGGUCAAGUUGGGCAAAUGCUUCAACUCCUCAAGGCUUGCAUUCUUAACCCCUUCCACCUCCACCUCCCACUCCCAUUCAUCAAAGCUAUUACCACCUAUAUAUAGUUCUUCUAAAUGGGAUAAUUUUGACAGUAUAUUUGGCGGAAUAACUUUUAGGUUCCAACAUUCUCUCAAAUCAAGCAACUUUAGCCAAGUCAAUUCACCUACUUCUACCGGCAACUUCUUAAUUUUAGAACCUCUUAAGCAAAGGAUUUCUAGUUUCUUCAAGUCUCCUACAACACUUAGAUCACGCAAGUUGCAGCGACACAAACUCAGUGUUCGAAGGUUUGACAGGAGACCAAGUGAUGAAGGCAGUGACCGUAGAAACAUGCCAGUCAAGUUUACAACUCUGACCUCGAUCAUCCUCUCGAAAAAGUUGUUUGGCAUUGUUAAUGAUGAAGAUUCACGACGAUCAGCACGUAUAAAAAGAAGUUCGAGUUGAGGACAUUCCAGUACUUCAGGAAGCAAAUUAGUCUUGAUACCAUGUAAGACGAUUGAAGUGCAAUGCUUUAUUGCACUUCCGUCUGACCAUUCCCUGCAACCAUCAACCUGCUCAUUUGUAGCAGUAAACACAUUUCGUUCAGUAGAUGCAAUUGAUACGGCGACAUCGCGAACUACAUCAUGCAUAGAAAACAACUCUUUCUUCUGGCUUAUAUGGUCAAGCAACAAACAAGAAUCUUUGAGCUGGUGCACCAAUGUAUGUACUCGAUUUCGUGCUGCUUCCAUCUUAUUCACACCUUGAAAUAAAGUCAAUCCCAUACCAAACAUUAACAGUUCGUCAAUAGAUGCUAUGGCUGUAUAUCCUAUUAGCAAAAAGAUGUUCUUCAGCUCCUCCCCUACCAAUUUGUCGUAACUCCACUUUAUGGCUUCAUAUGCAUCUGGCUGUACAUCCUUAAAAUUCGAUGAAGAAGGCCUUCCUAGUUUUUCCAAUGCAUCCUUCCAUUCCUGUAUGCUCUUGUUCCUUAAUGCCCUUGCAACCGUCACAAUGGAAAGUGGUAGACCUGCACAUCCCUUUGCCACACCCCUUGCUACCGAUUGGAAUUCACUGCCUUCAAUAUAAUCACCUGCCAUCUUCUUGAAUAGAUUCCAAGCUUCUUCUUCGUUUAAAACACCAAUUGAGAAAUUUGGUCGAGAAUCCAUCUUCCUAGACAAUACAUCUAGACUUCUGGCCGUCAGCAAUACUUUACAACCUUUAUGACCAUCUCCAUGAGGAAUUCCGACAACCCGCAAAUCAAGAUUUUCCCAAAUGUUGUCUAAAAUUAUCAGGAUCUUCUUCUCUGCUUCUAUACGUUUAAAUAAGCUGUUUGCCCUUCCUGAUUCACUUUCCUCAUGAAACUUCAGGCCUAAUUUAUCUGCUAUUUCUCCUUGAAUCUCUCGUAUGUUUUUAUUAUGGGAUACCUCAACAAGAACCACUUGAUAAAAGAGUUCACUCUUGACUUUCCUAGCAACUUCUUCCGCCAGGUUCGUCUUUCCGAUUCCGCCCAUUCCAUAAAUCCCAAGCAUGUUGACAUUGGGAUUUUUUAAUGCAUCCAUUAUUUCAUUCAGAAUGGGCGUUCUUGAUAGAAAGGCCUCGUAGUCUUUGUUAGGGAUAAGCCGAAUAUCCUUUGGAGCAGUACGGUAGGAAAUUCUAUCAAAUCUUCGAUCUCCUCGGACUUUGACAACAGCCUCCUUCUGCCUCUCUGCUUCCUUGCUAAGUCGACGGCGGGUCUUCAAAUUAGGACAUAAUCCCCCGAAACAACGCUUACUUGCAGCGGCUUCAUCUUCUGUAAAUUUAUCUGCCUCUUCAAUGACUUUGUUGGCCCCUUCAAGCCAAUUCCUAACGUUCUCUUCACUUUCUUCCCCGUUUCGUUCAGCCUCAUCAACCUGCCUCAACAAUGACUCCCUCUCAGACUUCAGAUCGUCAACUUCUGCCUUGAGAUUCUGUAAGUUGGUCGUGUACUUACUCUCACGCAAAUAGCUAAUUUUGCGAUAUGCGGGAGGAGCCAAGCACUUCACAACUUCUACAACAAUAGUAAGAAUGAUUUCAGCCAUCUUCAGUCCUUUGUCCCUGUCUCUCUAUCUCUCUUUUUCUGAAUUUUUGAAAAACAAUUGACUAUUUAGGAAGCACACUGAGUGAUUGAACACAAGUGACCACAACAAGAUAGAGAACAGAGGAAAAAAAUAGAAAGAGUGGAUGGAGAAUAAAACCGAGACAGCGGCACAGCUGGACACAACUAGAUAGAGAACAGAGGAAAACCAAAUAACAAGACUUAAGAUUACAACAAACAGAGGCCAAGUAUUAUUGUUGAGAUCAGAAGGUGGAAAAUUCAAAAGAGUUGAUGGCAGAUGCUGAAUAACAAAACAACAAUAAACGCAAUAAACAGAAGCAAAGUGUGUUUGUGAUCGACAGACGGAAGUAAGGAAAGCGGUUGUUGAUUGAAAAUGAAUGAAUGCAACGAAAGACUGAUGUUAAAAACUGAUGUCAAUAGCGAAGGAAUAAUUGAACUUUCGCUGAAUUAUUGUUUGUGGCCUUCUUUUACUUUUUAUUUGUGGGCCAUGUCUUUUGGAACUAAUCAUCUUAGCCUAUGCCUUAUAGCUUGAAGGCCGGUAACCGGUGUCCGUUGGAUUAGCAUAUAGAAAUCCAACGGUGGAUAUAUAUACUUGGAGAAUAAAAUUCAAGAGCAAAGGGAGUGCUGGGCUGCAGUUUCUUAAGGAGAUUUAUAUAUCCUCCUCAAAAAUAAAUGUUUUAAGGUAGAUAUUUAGACUAUUUCAUCAUAAAAUAAAUGUAAUUAAUUUUCAAUAAAUAUCUUAUAUAAAUAUUUAUUUAUUUUUUUAAUUACUAAUGACCUUUGAAUAUACAUAUAUACAUAUCACUAAUUCAAAAAAUAAAUUGUGAUUAUUUGUUAAUGUAUGCGAUUACUUGUGAUGGUAAACAAAGUAGAUAUGGUAUAUUUUGAAGUUAAAUUAAAAAAAAAAAAAACAGAGCUUUUACCAUUACUUGCCUUAUCAUCUUUUAAAUUAGAAUUAUUAUUCUUUUAUUUUUCAAGUUGCCAACUCAUCUGCAUUCUCUUUUAUUGAAUUUGAAGAUCAAUGAUUAUAAAUUUGUGUGAAAAUUUUAAGUCAAAACUUUAAAUUAAAAUAAUCUUUAAGUUAUUGGGAAAUAAUAACUUAGUAUAACAAAUAUUAUAUCCUAUACUUUAUUGCUACAAAAUUACGAAACCUUAUAUUAUAUUAUGUUUCCAUAUUUCUCCUUUAUAGUGAAGACUCAUACUUCUUCUCUAAUAAAUGCUAAAGUAUUGGCUUAAAUUUUUUAACCAGCACAGUAGACCCUUAAGCUAUAUAUACUAUAAUGUCCUUCUUUUCUCACAUAUUAAACCAAUCGGAUCUCAGAGUGAGUUGAUACCAUGACUUUGCAUCAUUCGUGAUCGGGUAAAAGCUCAUUUAGUCCCUGUAUUUUAAGAUUAGUGUCCGUUUAGUCCCUAUAUUUUUAAAAAUACCCUGAAACAUCCAUGUCGUUAAAGUAUUGAUACCCCUACCGUUACUUUUUAUUUCUUUUGGCUUACUUUUACAAUAUUACCCUUUUAUAAUAAUUUUUUUGUUUGGACAUUAAAAAAAAAUAAUUAAAUUAUCAAUUUAACCCUAUAAAAUAAAAUAAAAAUUAUAUUAAGUUUUUUGCAAGCACCAUUUGCUCACUUGUUAGUUUGCAUACAAUUUUUGAUAAUUAAAAAUUAAUAUAAUUUUUUUAGGGUUAAAUUGGUAAUUUAAUUAUUUUCUUUUUAUUAAUGUCCAAACAAAAAAAAUUAUUAUAAAAGGGUAAUAUUGUAAAAGUAAGCCAAAAGAAAUAAAAAGUAACAAUUUAAUUUUUGACAAUUAAAAAUUAAUAUAAUUUUUUAUUUUUUAGGGUUAAAUUGGUAAUUUAAUUAUUUUCUUUUUAUUAAUGUCCAAACAAAAAAAUAUUAUAAAAGGAUAAUAUUGUAAAAGUAAGCCAAAAGAAAUAAAAAGUAAUGGUAGGGGUAUCAAUACUUUAACGGCAGGGAUGUUUCAAGGUAUUUUUUAAAAUAUAAGAACUAAAUGGAUAUUAAUCUUAAAAUACAGGGACUACGUGGGCUUUUACCCUUCGUGAUCAAAGGAGCAUCAUUACUAACUCAUAUAGGCUCAAUCAAUAGGCCUGAUAAUAAUUUUUUUUUUAUCUACAAACACUAUUUUUCAAAAUAUUAUAUCUUAAGACUUAACUAAAUAUUUUUUAACUAUGUAGAUAUAGUUUGUUUGAUCUCUUUUAAAUAGUGGAGAUUACAAACAAACAUAUGUGAAUUAGUAGUAUGUUGAGUUCAGAAGAUUGAAGUAAAGAAAAUUAAGGGUUUCUUGAUCUAGGGAAAUUUCAAAAGAGUGAAGCGUCCUCGAAAUCGGAAGACGAAAAUAAGGAAAGGCUAAGGGUGUAUUUUCAAAGUGAUUCUAUUAGGAGAUCUUUGAAGUAGGAGUGGGCAAUCGGGUUUCGGUUUAGGUUUCAACCCAAUCGGAUUGGAGAAUUGAACCCAAUCGGGUUGAAAACACCAACCCCAACCGAACCGAACCAAAUUUAAUUCGGUUUGGUUCAGUUCGGGUUCAUAAUUCGGAUCGGACUGGGUAGUAAUUCAGGUUAAAAUUUCGGUUCGGGUUAAUUCGGAUUAGAAUAAUUCAAUCUAAAAUUUUGGGUUAGUUCGGUUUAAAACGGGUUGGAACAAUUUAAUCCAAAAAUUCUACCAACAACCACUUAAAAUCUAAAAAUCUAAAUUCCAAACAUCCUUAACAACAAAUAUCAACUACAAACCAUCUUUAACAACAUUUCAACAAUAACAAUAACAAUAAUAACAACAACAAUAAUAAUAAUAACAACUAUGAAUCAACAAUUCAGCAUAUUGCCAUAUUCUAAAUUAAAAAAACACAAAUUAAUUAAUUAAUUAAUUAACAAUCUCCAAUUUAAUUUAUAAUAACAGCAAAAACCCACUCCAAUUUAAUUAAUAACAGUCUCAAAUUGUUCAAUUAUCAGUCAACAGCAACAAACCCACUCCAAUUUAAUUAUAACAAUCUCCAAUUGUUCAAUUAUCAGUCAACAGUAACAAACCCUCUCCAAUUUGUCACGAACAACCUCUAAUUGUUCAAUUAUCAAUCAACAACAACAAACCCACUCCAAAUAAUUGAACAAUUAUUAAUUAAUUAAUUUAAAAUAUCCAAUUUAAUUAAUAACAACACCCAAGAGCAAGUUAGCAAUAAACCCACUACAAAAUCCAAAUAUAAGUAUAAACUAAGUGUCAAAUCGUGACCGUGUGGGGCUGAGUGAGACCGUCGACCGAGGGUGUGAGAAAGGAGAAGAGGGAGCAGGGAGGUAACGUGGUGUGUGUGAGUUUAUAUAUAUAUAUAUAAUUUUUAAAAGUUAAAACAAAAAAAAAAAUUUAACCCAAUCCAAACGCCCACCUCAUAUUACUUCCCUGUUUUUUUUUUUUUUUGAUUACAUGAGACUAUUGCUCAGAUUACAACUUGUUGAUGCGAGAUUCUGGUUCUCCUCAUUCUACGACCAGGAUCUCUACUCGAUCAACUUCACCACGACCAGGAAGUCUGCUCGUAAGGCUCCUUCUCCAGAGGUUCCUGCGCACACAGACAAGUCAGAGUACGCCGGUUGUUUUCCCGGCGCAAACCCUCCGACGCUCAAGUCAGAUAUCCAGGUUUGGGGAACACUUGCCACAAAUCUUAUGGCCUUUAGGUCCGUUCUCUCCCUCUAGAAUUUCUUUAGUCUCUCUUUUAUCUCAAAAAAUUGCCAACCCCUUUACCUUCGUUCGCUACCUUUUUGUAGGCUGCCUCUGAAUCCCAGUUUUCCGCUUUUUGCCAGACGGUAUGGGACUCUGACUGCUGCGUUAUGGGCAAAGGUGGGAUCUUGCGUGUUACGCCACGGUUCUGGGGAAAGCGUGGCUGUCGUGAUUCUGUGAGAUCUUGCAUGUUACGUCAUGGGUCUGGGGAAAGCGUGGCUGUCGCGCCUAGAUUCUCGAGCUGGAGAGCAUGUCUUGCCAACUGUCGUCGGCCGGGUCUCCUCACCACUCGGCCUCUAGCCGAAAUGACCUUAUGCCUCUCACAGGAAGUUGGCCUCGCGGAUGACGUGCUCGUGGACGAACAGGAUAUUUCUGCUCCUGUUCCCCCGCGCACCAGGCUUUUACGGAACACACCGGUCCGCAGAACUCUGCCAUCAGAUACCUGCUCACCAUGCCUGGUCUCGUCGACGUAUUUCUCCCAAACACCGGUCCCCCAGUUUCUGGUGUUGGGUAAUGUAGUGGACCAGCAGUAGAAACUCGACAGUACUCGCUCGCGUGGGAUGGGAAAAGGCUGCCAAGAGUCAUGUCGCAUUUAAUUGCGGACGAGGUGACGUGACAGAAAUCCCCCCCUCCAUUUGAAUUUCAAACCGACGGUUAUGAGACUCUCGGGAUUCGGCGCUGUUAAAUGCUGGCAACCCAAGAAUCCGUCCUCAUUAGGAAAACCAAAUCUUCUCGAACGGCAUAUUCAUUAUUCACUCCGUCUCCGUCUCUCCGGCAAAGCAGUUCCGGCAUAAAAGCCUCCAUCUCUGACUUUCACCGACUGAACCAUUACUUCAGGUAUUUCUUCUAUCUCCUUGGUCUCGGAUAGUUGUAGAUAAUUUCUCUUCUCUUCUGUUUGGGUAGUAGUUGGUGGUGUUGUGGUUAGAACUUAGGGAAUGUCGAAAGGCAAAGAGAAGGUCGUUGAGGUUGACGACGAUGAGUUGGACUUCCUGCCUAGUCUGCUCACCGAUCCUGCUUUUGACCCCGGGAUCCCCUUAGAGCCCACUAGAUCCAGUGUUGGUACUAGCGCUAGGAGGAUGUCUCCCCAAACGACCUCCUCGAGCGAAAAAAACGAUGAGGAGGGGUCUUCUGGAUCGGAGAACACCCUGAGUGAGGGUCGAGGAGAUGAUUCUGGUGAGGCGUCUCCAUCAGGAGCGCCGCGACCCGAAGUGAGGAGUACGAUAGGAGGUAGAGCCCUAUCGCAGGAUUACGCUAUCGAUUAUAUGACGUGCACGACCACGUUUAAUGAGCUCGACGACCUCCGGCUGAGGUAUAGCAUUCCUGGUGAAAUACUUCUCAAGGUCCCAGGAAAGAAGGAUUCUCCUAGCCGACCUCCUAGGGGAUAUGUUACCCUGUAUCUGGAUAGCUUUAAGUACGGGCUGAGGUGUCCCUUGCAACCUUACUUUGCCCGGAUACUUAGCGGGUUGAAUCUAUCUCCUGGUCAGUUGAACCCAAACGGUUGGAGAGUGCUCUCUGGUCUGUUCAUACUGUGGGACAGAUGCUGCCAAAGCGAGCCCACGGUCGACGAGGUGAUGCACCUGUACCAGCUGAAAAGCAGCCCAAAAGACGCCGGCUGGUAUUACUUCCAAUCAAGUACCAAGACCAGGAAACCCAUAACCGAUCUCCCUACUGGUGGUGGUGGGAAUUGGAAGAGGAAGUUCUUCUUCGCAGGGGGUCCCUGGGGUCAGGUUGCACAGGUUGAUGGGAAGGAUUAUCGGGUCUCACCCCGUUUCACGGUCCCAGGUUGCCUGCUCGCUUCAGAUGUCUUGUAUCCAUAAUUGUUCUUGUUUUAUUGGUUUGUCUCUAACCCAGUGUCUGUUUGUGUUGUAGUUUCUUGGGGUGUCCACUUCUCACUCAAACCGGGACAGCUCAAACGGGUCGAGGCUGUGCUAGUCAAUUCCUGCUCGAGCCGAGAGCUGUUAACCACAUAUAACUUGCUCGAGUCUCGCCUGAUACUUCCCGGCCAUAGGAUGGAGGACGCUGUGAUUGGGGCUCUGACCCGAAAACGUUCUCGACCUCCGACCACGAAGAGGGACCAGAGUAAGGAUGCCCCUACUGCAAAGCGGGCCAACAUCGUGCAGCAGGUCCCACCCUUGAAGAUUUUACCUCCCGCUCCUGUAAAAGUCGGGGAAGCCAGUGGAGCAGCCACAGAUCCUGCUUCCUCUUCGCCUCCUGUCGGGCCUCGACCUCGCUUACCUGACAGCCGAGCGGAACACCUGGUCCCCUACCUCAAUGAGUUAUCUAAACUCGUGAGCAAGAAGGACCUGGAGGACUUUGACGGCUGCACCCUGGGUGAGCUGGUGGGGGCCAUGCAGCAUAGCGCUUUCCACCUCAGCUGCAUGACCACCUAUUACAAGGCUAAGGUCGGCCGUUACGACCGGAAGAUGAAGGAGGAUAUUCAAUCGGCGACGACCAGAGCUGACGUUGCCGAGAAGAAAGCAGGGGAGCUGAAUCUCGAGAACCUGAAGCUGGUAGAGCAAGAAUCACUUGCUCAAGCAAAAGCCAUUACCCUUGAAGAGGAGCUUACCAAGGUCAAGGAGGAUCUGCAAAGGCAGAAGGCUAUGUAUGAGGCUCAGCUCGAAUCUCUCCGCGACUCCCACCGAGCCCAGGUCGAGAACUUGGAGGGGGAGGCCGACAACCAGUACGACCAGGGACUUCGGCAUUCCUACCGUUGCAUCAUGGCCGUCCUCGGGAAGCAGCACCCGGAUCUGAAGAUGGAUGACCUUGCAGCUGGUGUUGCUCAACAUAUGGACGAGGAGGCGGCCAAGGAAGGUGCUGAAGAGGUAGAGCCGAUCGUGAUUGAGGAGGAUAACUCUCCUCCUCAUGCAGCCCCUGCUGACGGGGGCGAGGCGAGCACCCCCCCGGACGCAACCGGUGAUACCCCCCUGCACCUGAGGAGGUCCAGCCAACCGAUGCUGCUCGGCUCGCUGAUCCACCAUCUUUUUGACAUAUUUCUUUUGUAUUGUAAUGAACAACGUUAAUGAAAUUUAUCUCCUCUGUUAGCCAUUAACACAUUAAUAAAAAUGUUGUUGAUUACUUUCUUAUGUUGUUAUCAUAGUUAUUUUUCGUCUGAAACUCUGCUCGCCUUUGUCUGAUCGAGCAGGAUCUGGCUCGGCGUAUGGUUUUGCCAUACAUCUUAGAAAAUAUUCCGACGCCUGGGAUUCUGCUCGCCUUCGCGUGGUCGGGUAGAUCCUGGCGAGUUUGGCUUCUAGUUUUGCCAUAUACAGGCUUUGAAUGCUUUGGAGUCUGCUCGCCUUCACGUGGUCGAGCAGAUCCUGGCACGCUUGGCUUCUGUUUCACCAUAAAACAGGUUUUGAAACUUGACGAGCCUUUGUAUGCCUUAGAAAAUAUUCGGAUGCUCGGGGAUUCUGCUGCCUUCUCUUGGCCGAGCAGAUCCUGGCAUGCUCGGCUUCUGUCUCGCCAUAAAUAGGAUUUGAGACUUUGUCGAGCCUUUGUAUGCCUUGGAUUUUUCAAGGCUUGGGAUUCUGCUGCCUUCUCGUGGCCGAGCAGAUCCUGGCAUGCUUGGCUUCUGUCUCGCCAUAAGACAGGCUUUGAGACUUUGUCGAGCCUUUGCAUGCCUUAGAUUCUUCAAGGCUUGGGAUUCUGCUGCCUUCUCGUGGCCGAGCAGAUCCUGGCAUGCUGGGCUCCUGUCUCGCCAUAAGACAGGCUUUGAGACUUUGUCGAGCCUUUGCAUGCCUUAGAUUCUUCAAGGCUUGGGAUUCUGCUGCCUUCUCGUGGCCGAGCAGAUCCUGGCAUGCUGGGCUCCUGUCUCGCCAUAAGACAGGCUUUGAGACUUUGUCGAGCCUUUGCAUGCCUUAGAUUUUUCGGUUUCACGCGAAUGAAAUUCCUCGACGUUCCAUUAAUGACAGUGUUCGACUUACAUAAAAUUGCUUGGACAUAAAGCGUGCAAGAUAAACGAUAAUGAAUGUGAGCAAAAGUAACUUUCAAAUGUGAACAAGUAUUACUGGAAGUAUUUUUGGAGGUGUGCUGCGUUCCAUGGGCGUUUCACCUCGUGGCCGUCCGUGCGAACCAGCUGGUAAGCUCCGGGUCCCGCUAUCUGCUUGACUCUAUAUGGCCCUUCCCAAUUCGGUCCCAGCACUCCUUGAGUCGAAUCUUUGGUGCUCUGAUUCACUCUUCUCAGUACCCAGUCCCCGACCCUGAAUUGCCGUAUGUUCACCUUCUGGUUAUAAUGCCGAGCAACCCUCUGUUGGUAAAUGACUGAUCGCUCGGCUGCUUGCUCCCUCCUUUCCGUUAGCAGAUCAAGAUUCAAACAUAUCUGCUCGUCGUUCUCCUGCUCAUUGAAAUGAUCUGUCCGGUGUGUGGUCGUUCCUAUCUCAGCCGGCACGACCGCUUCAUGUCCGAAAGCCAAAGCGAACGGUGUCUCCCCAGUUGCGGUUUUGUGGGUUGUUCUGUACGCCCAUAGCACACCUGACAGCUCGUCAACCCAAGCACCUUUUUUUGCUCCAAGCCUGGUUUUCAAAAGCCUCUUGAUGGUCUUGUUGGCUGCUUCUACUUGUCCAUUCGAUUGAGGGUGAGCAGGCGAGCAAUACUUCAGCUGUAUCCCGAGGUUCUGGCAGAAAUCCCUGAAGCUGUGAUUAUCGAACUGCCUGCCAUUAUCCGUUACCAAGGCAUAAGGGAUCCCGUAUCGACAGACCAGGUUUCUCCACACGAAGUCUGUUGUUUUCUUCUCUGUGAUCCUGCUAAGGGCUUCUACCUCUAUCCACUUCGUGAAGUAAUCUAUAGCAACUAUUGCAUGUGUUGCUGCUCCUCGUCCCUUUGGCAAUGGGCCGAUCAGAUCAAUUCCCCAUUGAGCGAAUGGCCAAGGGGAGGCCAUAGAGGUGAGCUUCUCUGGUGGUUGGUUAGAGAAAUUUGCAAAACUCUGGCAGCUUACACAACUCCUGGUCUUCUCUUGCGCAUCCCGGUGCAUUGUCGGCCAGAAAUAUCCCUGCCUUAGAACCUUGUGGGCCAGGGACCUCCCGCCAGAAUGAUUUCCGCAAAUUCCUUCAUGUACUUCUCUCAGUACGUAAUCCGCGUCGUCCUCAUCCAAACACCGAAGGAACGGUAGUGUGUAUCCUCGCCGAUACAGUACCCCAUCAAUCAUCGUGUAUCUCGAGGCCUGGGCUCUGAUCUUCCGAGCUCGCAGCUUAUCUGAUGGUAAUACCCCGUCUCUAAGGAAUGAAACUAUCGGGUCCCUCCACGAGCAUUUUUGUUCUAUCCGCAACACCCCCCAAUUCUGCUCGAUACUUGGACUGGACUUCACCUCGAGAGGGACCGACUUUGGCAUUUUUGGGUCGGCUACUGCUGCCAUCCUAGCCAAAAUGUCUGCUCGACUAUUCUGCUCCCUAGGGAUUUGUAUCACCUCCACUGCUUCGAAUUUCCCCAUCAUCUGCUUGACUAUCUUCAGGUACUGCUCCAUCUUCUCCUCUCUUGGUUGGAAUCUUUCAUUGACAUGAUUCGCAACCAGCUGGGAAUCAGUUCUGAUCUUAACUCUGUCUGCUUUCACGGCCUUAGCCAAUUCCAGACCUGCUAUCAAGGCUUCAUACUCUGCCUGGUUAUUUGUGGCUGUAAAUUCCAACUUUACAGCAUAAGAGAUCUCCUCCCCCUCUGGGCCUCCCAAGACAAUCCCUGCUCCUGAACCUCGCUCCCCUGACGACCCAUCCACAGACAUCUGCCAUACUUGAGUUUCAUCACUGCCUAUAACUGCAUCUUGUUGAUCUAAGCAUACUUCGGGUUCUGUGAAUUCAGCUACGAAAUCGGCCAUUGCCUGGGCCUUUAUCGCUGCGCGGGGUUUAUAGUCUAUGUCGAACUCGCUCAGCUCUACAGCCCACUUGACGAGCCGACCAGAAGCAUCUGGCUUGUGCAGAGUUUGACGCAAUGGCUGGUUUGUUAUUACCGUGACCGGGAAUGCUUGAAAAUAUGGCCUCAACUUCCGAGCGGCAACCACAAGGGCGAGUGCCCAUUUCUCCAGCGGUGGGUAUCUGGUCUCAGCGUCGAGGAGGGCCUUGCUGGUGUAGUAUAUCAGAUACUGCACUCCUUCUUCCUCUCUCACCAAAAUAGAACUGGCGGCCCGAUCCGAUACCGCCAAAUACAGAUAUAACUUGUCCCCAUCCCUCGGUGUGGACAGCAGCGGAGCUUGCUGCAAGUAUUGUUUCAAGUUCUGGAAGGCUUCCUCGCAUUCUGGGGUCCAUUCUGUUUUCUUUCCCCUCCUUAUCACUUGAAAGAAUGGCUGACACUUAUCUGUAGCCUUGGAUAUGAAUCUGCUCAACGCCGCCAACCUCCCCGUGAGGCUCUGCAUCUCCUUCAGGUUACGAGGAGACGUCAUCUGCACAAUCGCCUGGAUUUUCUCGGGAUUUGCUUCAAUCCCCCUAUGGCUCACCAUGAAUCCAAGGAAUUUCCCUGACUCGACCCCAAAAGCACACUUCUCCGGGUUGAGCUUCAUCUUAUACUUCCUCAAAAGCUCGAAUGUCUCCUCGAGGUGUCUGACAUGUUCCUUCGGGAUUUUGGACUUGGUGAUCAUGUCAUCCACGUACACCUCCAUGGUUCUCCCAAUCAAUGGCUUAAAGACUUUGUCCACCAGCCUUUGAUAGGUGGCCCCGGCAUUUUUGAGACCGAAUGGCAUUACCCUGUAACAGAACAGACCUUGGUUAGUGAUGAAAGCCGUGCUCUCCUCAUCCUGCUCGUGCAUGGGGAUCUGGUUGUAUCCCGAGAACGCGUCCAUGAAGCUAAGCAGGCCAUGCCCAGCCGUUGAAUCUACUAGCUGAUCGAUCUUUGGCAAAGGGAAGCUGUCUUUCGGGCAUGCCUUAUUGAGGUCUGUGAAAUCCACACACAUCCUCCACUUGCCGUUUGCCUUCUUUACCAACACCACAUUCGAUAUCCACUCAGGGUAACUGACUUCCCGAAUGAACCCUGCUCUCAGGAGCUUCUCCACCUCGCCAUUUAUAGCCUCAUACCUCUCCUGGUUGAAGCACCUCCUCUUCUGCCUUACUGCCCGAGCACCUUUCUUUAUUGCCAGCUUAUGACAUGCUACCUCAGGGUCAAUCCCUGGCAUGUCUUCAUGUGUCCAAGCAAACACAUCAGCAUGAGCCUGUAAGCAUUUCACCAACUCCUGCUUUUGCUCCCCCUUAAGUUUCGACCCGAUUCUGAUCGUCUUUCCCGGGUUCUCUGGUCCCAGGCUCACUGUUUCCAGAUCCUCUACAGGUUCUUGCCUGCCAUUCUUGUUUUCCACUCGGGUAUCGAGGGAUGUUAUCUGCAUUGCUUCCCUUGCUGCCGAGGAGUAGCAGCUUCUUGCGAUCCUCUGGUCUCCUCGUACCACUCCUACUACCCCAUUCACCCGGUACUUCAGAGCCAGAUAAUGGUUGGACAACACCGCUUUGCUCAUCCUUAAAAAUGGCCGACCUAGGAUCAUCUGGUAAGGACCUUCCUCAUCCACCACGACAAAGUCCAGUAUCAUUGUCCUUUCUGUCGGGGAACUCCCAAUUGUGAUAGGCAGUUCGACCACGCCCAGAGGGACCAGCUUCCCUCCUCCGAACCCCUUCAAGGAGGUAUUGGUGUAUUCCAACUUCCGGUCGGCUAUUCCCAUCUCUUCCAGGGUUGACUUAAAUAACACAUCAACUGAGCUCCCUGUGUCAAUCAGUAUCCGGUCAAACUUCUUGCUAGCGACGGUAGCCUUGAUGACUAAAGCAUCCUCGUGGGGGUAUAGAAUCCCUUCCUCAUCCUCAUCCGUCCAUAUGAUUGGCACUUGCCUGACCCUUGCUCGUUUGGCUGCUGGGGUGUUGAAGAGUACCUCUUUACUGGUCAUGGCGUACCUAGCAUAAUUUUUCCUCGAUCUGUUGGAAUCUCCGGCCAAUGUUGGGCCCCCAGCUAUCACCCUUACUGCGGGCUGCUCGCGCCUCAAGUUUCUAUCGCUCUGCUCCCCUUCACCUGUUGUGGCCACCAUCGGGAAAGUCCCAUCCACAAACUCGUCCAGGUACCGAUUUCUCACCAGAUCUUCGACCUGGGUCUUGAGAUCUCUACACUCUGCUGUGGUAUGGCCAUGGGUGUCGUGGAACUUACAAUAACGUCAUCUAUCCCUCCUGUUGGGUAGCUUUGUUAUUGGUGUAGGGAGGUGCAGCAGCCCUCGAUCCUUUAUGGCCUCGUACACCUCAUCCAGGGACAUCUUCAAGGAAGUGUACCGCCCAUAGUCCUGGUUCUGGUCGAUCAGGUGCACUGGUCUUUCUCUAUUUGCCCCGCUCUGAGUUGUGGGCGGUGGAAGUACUUCUGGUCUGCUCGCUCUGCUACCGUGGGAAUAUUGAUGAAGACCACUAGAUGCUGAAUCAUGCCUUCUCCAAGGCUCCCUAGCUGGGGAACGAGGAGGUUGCGCCCCGCUGCGCUGAUACUGUGGUGGCCGCUGAUGAGGCUGGUAAGCAGUUACCCGACCUCCUGCUCCACUACCGGAGGCCUGGUGGUCCCUCCUCCUGAUCGGCCCAUUCCCCGGUAAUGCUUUCUUCUCUUUCCUCCCCAACCCUUCUAACUGAUCUGUUUUAAUCCGUGCGGCCUUCUCCUCUUCAAUCUCGAUGUCUCUCUUAGCCUGCUCGUAUGCGGCUGCGUACGUUUGAAUAGCUGGGCUUCUCAAAUUGUACCACAGCCUUCCUAUCUUCACCCCUUCUUUCAACCCCCUUAACGCCUGAGGGUGGUUGAAGGCUCCCAAGUCGAGGACAGCCCGAUGAAACCUCUUGAUGAAUUCCCGAAGGGUUUCUUGCUCCCCCUGUUUCAUGCUUUUCAGCUCCAUCAUGUCAUCCUCUGGUGCCAUUGCCCCACUAAACUGCUCGGCGAAUUCCUGGCACAUCUGCUCGAAGGUUUUAAUGCUGCCCCGAGGAAGUUUCAUGUACCAUUCUCGUGCACGUCCCUCAAGGGAUAGUGGGAACACCCUGCACCUUUGGGACUGAGAUAAUCCUUGUACCCCAGUUAUGUCGUUGAAGCGCUCUAUGUGCACCAGCGGAUCAGUUCUUCCCGAGUAUCUGAGGUCUGGGAGGCGGAAAUCUCUCGGAAUAACCGCCCUCAUGAUCUCUGCUGCGAGCGGUGAUUCUCCGUCCAGCAUUAUCCUCCAACCAGGGGCUCUGUUCCUUCCUUGCAUGUCGUCAAUUAUCUGCGCUAGUCUGCGCACUUCCUCCUCCAGCUGCCCUGCACGACCAGGGUCACGUGCCUCAACUUGAUCGCGCUCUUGCUCUACAUCAUGCAAGUGUUGCCUCAACUUUGUUUCCUCCGCAUUCACCACCCCGUCGGCCUCGUCAGAAAUCUGUCUUGCCGGGGACUGCUCUCUUUCUCUAUGGGAUUCUCCCCGCAGAGGUACGUUACCUCUCUCCCCACCAUAUCCCCCGGUGGUUUGACUUCUCCUCGCACCAUCGGGACCUGGUGCCACCCCUCCGCCUCUCAACCUUCCCUCUUGGGCCACCCUUCGCUCGCUCCGCAGCUCAUGCAGGAUGGUUGUCAAGGUCUCCAUCUGCUUUUCCAUCCGUUCCAUCCGGUCGAACAUGACUUUUUCCCGUGCUUCACUGACUAUCUCCCUCAGCGUCACGGGAUCGUUAAGCCUCACAUCACCCCCUUGUGCACUAUUUCCUCCUAUCUCCAUUACUUUUCACUUGCUUCACUCCUUUUCUUGCUAUCUACAGAAGCUUUUUUGUAAGGUCCCCACAGACGGUGCCAAAAUGUUGAUGCGAGAUUCUGGUUCUCCUCAUUCUACGACCAGGAUCUCUACUCGAUCAACUUCACCACGACCAGGAAGUCUCCUCGUAAGGCUCCUUCUCCAGAGGUUCCUGCGCACACAGACAAGUCAGAGUACGCCGGUUGUUUUCCCGGCGCAAACCCUCCGACGCUCAAGUCAGAUAUCCAGGUUUGGGGAACACUUGCCACAAAUCUUAUGGCCUUUAGGUCCGUUCUCUCCCUCUAGAAUUUCUUUAGUCUCUCUUUUAUCUCAAAAAAUUGCCAACCCCUUUACCUUCGUUCGCUACCUUUUUGUAGGCUGCCUCUGAAUCCCAGUUUUCCGCUUUUUGCCAGACGGUAUGGGACUCUGACUGCUGCGUUAUGGGCAAAGGUGGGAUCUUGCGUGUUACGCCACGGUUCUGGGGAAAGCGUGGCUGUCGUGAUUCUGUGAGAUCUUGCGUGUUACGUCAUGGGUCUGGGGAAAGCGUGGCUGUCGCGCCUAGAUUCUCGAGCUGGAGAGCAUGUCUUGUCAACUGUCGUCGGCCGGGUCUCCUCGCCACUCGGCCUCUAGCCGAAAUGACCUUAUACCUCUCACAGGAAGUUGGCCUCGCGGAUGACGUGCUCGUGGACGAACAAGAUAUUUCUGCUCCUGUUCCCCCGCGCACCAGGCUUUUACGGAACACACCGGUCCGCAGAACUCUGCCAUCAGAUACCUGCUCACCAUGCCUGGUCUCGUCGACGUAUUUCUCCCAAACACAACUCAUAUUACAUGAGAAUAUAACUGAUAUAUACAAAUCAGACUAUAACUGGGACCAACAUACAUCAAAGCUAAUGGAGCGCUGCCCAGAUUUUAACCCUCUCAAAUAUUCGAGGGAUGUCUACUCCUCGCACUGGGGCAAGGAAGCAGACUGCCUUCACUCAAUUUUAUUUGAAGAAGAAAACACCCCACAUGCAUUGUGGGGGUUCGAACUGCUGCAGCAGCUCUCACCACUCGGCCAAAGACCGAGUGGCUAUAUUACUUCCCUGUUAAGAGCUGGAUCCCACACCCUUGAGCUUUUGUCGUCCCGGUCAACUAUAAAAGCAAAUCAUUAUUGAGUGGGAACAGACUUAUUGAUCACCCAAUUUUCAAACUUGUCAUCGUUAUUGAAUCUGCAUUCCCUUUUAAAAAAUUUUAAAAAAAGUACAAAUAAUGAAACAAAGUUCUAUUCCUUCAACAGUUGAUAGAGUUACGCGGCUUCAACUUGCAAGUGCUGUCGGCAUUUUCAAACUUGUAAUACCCUUACAACUUGCUUUCCAAGAUAGCUAUAAUUAAUAAUGACAACAGUCUCCCUUAUAGCGACUAGUGAGCAACUUGUUUCGUGAAAUUAACAGCAUCUUCUCUCACAUUUUUUAAAAAAUUGAAUUAUAUAACCCACCAAAACUAUAAAGAAUUGUUAGUUUUUCUUCAUUAAAAUUAAUAUAUUGCUCCUCAUUUUGAAAAAUCAAAAUUCAGAAUAAGAAUGAUUGAUACUGUUUAUUUACUAAAAUGAAAAUAAAAUAUAUGAAGCCUACAUAUUUUUGAAAUUAAAAAACAAGAACUUUAUUUUUCAUGGGAAGUGUUGGAAAUCAAGUUCUCAUUAUUUAAACUCUCAAUUGUACCUCACCGAAAUUUCAUAAUUUCACUUUUGUUCUCAAUUAAAAUAUUGUUAUAGUUAUUAUUCUUAUUUUUAUAGUUGUUGUUGAUGAUGAUGAUGAUGAUACAAGAUAAUUAAAUUAAUGAUAAUUAAACCAAUUUGAAUUCAGAGUGAGUGAGUACCAUGACUUCGCAUCAUUUGAUAUCAAAAGAGCAUCAUUACUAACUAAUAUAGGCUCGAUCGAAUUCAUCAUGCGAAGCAUAAUAUCGGCUGUAGGUAUGGAAAUAAAUUUUGUAUCCACAAACACUAUUUUUCAAAAUAUUUUAAGACUUGACUUAGCAUUUUUUAACCAUAUAUGUAUAGGUUGUUUGACCUAUUUUAAAUAGUGGAGAUUACAACAAAUGAACAGAUGUGGAUUAGUAGAGUUGUUGAGUUCAGAAGAUUGAAGUUAACAAAGGGUUUCUUGAUCUAGAGAAAAUUUGAAAGAGCGAAGUGUCUUCGAGAUCAAAAGACGAAAUAAGGAAAGGGUAAGGUUAUACUUUCAAAAUGAAUCUGUUGAGAGAACUUUGAAGAUUACUUCCGUUAAGAGCUGGAUCCCACACUUGAGUCUUCGUCGUCUCAGUCAGUCAGCUGUAAAGUCAGUCAGCUAUAAAGACAAAUUAAUUUUGAGUGUGAAAGGACACAAUUGAUCACCAAAUUUUCAAACUCGUGAUCCUUAUUCAAUCUACAUUCCCAUUUGAAAAACAAUAAAAGAUUAACAUUAAUUUAACUUCAUCUAGAUUCCCAUUUGAAUCUGCAUUCCCAUUCCCUUGUUCUCUGGGAAUGCACAUAAUCAAACAAAAUCCUAUCGGCAUUUUCAAACUCGUGACCCUUCAAGCUUUCUAUGACAACUAUAAUGAAUAAUUACAACAAUGCUACCUAAUAGUGAGCAACUUGUUUGAUGAAAUUAACAGCUUCUUUUCUCUCAUGUAUUUUUAAAAAAUUAAAUUAUCAAAGUUUUUAUUUCAAAAUUAGUGCUAUAGUUCAUUAAUUUUUCAAUUUUUCCUUUUUCUUUCCACACAACAGAUUGAUUUGCCCUCCAAAAAAUAUAUUAUAUUGUUUAAUAUUGUAACUUCAAGAAACUUACAAUAAAUUUUUAAAGAGAUAAAUAGAGAAUGUCAGUCUCCCAUCUACUCAAAAUUAAUAUAUAUCAUUAACUCUUGAUUAUUUUUAUAACAACUAAUAACUUUCUUGGCAGCAUAAUUUUACAGUAUCAUCCUUGUUUGACGUUUGUAAGUAUAUUUUUAUUCAUAUUUAUUAUAAAUUAAUUAAAUCAUAUCAAUGAAAAUUGAAAUAAAAAUUGAAGUACUAAAAAUUUAAAAAAUAUAUUUUGGUGUGAAUAAAAAAUUGAAAAUAAAAAUAUUUUUCUUAUAUUUUUUGUUAUUUUAAAAAUUUUUCUUAUAAUAAAUGUAUAUUUUAUAUGCUCAACUUUUUCUUUUAAUUUUUGUUAUUAGGAGGAUUUUUAGAUAUAAUGAAAAUUGUAAGGUAGUAAGUAAUAUAUAAUAAUUUUAAUAGAGAAAAGUAAAAAAUCUCUUAUUUUAAAAUAUAAGGAGAAAAAUAAUUAAUUUCAAGACAUUUUAGAAGAUAUUUCAAUAUGCGGUGGACCACAAACUCGAGUCUUUGUCAUCUCAGUCAACUAAAAGGACAAAAUAUUGAGGGCAUGGCUAAGGUGCAGAAGCUGCAAGUAACAGCUUCGAACUUUCCCAUUUCCAUCACCUUGCAUUGGGACCUCUUUCUCUCUCCUCUAGCACCCGUGGAAGUUCCCCAUUGGCUACUGUAACUUACAGAAGCUGUAACAUAGAUUUCUCCGAAUAUUGAGCGCGAAGGGCUCAAGUGAUUGUUAAUUUCACAGCAAUUGCCUUUUUUUUUUUCUAAUUAUUGGGAAAUAAUAAUUUAGUAUAACAAAUAUUAUAUCCUAUACUUUAUUGCUACAAAAUUACGAAACCUUAUAUUAUAUUAUGUUUCCAUAUUUCUCCUUUAUAGUGAAGACUCAUACUUCUUCUCUAGUAAAUGUUAAAGCAUUGGCUUAAACUUUUUAACUAGCACAGUAGACCCUUAAGCUAUAUAUACUAUAAUGUCCCUCUUCCCUCACAGAUUAAACCAAUCUAUCUCAGAGUAAGUUUGCAUCAAAGGAGUAUCCUUACUAACUAAUAUAGACUCGAUCAACAGGGAUGACAAUAAUUUUUUUAUCUACGAACAUUAUUUUUUCAAAAUAUUAUAUCUUUAGACUUAACUAAAUAUUUUUUAACCAUAUAUGUAUAGUUCGAUUAAAUAGUGGAGAUUACAAUAAAACAUAUGCGAAUUAGUAGUGAUGUUGAGUUCUAGGUCAAGACGAAAAUAAGGAAAGGAUAAGGGUGUAUUUUCAAAGUGAUUCUAUUGAAAGAUCUUUGAAGAUUACUUUCGUUAAGAGCUGGAUUCCACACUCUUGAGCCUUUGUCGUCCCAGUCAACUAUAAAGACACAUUAUUAUUGAGUGUGAACAUUCCGACUUAUAGAUCACCAAAUUUUUAAACUUGUGAUCUUCGUUGAAUCUGCAAUCCCUUUUGAAAAAAAAAAAAAAAAAGGAAAACUGCAAAUAAUGAAACAAAAUUCUGUUCCUUGAUAGAGUUACGCGGCUUCAACUUGCAAGUGCUGUCGGCAUUUUCAAACUUGUAAGACCCUUCAACUUGCUUUCCAAGAUAGCUAUAAUUAAUAGGAUCCCUCUAAGUUACGUUUAACGUAACAUACAGCCGAUGACAUGAUUAGUUGACCAAUAAUUAUAUGCCAGGUAAACAUAAUAAUAAUAAAAUAGAACUGAUUUAAGCGGUUGGAAGUCGGUCAUCAAAAGAAGUCAACGCAGGCAACACCCUUCUACAGGCGGUUGUCUCUGCCGUCAACUUUUCUGGUUUCUCCGACGACUCAAUCCUUCCCAUUAAGUUAGAAUCCCAAUUUUGCAGGCUCAAAUCUUUCCCGGCUACUGCCAAACCCAAAACCCACAUCAAUGAUAAUCAUCAUCAUCACACCGAAAAACACACACAAUCUCUUCAUCAUCAUCAUUCAAAUCCAACUUCAAAGUUAGAGUUUUUUUUAUUCCAAAUAAAACCCAUAUGGGAAACUCGGCUUGGAGACUGCAAAAUCCGUUUCUAGUUGUGAUUCCUCUCCUCCUUUGCCAUUUUCUUUGAGUCCAAAUAGAACCCAGAUUAAAAAAUUGAUUUUAAAGAAAUUCCAGGUGUGGGUCUGUUUUUGCUUUUGUUCCUAUUGUCGCUGUUUCCUCGAAAUCGAAGUUGAAGUCGAAAUCCAACUCAUUUUCUUCGUCGUUGAGUUCUCCGAGUUCAUGGAUGGAUUCACCUUCUUCUCCGCCGUCUCCACCUCAGAGAAAGGGCUGUUUUUUAUGUUCUCCAAAGAGUGCUUUGAAGAAAAAGAGCAAGAAAAGUCUAAUUCUUGGUGAUGAUCUUGAUUUGCUUGUAAAGAACGAUGAGUUCUUAUCGGAUUUGAAAUUUUUUUUGUGUUAAAGAGCAGGAAAAGAUGCUGCAGAAGGCAAUAAGGGAGCAAGAAAAGGUUAGUGGAGACUGGAGAGGAAGAGAAGAUUGUCAAAUGGGCACACCAAUUCAGCCGGUUUCCCAUCCUUUAGAGCUUUUGGACAAAUUAAACACUAGCCAUUGGAUUAGAUUUUAACACUUUCAACGGACAAGAUUUUUUAAAUUGUACGUUACGUUAAACGUAACUUAGGGAUUGCCUAAUUAAUAAUGACAACCGAAGACGGCUACGUUUGCGGUACAAAAGUUGCACCAUAUUAGACGUUCUUUUUUGUUCUUAUCCGAAGUAACCGUUGGAUUCAAAGGAAAGUGAUCAGACAUUCAAUAGCUUCACACGUGGACAUUAUAGGAUACCGGUCAAAUCGGUUAGUGCUCCUCCACAUCAAACUCACAAGCAUGGCAAUCAUCGUAUCAGCUUGGAAACUUGUUACAAGUGACGAAGAGCAACAGGGUCCGCUCCUCUAGAGUCGGUUAGUGCUCAAUAAUGUUACAGUUUUUAUAAUAUAUGUAACUGGUACGAUCGCUGUCUCAAGUGGUAAACUUUUGAGGCACAAAUUUAGAACGAAAAGUUCCCAAUAAAAUAAGUUAUUUAAUUAAUUAAAUAAGAAUAAAAUGAAUUUGUGAAAAAAAAUUUAAAUUUAAUUUUGAAUUAUUUUGACCAAAAUUUAAGUUUUUUUUUUUAAAUUUGUUUAAGAAAAUGCGUUGUAAUUGUCUUGUUUUAAUUAGAAAAUCAAUGAAAAAAUUAUGUAAAAAAAAAAAAAAAAAAAAAGCAAAACGCUUUGUUUUGGAUGGAGGCCAUAGAUUCCAAUAUUUCCUUCACGAAAACUACAAAAAAAUUAUCAAAGGCAUCAAUUUCUACACUCUCACCGAGCAAUACUCUUAACCCAGAAGAAAGUGUAUAAACCAACCUCAAUCAGUCCAUCAAUGUCGUCAACCUCAUACAGCAUAAACAAAUCUGUGCCCAUUAAACUGCCAUUUAAACCGUCUUUAUUGAGCCAUUAGACUACUUGUGUCAUCUUGCCAUCUCGUUGUAGUAUUUUGCCGCUCAAAUCUAGUUAUCAAUUGGGGAAAAUGGGGACCAAUCUGCAAGUCUUUAAAAUAGAAAGAAACUUUAAUUGGGCACUAUGUUCACUGUAGUGGACCCAGGAGCAGCUAUUUGUGCUUCAAAAAAUAUUUUACUCACUCUAAUUUUAAUAAGAAUAUAUAUUACCAAAUUACUUAUCAUAUAAGUUACUGGACAAUAUAUUAUAAGUCAACAUUAUAUAAUUACUUUGAACACUUAUAUAACCCAAUCCUAAUUUAAUUUAUUAUUCUCAUAACUUAAAUAUAAAAAUUUUUAUUUCCAACUUCUUAAUUAAUAUGUAGAUGAAUAAUAAGGAAAUUAACUUUGAGAAAAAAUUAAAUACAAAAUAUGUGUAAUACUUUAAAAAAAAUAAACAAAAGUAUUGCACAAGAUUAUUUUUUUUGGUGGGGGGGGGGGGGGGGGGGGGCUUUGGCCAUUCUUCUUCUUCUCCUUCUCUCUCUCUCUCUCUCUCUUUUUGUAGUAUUUAUGGAACAUUUUCUAUUGUUAUGUUCUCAUUGCAAGUUAUUUUGGGUGUAAAAUUCAAUAUUGAAAAUAAAUUAAAUAAAAAAAUUAGUAACUAAAAUUAUGUUAAAUUAUUUUUUAACUUAAUUUUUAAUUAUAUUAUUAGUAUAUGUUAAAUCUCUUAAAAAUCGAGUGUUGAAUAAUUUUAUUAGUUUUUUAAAUAAAUAAAAUUAAAUAACUUCAAAAGUUUAAGUAAGGAUAUUUUUAAAUUUUUUAAACAGUGUACAAAGUAAAGUUUAUUUUCUUGUCAGUGGCAAAUGAUCACGACAAGAAAUAUGAAGUAGAAACAGCAGAGCUCAACAAAUCACUAAGAGAAAAUAAGACCAAUAACCAAGCAGAUAAAAGAAAAGCAAAAUAACCCAUCUCAAAAUCACCACAUGCACAAUUUAAGGGGUUUGUGACAUGGGUUUAAACAUGAUUUAACAAGUGCCACCUGUGAAUUGUCAGAGAUUGUAUUUUCAUACACAUGUCAAAUUUUCAAAUCCAACAAAUUGUUAUCUUUAUAAAGAGGCUAAUAUUAUUAUUAUUUUUUUUUUUUGAAGUCUGUUAUACACAGAUAUUACUGACAUUACAUCAGACAUUACAAUUGAUAUUUACAAUCAUACUAUAUAACUGGGACUACCACCAUACAUUGACACACUGAAGUAUAUGCCCAGAUAUUUUAAACCCUCUCUAAUAUUCGAGGGGUGCAUAUCUACUCACAUUUCGUAAGAGAGAGACUGUCUCCACUCAAUUAAUUGAUAAUUGAGGAAGAACUGAAACUAACCUCCAUAAUGCACUUAUGGAGGCUCGAACCCUUGCACUCAACAUUGUAAGUGCAAGGUUUCUCCCAUUGAACCAAAGGCCCAUUGGUUAAUAUUAUUAUUAUCUAUGCAUAGCAUGCUAUAAACAAUUCAUAUUACUAGGGCCUUUGUUUUCUGUACACAACAUAUGGACAGCGGAACAAAUCCCUGAGCUAAAAUCAUCAUAUUCCAAAAUAUUCUAUUAAAUCAACACCACAAAACGCGAACGCUAAACAGAAUUGGAGCAAUUUACCAAAGCUAUUUGUCACGCAAAGCACUAGUACCUCAGAACCCAAUUUGCAAAAAAGCACCAAAAAUGAAAAAUAACAAAUGCCCAGAUGAAAAAUCAGGAAAAAAAAAAUGCUCAAAUCCAAAUUACAACCCCAUAAGCUGAGUCGUUCUCUUCGAACUGAAUUAAAAAAAAAUUAAAAAAAUUAAAAUGGGGAGAUUGACCUCAAACUUUGGAAACAGAAGCGACAGCGAUCUGUUUCUUGUCUGGAGUGUCCAUUUCUAUAAUCUACUUUCUCCGUUUUCAGUCGCUCUGCCGCAGAGCUUCUUCCCUCUGAAGCCGAAGCUCACACACACUUGCAAAACGAAAGCAUUUUUUAUUGAUUGAGAGGCGGGAAGGCGGGAAAAUGAGAGAAAUUUGCAUUUGUUUUCUCUUGGUUUGGUCAUACCUGUGCGGGCCCCAGCUUGACAAGCGGUAUUAUUACUAUUUGUAUAAUUUACAUGACGCGUGUCACGCAAUGACGAUAAAAAAAAAAUAUAUAUUGUUAAUUUUUCACUUAACAUUGAAAUAUCAUAUAAUUUUUCCAAUUUUAUGGUUAUUUUCUCGCCCUUAUGCCACAUUCUUUUGAUCAAACAAUACAGUAAAACUUUUCUAUAAUCAUAAUAUUAGAGCCAAAUUAGCUUUAUUUAUGUAAAGAGGCUAUAGCUUAAUGAAGUUAAAAUUAUAAAAAAAUAUUAUUUUGACUCAAUUAUCUUUAGUGCAAGUGAUAUAAAGUAUAAAUAUAUGGUAAUUAAUUAAUGAACUAUGUCAAAUACAAUAUACUGACAAUGAUAAAAAAGAUAGACAUAAUUUCAAGAAACUAAUACAUAUAUUUAUGCAGUGUUGGGAUUAUACAAAAUUAUCUUAAAAAUGUAAAGAGUAAAGUAUUAUUCUGAUUAUUUAAAAAAUUUAUUUUAUCUUAAUCUUUAAUGCAACAUAGCUUUUAUUUUUUUCUUAGCAACAAAGCAUUGUUCCAAAUAAUUAUUAUUGGAUUCAAAUCAUGUCCUAGGCAUUUUUUCUUCUAGUCGUCUUAAACUUUUAAUGAUUUAUUGGCAUGUGUCAAUCAUUAAUGAAAUUAAAUAACUAAGACUUUGUUUUAAUUAACGUUUACAUAAAUAGACAUCAAAACUCACGUGUGAUUCUUAUCAAUUUUUUUCCUGCAAAUUCUUUUCCUCUCAACUAUUCAUAUUUUGACAUUAAUUUCCAACAAAUUAUUUUUAAAAAAAAGGAGCGUAAAAUGGAGAAAAGUGAUUCACAACAAGGUUUGCAUCUUAAUUUCAAAAUUUUCCUUUCUUUGCUAUUUUUGUGGGUUCUACAAUUGUUGUUUUCACUCUCAGCUGCAGUUCAAUGAACUCUAUUAAUAACCAUGAAGCUUAAUGUAUCAAUUCCAAUGCGACAAGUCCUUCUACGCAUGUUACAACACUUUUUGGUCAUUAUAGGUUGCAAAUGCUCCGUAAUGUACUCAUUCAUAUAACGGAAACGCUAUUAUCAAUAAUGAAAGUUGACUAAGUUUGUAAAUUCUAUUUAACGAAAAAGUAACAUAAAUUUAGUUGAACAAGAGGUAAUUAAUAUGUAAUCUAUGAAACUAGGGUGUGACUAAGUUACAUAGUAAUGUAACUUACAUGAACACAAAAAUAAUUAGUUUUUAAACUACAAGUAGCUUUGGAACAGCUCUUAAAUUGAUAUAAGUUCUAUUAUUAUGUAACUUAGCAAGGUCAGAUAUUUUAAUAAUAGCACAUCACUAUUGUUUCAUGUGAAUGAUGCAAUUGGAUUAGCCCAAGACCAUUCAUACCGUCAUCCCCGGGAGAUGCUAUGGCAAUAGCUUACUCUACCGUGCCAAUGUCAUUAGUAUUAAUCUGAUGAACCUAAGACCAGAUCUAAGCUGAUCUAGAUUCCCCAAGAUCGCACACCACACAGUGAUUAAUGAAUCAAGAACAAUAAACCAUCAAAGAAUCGCAAACUUUCGGGUUACAUGUAAUAAAUGUUUUAAUUAUUAGAUGAUUCAUAAUGUUAGACCAUUUUUUGUAUGUUUUGUAAUCUACGUUUGAUAAUUUAAUUAGCUGAUAAACACUUGAAUAAUAUUAUUUCAUUAACUAUGUCAUUGAUCCCCAGGAAAAAAAAAAAAAAAAAAACCCCCAAUUUAGGAUGUUAUACAUUACUUUUCCAUUACUUCCCAUUUUAGAUUAAUAUCUAUCACAUAUAUUCUUAGUAACUUGUCACCCUUCUAUUUCUGAGAUUGUCCUUACAAUAAGGAUGCCGGCCCCAAUGUUAAAAACUGCUAUCUCUAGGUGUAAAUUCCUUAUAAAAUUCUUUUUUAAUUGAAAUUACUUAAAUAAUUGAAGAUAAAUUAAUUUUUUAUUUCAUUCAAAUAAAAAAAAUCAAUUAAACACUUAAAUAAGCUAUCCUUUUAAUUUUUUUUUACACCCCUCCAGUUUCAUAAUUUAUAUUUAUAAUUUAAAUUUUAAAGGAAAAUAUUUUUUUGAAAAAUUUUAAGAAUUAAGAAUUAUGGGGAUAAAAAUUAUGUAAUAAGAACAAAAUAAUUUAAAAUUUUAAAAUUUGCAUGUAUUAUAAACAAAAACUUGAAAGAAAUACUCUUUUCAGGGUGAGAUUUAAUCAGAAAAAGAUUAAUUUUCAUUUAUGGAUCAGUAUUUUAUAAAUUAAACAGAGGUAUUUUAAGAAAUAGAAUUCAAAAGGCAUGGGAACAAGGGCAUUGGGUUUCCUUUUGUUUUGUAUGGAUUGGGAAAAAUACACGGACAGACAAAGGGAACAGUCAUUAUAAUGCUGCGGAGCUUGUCGGAGAUUCCCUGCCCAUUUGUAGCUUAGACUCCUGGGGUUUUGUUCAUGUCUUUUCUGUAUCCCACUUUCUCAUGCAGCAGAUGUACAUAUGAUGAGAUGAAAACAACAGCAAAAAUUGCUGUCUCAUAAGAGAAAUAGUCAUACAUAGUUGGUUAGGCCUCCUGUCCAUUAACAUAAUAAUGAAUUUUAUGAAAAUUGAUUAUCUCAUUGGAAUUACAUAGAUAUUGGAAAACAUUACUCCAGCCCCACCAUCCCAACCAUUUACUUAGUUCAUCAGUAAAAGCUGGAUUUUCCAUUUGUUCUUGAGAUUCAAAUUAAGGCAACAAGUUGCUCAUUCUAUAUUAUCUAUGUAAUCCUGUAAAAGUGAAGGGCGUUUAGAUGUGGAAAAACCUUACUCCUGCCGCAACACCUCAAACAGAUUGUGAUCAGACAAGACUUAGUUCAUCAUUAGUAGUAGUUGGAGCUUCCAUUUGUUCUAGAGAUUUAAAGGCAGCAAGCUGCUUCCUCAGUGCUACUAAUUCUUCCCCGGCAUUGCAUAUGUAGCCUGAGGCUUGUCUACCAGACAAAGUUGCUCCUUCCAUACUAUCUAUGUAAUCCAGUGAGAGUGAAACCAUUUAGAAGACGUAUCUCUUUCUUUCCAAUAUUUAGAAUGAAACAAUUAUAUACAGUUACCUGUUUUGUAUAUGAGCCGACGAGGAAGAAGUUCUUCACUGGUGUCUUUUGAUCGUGUCUGAAGGAGUCUUUACCAGGUCCCUCACCGCACAAAGAUUGCCCGAUUUUGACAAAAGAUGACCAAAUAACUUCUAAACCUUGGGAUGAUGGAAAUAGAGCUAAAACCUAAUAAAAGGAACCGUGAAUGGAUAGUAUGGACUCAUGUAUAUUAUCCAGAAAGUUGCAUGACCUUUUGUGGUACUCAGGUCACUAAAAAAUGUGAGAUAAACAUCUAGGAUAAGAAAAGCAAAAAAGCAUAACCUAAUACGUAUUAUAUGAAUUGAAGGUGUCACUGAACACUACCAACCUGCUUUGCCACUCUCCUUAUGAUUUCAUCAUUUGGUAAGGGCAUAUAAGGAUCUCCAGGUGUCAAAAUGAAUCUGAAAUAUAAUAUGGCUAUAGUAAGCAACACAGAAUACAAAGACACUUAGCAAAAGGAAGCCAAUCAGAUUCCAUGCACAAAAAAUAACUAAUAAUGACGAGGAUAAGAAAUUUUUCUUACUGGAGCAAUGAACCUUGCCCUUCUCUGUAGUAGUCUUCUGGUGAAGUGAGUGCUAGAUCUGCAAAGCAAGAUAAAUCUGCAUCUGGAGUAUAUGAAAGGUUAUCUAACCCCACAGCUUGCCUCAAUUGUCUACAUGUUCAAAACAAGGAUCUGUUAAAAAAUGGAAAUUUCUUCAAUGCAUUAGUAAAGGGAAGUGAAGUGAAAGCUGAUUUCUUAGGCCUUCACAGAGCAUCAUGUGUUUGAAUUCCGGUAACCUCACAAAAGAUUAGAGCAUCACCUUGACCGUUCUAUGUCUUGCAACUCAGUAACCCAACCAUUGUAUCUAAGCUGCACUGUGACAACAGGAACUCCAACUAGCUCAUAAAUAUUGUUGAAAAAUUUCAUUUCCCUCCACGAUGAUGGAAGCAGUCUUUUAAUUCCAGGGACAUCACAUGCGGCCAUUAAAUAAGAAGUUGAAUAAAGAAAAAUCGUUCAACUAAAUGAUUCAGGAGUUAAAAAAAAAAAUGUAGAAGUAGAAAUAAAUAACGAGGAUUUAACCAUGAACCUGCAACAUAUGCAUCAGCUUGCACAACCUUCUUGUCAGUGGCCUGAAAUAGAAUGAGAAAUUGAAAGACAGUAAGCAUUAAAGAAUAAACUCAAAGAAGCUGCUUCUAACAGAUGAUAUAAACAAUAAAUUUACAAAUGUCAGAUCAUUGCAUUAGCUCUAUGCCUCCAUCAGAGGGAAUAUUAAUAGAUGCAUAAAAAAAUAAUUAGAGCCACAUGUGAAACAAUUUACCUUAGACGUAGCAGAUUUAUCAUAAAGUAUCUCUCUGCAUCCCCACCUAAGAUGGAACCUGUUCUCACAAGAACAGAUCCCAAGGUUGGGAAAAUCAGUUCAUCAUAGGAGAAAACAAAGAAGAUUAACAAAUCACUACAAUGGUGUGAACCCGUAAAUACAAACGUACCUGCCCCCUUUAUCUGUGAUAUAUUUUCUUAUGGGCCCACUCAAAUAAACAUCCGGAGAACCCUUGAGCAUCAGCAAUAGGGAAGCCUCAGUCUUAGUCGCAAACAGUGCAAAUAUAGUAAGCAUACAACGAGCACUGAUGUUAUCACAAUCAAUAAACCCAAGGGCAUACGAAACAGGAUCCCACAUUCUUUGGAACCCUUGGACAAAAACCAAUCAGAGAAGCUUAUCUGUAAGAAGAAAUGAAGUUUUAGGUAAAAUAACAAUCUGUAGGAACAGGGAUUGAAAUUCAACAAACAAGAAAAUAUGAUGUCAUUCUUACACUAUCCAAAUCUCAUAUGUCCUUCAAGGCUCCAUCAGGAUCAACAAGUGCCUUUACAACAGCACUCAGAGCAAGAGCAAGAGCAAGAGCAUUUCUUGCUUUAUCAUAAGUCUGCACUUGAGCAAUUUACGAGGCAAAGUACAUCAAAAGAGAAUCCAAAGGAGGCAAGAAGCUUCAACAUGAAAAAAGGAGUGCUGCCUCAUCAUACUGCUUUGCAAUCACAGUGCAAAAGAUAACAUCAACAAAAUCAAAAUCUAGCAUAAAUCCAUAUGCACUACCUUAAGCUGAUUUGUAGACAAAAGACCCGUUUGGGGCAGCUGCGUGGCAAACGGGUCUUUUGUCUACAAAUCAGCUUAAGGUAGUGCAUACGGGUCCAAAAAUGCGUGAAUCCCAUGUAACGGAGCUCCAAUCAGAAACCCGAAAUCAAGUUCUGGAGUUGAAAAUCAAAAUCAUGAACCAAAUCAGAGUUAUUAUUGAAUUAGACAAUCCAUAAACCAAUAGAAGGUAAAAAAAAAGGAAUAAAAAUUCUUCUAAAUUCUUUCACCAUCAACAAAAUCAGUAAAACACAUACUGAUUCAAAAUGACAUAAAGUUUGUGAAUUGAAAUAAUGCCAACUCCUAAGAAAAAUUAUGACUGCUGAUAUUUUUUCUGAAAUGCUGAUAAAAGCUUCUGCUAUUUACUUUGAAAAAAUAGAGGUUAGAAGCCAAUUUACUUGAAAUUUUGAGUUUAGGCAAGAGGAUGAAUGGCAAAAGUGAAACAUUUUAGGGAAAAAUGUACUUCAGAGGCCAAUGAAAGCAUUCAGAAGAUUGAAAUCUAAAUAAGCAAAACCCCGUGGCCUUGAUCCAACAAAUCCACUGCUGUUGACAUGCCUGCAAGCCCAGCUCCAAUAAUAGCCACUUUCAGCUUUGGUCCUCUAUAAUGUUCCGGUUCUGGUAGAAACAAACCCUUGGGAGCUGCCAAGUAUACCAUCCAAUUAUCCACAGCGAUAAUGGAAAUAUAUAUGUGUUUAAAGGUACUAAAUUCCUAAACAUGAAAUGUAUCCAAAGAGAGACACAAAGCAGAAUUGUGCAAGCAUUUCAAUUCCCAAUAAAUUUUAAGAAUACAAAAUACUCGGUCUGUUCCUCAAUUCCUUUAAUAAAAUUUCCACUAGAGGCUACGGAAGCCACUCAAUAACACUCCAAAGCCAGAUUUUAAAAGUUAUCUUUAACACAAAUUCAAUUCAAAAUUGUUCAAGUGCACCGCCACUUCUCCAUCAAUUCCCUCAAAAAUUCAUAAUUGCCAAACACUACAAACCAAAAAGAGCUUCCAGCAAUAAACGCAUAAAAAUCCACCAAGCAACAUAAAACAAAAUACCCAGAAACCAGAAAAGCCAAACGAUCAAUGCUUGGCAAACAAGCCAAUCAAAUAAAACAAAAAGAAGAGAAAUUUACCAUUAACGCUCAUAUCAGAAACAUUAGUGUCCAAAGAAGCCCGUACACAGAAUCUUGGAUCCUUCACUUGAACCCGAGACCAUGUAACGCCAGUAACUGAAGUUGCAGGAAACAGAACUGAAGAACCCAUAUUGCAAAUCCUGAGCUGAAAUCAAAGAAAUUCAAUUGGAACUCAAUUCAGCUCAACCGAGCGGAGCUCUCUUUUGCUUCAAUAACAAAGUGUUUUUCUUUCAUAUCAACAAAGAUUUGUCAACAUCAACAAAAUUUAACUAAGAAACUAAAAUAAUGCAGUAUCUUUGAGUUUAAGAAUCUAACAAGAUGUUAAGGAAGAGAGUUUUGUCAGGGAACUGUUUCGGAGAGGUUGGCCAAGUGCAUUUUUGUUUUUUUCUUGUUUUGCCCUUUUCAUUAAUGCACAACAUUAGUCCACGUGAAGAGCACAAAAUGCUGGUGGCUUUGUCACUAACGAUAAUGGAUGGAGUGUCCAAAGCAACCAACUAAAUUUUAAAGAGAGGGAAUGAUAAGUAAUAUCUUAAUGGGGUGAUUAAUUAAUUUAUUAUCAAGCAAUUGUAUUUAUUUAUUUAAAAGAUAUCCUUAUCUUUGUACAAGGUUUGAGGAAAGACGACGAUGUUGUGUUGUCACAUAUUUUUACGUUUCUCCAUAAUUCACUGCAACAUCAACUGGGCCACCACCUCUUGCCUCUCCUGGUUCCCCUCAAUUUUCGUAUUCAAUGUCCACCGUUGAUUGUACAUUUAUUAAAAUUCUGUGGUUAUUGUUUUUUUGCAUACAUUUAAUUCCACACGGUCUAUGGAUAGAGCAGGUGCAUCGUAGUUGUGGCCUUAACUGUUAUUGGUAACUCAAUAGCUAAUUCUAAUGUUUCAUCAAGCAGUUUAGAGAUAACCUCUCUCGCUGAACUCCCCGGAGUAACGCAAUCCAGUUUUCCAGUGCAAUCAUCAGACAGUUGAACAGCUUCUGAAUUCCCUUUGCUUUUCUUGUUUUCUUUUCCAUGUAAAGGGAGCUCAGGCUUCAAUAUAUCUGGGGAUUGAGUUCUAAUGAUAAAGACAACAUACGGUAGAGGACACAAAUUGUUAUUAAAGAAUGACGCACUUUUCAACUGAGUACAGUAAAGCAAGAAUGGGUAAUUAGUUUUACCUGCAACGUGAAAAUCUAGACUCCCGACGGUAACCGAUCUUUGGUGAAGCAAAUAAAGAAGAAGGCGAAGUAAAAUUCACUGAGUUGAAUGAGCGAUCAUUGUGUAUGGACUUGAUUUGUUCAAUAGGUGAAAGACUGCUGAUAUAAUUAAAGACUGGAGAAUCCUGCACGUUGACAAGCAUCAUUUUUAAUAUAACAUAGAGUCUUAAAAACCUAGUCAGUGGCAAAUGAUCACGACAAGCAAAAUGAAGUACAAACAGCAGAGCUCAACAAAUCAUUAAGAGAAAAUAAGACCAUUAACCAAGCAGAUAAAAGAAACGCAAAAUAACCCAUCUCAAAUCACCGCAUGCACAAUUUAAGGGGGCUGUUACAUGGGUUUAAGCAUGAUUUAACAAGUGCCACCAGUGAAUUCUCAAAGAUUGAAUUUUCAUACACAUGCAAAUUUCCAAGUCCAACGAAUUGUUGUCUUUCUGAAGAUAUUAACGAUGCAUAGCAUACUAUAAACAAAUCAUAUUAUUAGGGCCUUUCUUUGCUGUACACAACAUAUGUACAGAGGAACAAAUCCAUGAGCUGAAAUCAUCAUAUUCCAAAAUAUUCUACCCAAUCAACACUACAAAACCCUAACGCUAAACAGAAUUGGAGCAAUUUACGAAAGCUAUUUGUCACACAAAGCACUAGUACCUCAGAACCCAAUUUGCAAAAAAGCAACAAAAAUGAAAAAUAACAAAUGCCCAGAUGCAAAAUCAGGAAAAAAUGCUCAAAUCCAAACUACAACCCCAUAAGCUGAGAUUGACCUCAAACUUGGAAACAGAAGCGACAGUGAUCUGUUUCUUAUCUGGAGUGUCCAUUUCUAUAAUCUACUUUGUCCGUUUUCAGUCGCUCCGCCACAAAGCCUCUUCACUCCGAAGCUGAAACUCGCCACACACUUGCAAAACGAAAGCAUUUGAUCGAUUGAGAGGCGGGAAGGCGGGAAAACGAGAGAAAUUUGCUUUUGUUUUUUCUUCGUUUGGUCAUACAUGUGCGGGCCCCAGGUUCACAAGCGUUAUUAUUACUAUUUGAAGGACGCGUGUCAUGCAAUGGCGAGACAAAAAGUGGUGCAAAACUCCAAUGGUCACGAAAUGACGAUAAAAUAAAAAUAUAUCGUUAAUUUUUCACUUAACAUUGGAAUAUCAUAUAAUUUUAAGGUCAUUUUCUCGCCGUUACGCCACAUUCUUUUGAUAAAAUAAUAUGGUAAAACUUUUCUAUAAUCAUGAUAUUAGAACCUAAUUAACUUUAUAUCUAUAAAGAGGUUAUAGCUUAAUAAAGCAAAAUUGUAAAAAAUAUUAUUUUGACUUAAUUAUCUAAAGAGUAAAUAUAUGAUAAUUAAUUAAUAAAUAAUGUCAAAUACAAUAUAUGGACUAUAAUAAAAAAGAUAGACAUAAUUUCAUAAAAUUAAUACAUAUGUUUUUGUAGUGUUGCGAUUAUACAAAGUUAUCUUAAAAGUGUAAAGAGUAAAGUAUUAUUCUAAUUAAUUUUAAAAAAUAUUUUAUUAUUAACCUUUAAUGCAACAUAGUAAUUUUUUUUCCCUAGCAACAAAGUAUUGUUCCAAAUAAUUAUUAUUGGAUCUAGAUCCUGCCCUAGGCAUUUUCUCUACUAAUCCUCAUAAACUUUUAGGGUUUGUUUGGCACGUGAGAUUAGAUUGAACAAACUAUUAUGAUUGGACUAAAUUAGAAGGGAUUGGAUUGGAUUGGAUUGGAUUAUAUAUAGUGCUGACUUAUGUUUGGUAUUGUAUUGGAUUAGAUUAUGUUAAAUUAAAUUUACAUAAAAUUAAAUAGUAUUUACAUUAAUAUUUGAAUUUAAAUAUAAACUAUUUAUAGAUAUUUAACAAGAAAUAUUGUAAUUAAUUAAAAAUAGCAAUUGGGUAGUAUAAUAAAGAAAUAUAAAUUAUUUAAAUUAUAGGUUAUUUCAAAGAGUGAUGAAACAACCACAAAUUCUUGUACAAACUGAUCUUAUACAAACUGAUUUGGCAUUAAUUCAUUGAAUGAAAAUAUAAAAUAAUAAAAAUAAAUCAUGUGGGCCCAAGAUAUAUUUAAUUCAACCAAUUUUAUCAUGACACAUCAAUUUGUACAAGAAUUUGUGACUAUAUUAUUACUCUAUUUUAAAUAUGAGAGAUAUCAUUUCAUUGAAUAAAAUAAAUAAAAUUAUUCAAAUAAUAAAUUAAUUAAUAAAAUUUAAGUAAAUCAUGAAUAAAAAAGAAAUUAAUUAAUUAAAAACAGUAAAUAAUUAAAUAAUUUUUAAUUUAUAAAUAAAAUGGUAUAAUAAAUUAUGGAAGAUACUAUAAAUACACAAAUAUUUUUUUCACAUUAUCUAGUUCUAACUAAACACACAUAAAAAUUAGGAUUAGCAAUCCCAUGAAUUUAGGAUUAAAAUUUGAAUUUAGUCCAUUAAUCCAAUACAUGUGAGCAUGUCAAAUAUGGUAUUAAUAUUUUAUCGCAAUAAUAAGUCCAAUUCUACACUUAAUCCUACCUCCCAAAUAUAACCUUAAGGAUCUAUUGACAUGUGUCAUUAAUGAAAUUAAAUGGCUAAGAUUUUGUUUUAAUUAAUUUUUACCUAAAUAGACAUCAAAACUCAUGUGUGACUCUUGUUAAAUUUUUUCUUACAAAUUCUUUUCCUCUUAAUUCUUUAUAUUUUGACAUUGAUUUCCAGCAAAUUAUUAAAAAAAAGGAGCACAAAUUGAAAAAAAGUGAUUGACAACAAGGUUUGCAUCUUAAUUUCAAAAUUUUCCUUUCUUUGAUGUUUUUGUGGGUUCUAUAAUUUUGGGCGGGUUCUUAUGUAAUGUUACAAUUAACAUUAGAUUAUUUUCACGGUAUAAGGCAAAUCUUGAGAAUGAACCCAUUUCAAUAUGGUUUCCACAAUAUCAGGAUCUUCUUCUCUGCUUCUAUACGUUUAAAUAAGCUGUUUGCCCUUCCUGAUUCACUUUCCUCAUGAAACUUCAGGCCUAAUUUAUCUGCUAUUUCUCCUUGAAUCUCUCGUAUGUUUUUAUUAUGGGAUACCUCAUCUCCUUGAAUCUUUCGUAUGUUUUGAUUACGGGAUACCUCAACAAGAACUACCUGAUAAAAGAGUUCACUCUUGACUUUCCUAGCAACUUCUUCCGCCAGCUUCGUCUUUCCGAUUCCGCCCAUUCCAUAAAUCCCAAGCAUGUUGACAUUGGGAUUUUUUAAUGCAUCCAUUAUGUCAUUCAGAAUGGGCGCUCUUGAUACAAAGGCCUCGUAGUCUUUGUUAGGGAUAAGCCGAAUAUCCUCUGCAGCAGUACGGUAGGAAAUUCUAUCAAAUCUUCUAGCGUCCCGGACUUUGACAAUAGCCUCUUUCAACGUCACUGCUUCCAUGCUAAGUCGACGGCGGGUCUUCAAAUUAGGACACAACCCCUUGAAACAACGCUUAUUUGCUGCGGCUUCAACUUCUGUAAAUUUAUCUGCCUCUUCAAUGACUUUGUUGGCCCCUUCAAGCCAACUCCUAACGUUCUCUUCAAUUUCUUCCCCGUUUCGUUCAGCCUCAUCAACCUGGUGCUCUGUACUCACCCUCUCAGACUUCAGAUUGUCAACUUCUGCCUUGAGAUUCUGUAAGUUGGUAGUGUACUUACUCUCACGCAAAUAGCUAAUUUCGCGAUAUGCGGGAGGAACCAAGCACUUCACAACUUCUACAACAAUAGUAAGAAUGAUUUCAGCCAUCUUCAGUCCUUUGUCCUUGUCUCUCUAUCUCUCUUUUUCUGAAUUUUUGAAAAACAAUUGACUACUUAGGAAGCACACUGAGUGAUUGAACACAAGUGACCACAACAAGAUGGAACAAAAUAAAAAGGAAAAAAAAUACAAAGAGUGGAAGGAGAAUAAAACAGAGACAGCGGCACAGCUGGACACAACUAGAUAGAGAACAGAGCAAAACCAAAUAACAAGACUUAAGAUUACAACAAACAGAGGCCAAGAAUUGUUGAGAUCAGGAGAUGGAAAAUUCAAAAGAGUUGAUGGCAGAUGCUGAAUAACAGAACAACAAUAAACGCAAUAAGCAGAAGCAAAGUGUGUUUGAAUGGAAAGAAAGACUGAUAUUGAAAAUUGAUGUCAAUAGCGAAGGAAUAAUUGAACUUUCGCUGAAUUAUUGUUUGUGGCCUUCUUUUACUUUUUAUUUGUGGGUCAUGUCUUUUGGAACUAAUCAUCUUAGGUUAUGCCUUAUAGCUUUAAGGCCGGUAAACCGGUGUCCGUUGGAUUAGCAUAUAGAAAUCCAACGGUGGAUAUAUAUACUUGGAGAAUAAAAUUCAAGAGCUAAGGGAGUGCUGGGCUGCAGUUUCUUAAGGAGAUUUAUAUAUCCUCCUCAAAAAUAAAUGUUUUAAGGUAGAUAUUUAGACUAUUUCAUCAUAAAAUAAAUGUAAUUAAUUUUCAAUAAAUAUCUUAUAUAAAUAUUUAUUUAUUUUUUUAAUUACUAAUGACCUUUGAAUAUACAUAUAUAUACAUAUCACUUAUGUAUAUACAUAUCACUAAUUCAAAAAAUAAAUUGUGAUUAUUUGUUCAUGUAUGCGAUUACUUGUGAUGGGAAAUAAAAUAGAUAUGGUAUAUUUUGAAGUUAAAUUAAAAAAAAAAAAACAGAGCUUUUACCAUUACUUGCCUUAUCAUCUUUUAAAUUAGAGUUAUUAUUCUUUUAUUUUUCAAGUUGCCAACUCAUCCGCAUUCUCUUUUAUUGAAUUUGAAGAUCAAUGAUUAUAAAUGUGUGUAAAAAUUUUAAGUCAAAACUUUAAAUUAAAAUAAUCUUUAAGUUAUUGAGAAAUAAUAACUUAGUAUAACAAAUAUUAUAUCCUAUACUUUAUUGCUACAAAAUUACGAAACCUUAUAUUAUAUUAUGUUUCCAUAUUUCUCCUUUAUAGUGAAGACUCAUACUUCUUCUCUAUUAAAUGCUAAAGUAUUGGCUUAAAUUUUUUAACCAGCAUAGUAGACCCUUAAGCUAUAUAUACUAUAAUGUCCCUCUUCUCUCAUAGAUUAAACCAAUCUGAUCUCGGAGUGAGUUGAUACCAUGACUUUGCAUAAUUCGUGAUCAAAGGAGCAUCAUUAUUAACUAAUAUAGGCUCCAUCAAUAGGCAUGAUAAUAAUUUUUUUUAUAUACAAACACUGUUUUUCAAAAUAUUAUAUCUUAAGACUUAACUAAAUAUUUUGUAACUAUGUAGAUAUAGUUUGUUUGAUCUCUUUUAAAUAGUGGAGAUUACAAACAAACAUAUGCAAAUUAGUAGUGAUGUUGAGUUUAGAAGAUUGAAGUUAAGAAAAUUAAGGGUUUCUUGAUCUAGAGAAAUUUCAAAUGAGUGAAGUGUCCUUGAAAUCGGAAGACGAAAAUAAGGAAAGGGUAAGGGUGUAUUUUCAAAGUGAUUCUAUUACGAGAUUUUGAAGUAGGGGUGGGCAAGUCGGGUUUUGGUUCGGGUUGUUCAAGUUUCGGUUUGGGUUUCAACCCAAUCGGGUUUGGGAAUUGAAUCCAAUCGGGUUGAAAACGCCAACCCAAACUAAACCGAACCGAAUUUAAUUCAGCUUGGGUUCAUAAUUCGGAUUGGUAAUUCAGGUUAAAAUUUCGGUUCGGGUUAAUUUGGGUUAGAAUAAUUCCAUCUAAAAUUUUGGGUUAGUUUGGUUUAAAACAAAUUGAAACAAUUUAAUCCAAAAAUUAUACCAACAACCACUUAAAAUCCAAAAAUCUCAAUUCCAAACAUCCUUAACAACAAAUAUCAACUACAAACUAUCCUUGAUAACAUUUCAACAAUAACAAUAACAAUAAUAACAACAACAACAAUAAUAAUAAUAAUAACAACAACUAUGAAUCAGCAAUUCAGCAUAUUGCCAUAUUCUAAAUUUAAAAAAACACACAAAUUAUGUAAUUAAUUAAUUAACAAUCUCCAAUUUAAUUUAUAAUAACAACAAAAAUCCUCUCCAAUUUAAUUAAUAACAAUCUCGAAUUGUUCAAUUAUCAGUCAACAACAACAAACCCACUCCAAAUAAUUGAACAAUUGUUAAUUAAUUAAUUAAAAAUAUCUAAUUUAAUUAAUAACAACACCCAAGAGCAAGUCAGCAAUAAACCCACUCAAAAAUCCAAAUAUCAGUAUAAAUUAAGUGUCAAACCUUGAUCGGUGGGAAGCUACAGCGUCGGCAAAUUGUGACCGUGUGGGGCUGAGUAAGACCGUCAACCGAGGGUGUGAGAAGGGAGAAGAGGGAGCAGGGAGGUAACGAUGUGUGUGUGAGUUUAUAUAUAUAUAUAUAUAUAUAAUUUUUAAAACCUAAAACUUAAAAAAAAAAAAAAUUAACCCAAUCCAAACCGCCCACCUCAUAUUACUUCCGUUAAGAGAUGGAUCCCACACUCAUGAGCCUUUGUCGUCCCAGUCAACUAUAAAAACAAAUCAUUAUUGAGUGUGAACAGACUUAUUGAUCACCCAAUUUUCAAACUUGUCAUCCUUAUUGUAUCUGCAUCCCCUUUUGAAAAAUUUUAAAAAAAGUACAAAUAAUGAAACAAAGUUUUGUUCCUUCAACAGUUGAUAGAGUUACGCGGCUUGGACUUGCAAGUGCUGUCGGCAUUUUCAAACUUGUAAGACCCUUCAACUUGCUUUCCAAGAUAGCUAUAAUUAAUAAUGACAACAGUCUCCCUCAUAGCGACUAGUGAGCAACUGAAAUUAACGGCAUCUUCUCUCACAUUUUUAAAAAAAUUGAAUUAUAUAACCCACCAAAACUAUAAAGAAUUGUUAGUUUUUCUUCAUUAAAAUUAAUAUAUUGCUCCUCAUAUUAAAAAAUCAAAAUUCAGAAUAAGAAUGAUUGGUACUGUUUAUUUACUAAAAUGAAAAUAAAAUAUAUGAAGCCUACAUAUUUUUGAAAUUAAAAAACAAGAACUUUAUUUUCCUUGGGGAGUGUUGGAAAUCAAGUUCUUGUUAUUUAAACUCUCAAUUGUAUCUCACCGAAAUUUCAUAAUUCUACUUUUGUCUUCAAUUAAAAUAUUAUUAUAGUUAUUAUUCUUAUUUUUGUAGUUGUUGUUGUUUUUUUUUUUUGGUCUUAUCCACGAGGUAUCCUGGGGAGGGCCCCAACUGUGGGAGGCACCUUUAAGCCCGUACCACAACCCAGACUAGAAGUCCCCGCUCGAACCGGGAGGCACAGGUUCUCCCAACAAAGGCGACUUCCCUGCGACUCGAACUGGGGAGCAAACCCAGUCAAGCCACUUAAGGGGACUCCAUUGCCAGUGGAGCCAACACUUUGUUGGUUGUUGUUGUUGAUUAUGAUAAAUGGUCAGGCAAAUGAUUCAUUUACUUAUUUUUUUCCUUUUAAAUUUUUGUUAUUAAGAAGAUUUUUGGAUAUUUAGCGUGAAGGUCUCAACUGAUCGCUAAUUUCACAGCAACUUCCUUUUUUUUUUCCCUCAAUUGUUUUGAAAAAAUAUCAAGACUCAUUCAGCAAAAUAUCCGAGGCCAAAGCGCCAAAAAUGGGACAGCCACAUGCACUUCUAAUUACAAAAUCUAAAGUUAGGGUGUCCAUAACUUACAUUUAAUAUAAUUUAUAAUUAGGUAAAAUUCAUUCAUUGACCCAGUAAUUUUAUUAUCCUAUUACUUAUAUUUUUAUAUUAAAAAAUUAGUAAGUAGGAAAAUUCUUAAAAGAUAAUGAAGAAGGAAAAGAAAAAGAAAAAGUGUAAAUGAACUGUAUUCACAUAAGUUUCAAACAUGUGAUUCAAUCUGAAUUGGCUUUUUUCAAAAGUAAAUACAAAGGAAAAUAAAAAGAAAAAAGCAAUUAAACGAGACUAAAAUCUGUGGCCUGUGUCAUUCAUAUCUUUUGACAUUUCUUUUAUAGCGGUAUAAAGGGUAGAUAUUUUGAAGUGAAAAGCAAAGCCUUUACUAUUACUUGCCUUAUCAUCUUUUAAAUUAGAGUUAUUAUCCUUUUAUUUUUAAGUAGCCAAAUUAGAGUUAUCAUCCUUUUAUUUUUAAGUAGCCAACUCAUCCGCAUUAUCUAUUAUUGAAUCUAAAGAUAAAUGAUUAUAAAUUUCUCUGAAGAUUUUAAGUCCAAACUAUAAAUCAAAAUAAUCUUAUUGAUUAAGUUAUUGUAUAAUAAUAACCUUAGCAUGACAAAUAUUAAUUCUUCUCUAGUAAAUGCUAAAGUAUUGGCUUAAGUUUUUUAACCAGCACAGUAAACCCUUAAAGCUAUAUAUGCUAUAAUGUCCCUCUUCCCUUACAAAUUAAACCAAUUUGAAUUUAGAGUGAGUGAGUACCAUGAGUUUGCAUCAUUACUAACUAAUACAGGCUCGAUCGAAUUCAUCAUACGAAGUAUAUUAUCGGCUGUAGGUAUGGAAAUAAAUUUUGUAUCCACAAACACUAUUUUUCAAAAUAUUUAAGACUUAACUUAUCAUUUUUUAACCAUAUAUGCAUAGGUUGUUUGACCUAUUUUAAAUAAUGGAGAUUACAACAAAUGAACAUAUGUGGAUUAGUAGUGUUGUUGAGUUCAGAAGAUUGAAGUUAAGAAAAAGGUUUCUUGAUCCAGAGAAAAUUCAAAAGAGCGAAGUGUCUUCGGGAUCAGAAAACGAAAUAAGGAAAGGGUAAGGUUAUACUUUCAAAAUGAAUUUGUUGAGAGAUCUUUGAAGAUUAUUUUCAUUAACAAUUAGAUCCCACACUUGAGUCUUUAUCGUCUCAGUCAGUCAGUUAUAAAGACAAAUUAAUUUUGAGUAUGAAAGGACUUUCAAACUUGUGACCCAGUUAUAAAGACAAAUUAAUUUUGAGUAUGAAAGGACUUUCAAACUUGUGACCCUUCAAGCUUUCUAUGACAGCUAUAAUGAAUAAUUACAACAGUGCUACCUAAUAGUGAGCAACUUGUUUGAUGAAAUUAACAACUUCUUUUCUCUCAUGUAUUUUUAAAAAAAUUGAAUUAUCAAAGCUUUUAUUUCAAAAUUAGUGCUAUAGUUCAUUAAUUUUUCAAAUUUUCCUUUUUUUUUCCACACAACAGAUUGAUUUGCCCUCCAAAAACUGUAUUAGAUUGUUUAAUAUUGUAACUUCAAAAAACUUAUAAUAAAUUUUUAAAGAGAUAAAUAGGGAAUGUCAGUCUCCCAUCUACUCAAAAUUAAUAUAUAUCAUUAACUCCUGAUUAUUUUUAUAACAACUAAUAACUUUCUGGGCAGCAUAAUUUUACAGUAUCAUCCUUGUUUGUAAGUAUAUUUUUUUUCACAUUUAUUAUAAAUUAAUUAAAUCAUAUCAAUGAAAAUUGAAAUAGAAAUUGAAGUACUAAAAAAAAUGUUUUGGUGUGAAUAAAAAAUUGAAAAUAAAAAUAUUUUUAUUAUAUUUUUUUAUUUUUAAAUGGUUUUCUUAUAAUAAAUAUAUAUUUUAUAUUCUCAAAUUGAAUUAUUGAGUAAAUGACUCAUUUACUCACUUUUUCUUUUAAUUUUGUUAUUAGGAGGAUUUUUAGAUAUAAUGAAAAUUGUAAGGUAGUAAGUAAUAUAAAAUAAUUUUAAUAGAGAAAAAUAAAAAAUCUGUUAUUUUAAAAUAUAAGGAGAAAAAUAAUUAAUUUCAAGAUAUUUUAGAAGAUAUUUCAAAUUUUCAAUAUGCGGUGGACUAUAAACUCGAGUCUUUGUCGUCACAGUCAACUAAAAGGACAAAAUAUUGAGUGCGAAGGGCUCAACUGAUUGCUAAUUUCACAGUAAUUGUGUUUUUUCUUUCUUUUUUUAAUUAUUGGGAAAUAAUAACUUAGUAUAACAAAUAUUAGAUCCUAUACUUUAAUGCUGCAAAAUUAUGAAACCUUAUAUUAUAUUAUGUUUCCAUAUUUCUCCUUUAUAGUGAAGACUCACACACUUCUUCUGUAGUAAAUGCUAAAGUAUUGGCCUAAACUUUUUAACCAGCACAAUAAACCCUUAAGUUAUAUAUGCUAUAAUGUACCUCUUCCCUCACAGAUUAAACCAAUCUGAUCUCAGAGUGAGUUUGCAUCGAAGGAGUAUCCUUACUAACUAAUAUAGGCUCGAUCAAUAGGGAUGACAAUAAUUUUUUUAUCUACGAACAUUAUUUUUUCAAAAUAUUAUAUCUUUAGACUUAACUAAAUAUUUUUUUAAUCAUAUAUGUAUAGUUUGUUUGAUCUCUUUUAAAUAGUGGAGAUCACAACAAAGCAAAUGCUAAUUAGUAGUGAUGUUGAGUUCAGAAGAUUGAAGUAAAGAAAACUAAGGGUUUCUUGAUCCAGAGAAAUUUCAAAAGAGUGAAGCGAAAAGUGAAUUUAUUGAGAGAUCUUUGAAGAUUUACUUCCGUUAAGAGUUGGAUGUCACACUUUUUGAGCCUUUGUCGUCCCAAUCAUUCAAUUAUAGGAUCCCUAAGCAUAUAACUUACAAUUCUUUCAUAUAAAUAAUGAGUAGUGUGAACCCAUACAACUUACAACCUUCUCACAUAAAUAAUGAGUAGGUCUAAACUACUCACUAUUCAUAUAAAAAAAUUAUAAAUUAUAUACAUGUAACUUAACAUUAUUCUCCUCUAUAAAGACAUAUUCUUAUUGAGUGUGAAUAGACAUAUUGAUCACUAAAUUUUCAAACUUGUGAUCCUCAUUAAAUGUGAUUCCCCUUUGAAAAAGAAAAAAAAGUGCAAAUAAUGAAACAAAAAUCUGUUCCUUAACAGCAAGUGGUGUCGGCGUUUUCAGACUUGUAACAAGGGAAUGAGAUCCUCUCCUGAACCCGGGUCUCAUUCCCUGUGAAACAAAAAAAGUGCAAAUAAUGAAACAAAAUUCUGUUCCUUAGCAGCAAGUGGCGUCGGCAUUUUCAGACUUGUAAAAGGGAAUGAGGUCCUUUCCUGAACCCGGAUCUCAUUCCCUGUGAAACAAAAAAAGUGCAAAUAAUGGAACAAAAUUUUGUUCCUUAACAGCAAGUGGUGUCGGCAUUUUCAGACUUGUAACAAGGGAAUGAGAUCCUCUCCUGAACCCGGAUCUCAUUCCCUGUGACAAGACCCUUGUCACCCUUCAACUCGCUUUCCAAGAUAGCUAUAUUAAUCGUGACAACAUUACUCUCAGUGAGCAAAAGUUAUCAGCAUCUUCUCCCCAUUUUUUAAAAAAUUGUAUUAUAUAACCCACCAAAACUAUAAAGAGUCUUUUCUUAUUAAAAUUAAUAAAUUACUCUUUAUAUUAAAAAAUUAAAAUUUAAAAUGAAAAUGAUCUGAUGUUUAUUUAUUAAAAUAUAAAUAAAAUAUAUGAAGUUCAUAUUUUUUAAAUUAAAAAAUAAGAACCUAAUUUCAUUCCUUAAAUUCCCAAAUUUACCUCACAAAAAUUCCAUAAACUUACUUUUGUCCUUAAUUAAAAUAUUAUUAUGUUAUUAUUAUGGUUAUUAUUCUUAUUUUUGUAAUAGUUGUUGUUGUUGUUGAUGAUGAUAAUACAUGAUAAUAAAAUUAAUAAUAAUAAAAAUAAUAACUAUAAUUUUAACAAUAGCAGUAAUAAUCAUUAAUAUUAUUGUUGUUGUUCUUAUUUUUAUUCUUAUUCUUAUUAUUAUUAUUAUUAUUAUUAUUAUUAUUAUUAUUAUUAUAAUAAUAAUAUUAUUAUUAUUAUAAUAAUAAUAAUAAUAUUAUUAUUAUUAAAUAAUAAUAUUAUUAUUAUUAAAUAAUUAUUUUGAAUAAUAAUAAUCACAAUUAUUAUAACAAACGACAAUAAUCAACUAAGGUAAUUUUAAUAACUUGUAACGAUUCAUUUUAUUCAAAGAUAUGUGAUUAUUUGUUAAUGUAUGCAAUUACUUGUGAUGGUAAACAAAGUACAUAUGGUAUAUUUUCAAGUUAAAAAAGAAAAACAAAACAUAGUUUUUACCAUUUCUUGCCUUAUCAUCUUUUAAAUUAGAGUUAUUAUUCUUUUUAUUUUUCAAGUUGCCAACUCAUCUGCAUGCUCUUUUAUUGAAUUUGAAGAUCGAUGAUGAUAAAUUUGUGUGAAAAAAUUAAGUCAAAGUUUUAAAUUAAAAUAAUCUUUAAGUUAUUGGGAAAUAAUAACUUAGUUGUAAUAAAUAUUAUAUCCUAUACUUUAUUGCUACAAAAUUACGAAACCAUAUAUUAUAUUAUGUUUUCAUAUUUCUCCUUUAUAGUGAAGACUCGUACUUCAACUUUUUAACCAGCACAGUAGACCUUUAAGCUAUAAAUGUUAUAAUGUCCCUCUUCGCUCAUAGAUUAAAACAAUAUGUAGCCUUCUCUCAUAUAGAAAAACUUUUUGUAUAAGACAAAUUAUUAUGUUAUAGGAAAAAUUACAGUAGACGUAAGCCAUAUAUGUUAUAAUGCUCAUAAGUUUGAAGUUAAGAAAAUUAAGGAAAGGAUAAGGGUGUAUUUUCAAAGUGAAUUAUUAAGAGAUCUUUAAAGAUUACUUUCGUCAAGAUCUGGGUUCCAUACUCUUGAGCCUUUUUCGUCUCAGUCAACUAACAAGACAAAUUAUGAUUGAGUGUGAACCGUCCGACUUAUGGAUCACUAAAUUUUAUCCUUAUUGAAUCUGCGUUCCCCUUUGCAAAAGUAAAAAAAAAAAAGGUGCAAAUAAUAAAACAGAAUUGUUGGCAUUUUCAGACAUGUAAGACCCUUCAACUUGCUUUCCGAGAUGGAAAAUGCUACUCAGCGAGAAUGCCGAGAGAAACGGCAUACAGUUUCUCUCGGCCCCACUCCACGUGAAGACUUUCUCUUUUCACAUUUUUUACGCGUUUCUCUUUUCUCUCCCCCCACGUGAACACUUUUGCCUUUUGCUCGUUCACGUGAAAGUCAGUUUAGAAUUUUGAUCUUAUUAAUCAUGACAAUUGACAACAUUACUCCCACCGAGCAAAAGUUAACAGCAUCUUCUCCCACAUUUUUUUAAAAAAAAUUGUAUUAUAUAACCCACCAAAAGUAUAAAAAGUAUUUUGUUAUUAAAAUUAAUAAAUUACUUUUUAUAUUAAAAAAUUAAAAUUUAAAAUAAGAAUGAUUGAUGAUGUUUAUUUAUUAAAAUAAAAAUAAAUUUUAUGAAGUCUAUAUAUUUUUUAAAUUAAAAAAUAAGAACUUAAUUUCUUAUGAACUGUAUUCACUACUUAGUAUUCUUAAAAGCUAACGGAGAAACCACUCGGCUCAGCCCGAGUGGCUAGGGCUGCUGCCCUCCAAGUUGGAGGGCAGCAGUUCGAACUCCCACAAAAGUAUUGUGGGGGUAUUUUUUUCUUCAAUUAAUUUGAGUGAAGGUAGUCUUCUCUCUUACCCAUGAGUGAGGAGUAGACAUCCCUCGAAUAUUUGUGAGGGUCAAAAUCUGAGCAGAGCUCCAUUAGUAAUUAUGUAAGUUGGUCUCAGUACUAGUCUGAUUUGUAAAUAUCAGUUAUAGUCUCAUGUAUAUGAGUUGUAAUCUGAGCAAUAGUCUCAUGUAAUAAAAAAAAAAAAAAAAAAAAGCUAACGGAGAAGGAAAAGAAAAAAAAAAGUGUAAAUGAACUGUAUUCACCUAAGUUUCAAACAUGCGGUUCAAUCUGAAUUCGCUUUUUUCAAAAGUAAAUACAAAAGAAAAUAUAAAGAAAAAAAUUAAACGAGACAAAAAUCUGUGGCGUGGGUCAUUCAUAUCUUUUGCCAUUUCUUUUGUAGAGGUACAUAGGGUAGAUAUUUUGAAGUGAAAAGCAGAGCCUUUACUGUUGCUUGCCUUAUCAUCUUUUAAAAUUAAAGUUAUUAUUCUUUUAUUUUUAAGUAGCCAACGGAUGGUAGCCAACUCAUCCGUGUUCUGUAUUAUUGAAUUUAAAGAUCAAUGAUUUAUGUUAAUAAAUAUUUUGUUAACUAGCAAAGUUUUUAUUUCAAAAUUACUCCUAUAAUUCAUUAAUUUUUCAAUUUUUCCUUUUUCUAUUCACACAACAGAUUGAUUUGUCCUCCAAAAAAAUGUAUUAGGUCGUUUAAUAUUGUAACAUCAAGAAACUUAUAAUAAAUUUUUAAAGAGAUAAAUAGAGAAUGUCAGUCUCGCAUCUACUCAAAAUUAAUAAAUAUACCACUAACUUCUUAUUAUUUUUAUAAUAACUAAUAACUUUUUUAGCAGUAUAAUUUUAUAAUAUUAUCAUUGUUUGUAAGUACAUUUUUUAUUUAUAUUUAUUAUAAAUUAAUUAAAUCAUAUCAAUAAAAAUUAAAAUAACACAAUAAGUUUUGGAGUGAAUAAAAGAUUGAAAAUAAAAAUAUUUUUCUUAUAUUUUUUGUUAUUUUUAAAUGUUUUUCAUAUAAUAAAUGUACAUUUUAUAUUCUUAAGAUGAAUUUUGAGUAAAUGACUCAUUUACUCAUUUUUUUCUUUAAAUUUUUGUUACUAGGAGGAUUUUUAGAUAUAAUGAAAAUUGUAAAGUAGUAAGUAAUAUAUAAUAAUUUUAAUAGAGAAAAAUAAAAAAUCUCUUAUUUUAAAAUAUAAGGAGAAAAAUAAUUAAUUUUAAGAAAUUUUAGAAAAUAUUUUAAUAUGCUGUGGAUCACACCCUCGAAUCUUUGUCGUCUCAGUCAACUAAAAGGACAAAAUAUUGAGCGUGAAGGCUCAACUGAUUGUUAAUUUCACAGCAAUUACUUUUUUUAUUCUUUCUUUGUUUUUCCUAAUUAUUUUGAAAUAGUAGGUAGCAAUUGCUUACAUCAAAAUAUCUAGACUCACUCGGCAAAGUAUCCGACGCCAAAAUGUCAAAAGGUGGGACACCCAUGCAUCUAAUUACAAAGUCUAAAGUUAAUGAAAAGAGAAAAAGAAAAAGUAUAAAUGAACGGUAUUCACCUCACUUUCAAAUUUAACUGUUGGGUCUUCCUACUAUGCACCUGGUGUAUGCAUGAUUCCUUGUGACAUGACAUACAGCCAAUUAAAUUCUGACAUACUUGCAAUAAGGUCUGUUAAAGUGACCGGUUAUUCCAGUUGAAUUCACAAGAUCUCUUGUUUGCGUGUUUAUGUUCCAAGUUGUGUACUCUGUGUUGCGAGUUCUCUAAUUAGUCUGAAAUUAUCGCAACUGUUAGCUCAAUAAUGUUACAGGUUUUAUAAUAUAUGUCACUGGUAUGAUCGCUGUCACAAAUUUAGAACGAAAAGUUUCUAAUAAAAUAAGUUAUUUAAUUAAUUAAAUAAGAAUAAAAUGAAUUUAAUUUUGAAUUAUUUUGACCAAAAUUUAAGUUUUUUUUAAAUUUGUUUAAAAAAAUGCGUUGUAAUUGUCUUGUUUUAAUUGGAAAAUCAAUGAAAAAAUUAUGUAACAGACAAAAAAAAAAAAAGCAAAACGGCUUGUUUUGGAUGGUGGCCAUAGAUUCCAAUAUUUCCUUCACGAAAACUACAAAAAAUUAUCAAAGGCAUCAAUUUCUACACUCUCACCGAGCAAUACUCUUAACCCAGAAGGAAGUGUAUAAACCAACCCCAAUCAGUCCAUCAAUGUCGUCAACCUCAUACAUCAUAAAAAAAAUCUGUAUCCAUUAAACCGCCAUUUAAACCGUCUUUAUUGAGCCAUUAGACUAUUCGUGUCAUCUUAGCAUCUCGUUGUAAUAUUUUGCCGUUUAAAUCUAGUUAUCAAUGGGAGAAAAUGGAGACCAAUCUGCAAGUCUUUAAAAUAGAUAGGAACUUUAAUUGGGCACUAUGUUCACGGUGGUGGACCCAGCAGUAUUAAUCUUUAGGCAGAGCUAUUUGUAUUUUAAAAAUUAUUUUACACACUCUAAUUUUAAUUAGAAUAUAUAUUACAAAAAUACUUAUCAUAUAAGUUACUAGACAAUAUAUUAUAAGUCAACAUUAUAUAAUUACUUUGAACACUUAUAUAGCACAAUCUUUAUUUAAUUUUUUAUUCUCAUGACUUAAAUAUAAAAAAUUUUAUUUCCAACAGAUGAAUAAUAAAGAAAUUAACUUUGAGAAAAAUUUAAAUACAAAAUAUGUGUAAUACUUUUAAAAAAUAAAAUAAAACAAAAGUAUUGCACAAUAUAUAUUUUUUUUUGGGGGGCUUUGGCCAUUCUUCUUCUUCUCCUUCUCUCUCUCUCUCUCUCUCUUUGGAUAGUAUUUAUGGAACAUUUUCUAUUGUUAUGUUUAAAGCUGUUAAAAUGAGUCAUCAGGUCGUGUUUGUGUCGUGUCAAAUUUAAGUCGACCCAUUUAAUAAUCGUGUCAAAAUAUUGAGACCCAAACCCAACACAAAAAAAUAAUCGGGUUACUCAAUAACCUGCUUAAUAUCUAUAUAUUAAACAAAAAUUACAUCAAAUAUUUACACAUUAUCAUACAUACAUAUGCGCAUACAUACAUACAUCCAUACAUACAUACAUAAUUUAUCGAUAUUAUAAAAUAUAUAUAUGUACUAAAAUAUUACACACACUAUUGAGGUUUUAAUUAUAUAUAUGUAAAUAAUAUUAUAUAUCAAUAUUAUAAAAUAUAGAUGUCUACGAAUAUUUUAUACAUUUAUACUAUUAAAGUUCUAAAUGUAUUUAAAAUUUUAUAAAUAAAAUAUUGCGUCUAUAUUCAUCCUUUUAAAGAAUUAAAAAAAGAAAAUAAUCUCUAAUAUUUGAGUUUUGAUGACAAGAAUUUACAAAUUAUUUUAAAAUAAAAAAUAUAAUCAGGUCAUUGAUCGGGUAAAUAGGUCAAGAAUUUUAAUCCUAACCCGAUACGAAAAAAAAUCGUGUUGACCUAAACCCGGCCCAUUUAAUAAUCGUAUUAAAUUCGACAACCCAUACCCAUUUAUUAAUGUCGUGUUCGUGUCAGGUAAUCGAAUCGUGUCAAAUUUUGCCAGCUCUAGUUAUGUUCUCGUCGCAAGUUAUUUUGGGUCCAAAUACAAUAUUAAAAAUAAAUUAAAUAAAAAAUUAGUAACUAAAAUUAUGUUAAAUUAUUUUUUAUAACUUAAAUUUUAAUUAUAUUAUUGUGAGUAUAUUACUAAAUCUCUUAAAAAUAGAGUGUUGAAUAAUUUUAUUAGUUUUUUAAAUAAAUAAAGUUACCCAAAUCGUUUUAUUAUCACAUUAUUUUCCAUAAAAAAAGUUUACAAUUACCUCUUUAUUGGACAAUUUUGUUCCUUCUCUUACCUUAUGUUCCCUUACAUUCUCAUUUAUGCAUCACCAAGUUUGCUAUAAUGUACGUGAAGAAUAGUUAAAGAGCUCUUUCGUGUCCUUACCCUUUUUUUUGGGUUUACUUUUGCUGCCUUUUUACGUUUCUCCAUAAUUCACUCCAACAUCACUGACGCAUUUUCUUCUUUCUCACUGCAACAUCAACUGGGCCACCACCUCUUGCCUCUGCCGGUUCCCCUCAAUUUUCGUAUUCAAUGUCCACAGUUGAUUGUACAUUUAUUAAAAUUCUGUGGUUUUGCCUAUAUUUAAUUCCACACGGUCUAUCGAUAGAGCAUGUGCAUCGUAGUUGUGGCCUUAACUAUUAUUGGUAACUCAAUAGCUAAUUCUAAUGUUUCAUCAAGCAGUUUAGAGAUAACCUCUCUCGCUGAACUCCCUGGAGUAAUGCAAUCCAGUUUUCCAGUGCAAUCAUCAGACAGUUGAACAGCUUCUGAAUUCCCUUUGCUUUUCUUGUUUUCUUUUCCAUGUAAAGGGAGCUCAGGCUUCAAUAUAUAUAUCUGGGGAUUGGGUACUAAUGAUAAAGACAACAUACGGUAGAGGACACAAAUUGUUAUCAAAGAAUGAUGCACUUUUCAACUGAGUACAGUAAAGCAAGAAUGGGUAAUUAGUUUUACCUGCUAAGCGAAAAUCUAGACUCCCGAAGGUAACAGAUCUUGGGUGAAGCAAAUAAAGAAGAAGGCGAAGUAAAAUUCACUGAGUUGAAUGAGCGAUCAUUGCGUAUGGACUUGAUUUGUUCAAUGGGUGAAAGACUGCUGAUAUAAUUAAAGACUGGAGAAUCCUGCACGUUGACAAGCAUCAUUUUUAAUCUAACAUAGAGUCUUAAAAACCUUGUCAGUGGCAAAUGAUCACGACAAGCAAACUGAAGUUCAAACAGCAGAGCUCAACAAAUCAUUAAGAGAAAAUAAGACCAUUAACCAAGCAGAUGAAAGAAACGCAAAAUAACCCAUCUCAAAUCACCGCAUGCACAAUUUAAGGGGGUUGUGACAUGGGUUUAAGCAUGAUUUAACAAGUGCCACCAGUGAAUUCUCAGAGAUUGAAUUUUCAUACACAUGCAAAUUUCCAAGUCCAACGAAUUGUUGUCUUUCUGAAGAUAUUAACGAUGCAUAGCAUGCUAUAAACAAAUCAUAUUAUUAGGGCCUUUGUUUGCUGUACACAACAUAUGUACAGAGGAACAAAUCCAUGAGCUGAAAUCAUCAUAUUCCAAAAUAUUCUACCCAAUCAACACCACAAAACCCUAACGCUAAACAGAAUUGGAGCAAUUUACGAAAGCUAUUUGUCACACAAAGCGCUAGUACCUCUGAACCCAAUUUGCAGAUGAAAAAUAACAAAUGCCCAAAUGAAAAAAUCAGGAAAAAAAAAUGCUCAAAUUCAAACUACAACCCCAUAAGCUGAGUCGUUCUCUUCAAACUAAAUUUAACACUGAAUAAAAAAAUUAAAAAAUUAAAAUGGGGAGAUUAACCUCAAACUUGGAAACAGAAGCGACAGUGAUCUGUUUCCUGUCUGGAGUGUCCAUUUCUAUAAUCUACUUUGUCUGUUUUCAGUCGCUCCGCCACAAAGCUUUUUCCCUCUGAAACUGAAACUCACACACACUUGCAAAGCGAAAGCAUUUGAUUGAUUGAGAGGCGGGAAGGCGGGAAAAUGGAAGAAAUUUGCUUUUGUUUUUUCUUGGUUUGGUCAAACACGUGCGGGCCCCAGCUUGACAAGCGGUUCUAUUACUACUGUAUUAUCUACAUGACGCGUGUCACGCGAUCUCGAUAGAAAAGUGGUAAAAAAUUCUAAUGAUUACCCAAUGGCGAUAAAAAUAAAAAUAUAUUGUUAAUUUUUUACUUAACAUUGGAAUAUCAUAUAAUUUUAUGGUUAUUUACUCGCCGUUAUGCCAUAUUCUUAUGAUCAAAUAAUACAGUAAAAUUUUUCUAUAAUCAUAACGUUAGAACCAAAUUAAUUUCACUUCUAUAAAAAAAUUAUAGCUUAAUAAAAGUAUAAUUGUAAAAAUUAUUAUUUUAACUUACUUAUCCUUAGUACAAAUGAUGUAAAGUAAAAUAUAUGAUAAUUAAUUAAUGAAUUAUGUCAAAUACAAUGUACGGACAAUGAUAAAAGAUAAUUCAAGUGUGACUCUUAUCAAAUUCUUUUCCCCUCAACUCUUUAUAUUUUGACGCCGAUUUCCAACAAAUUAUUGAAAACAAAGGCAAAAAAUGGAGAAAAGUGAUUGGCUACAAGGUGUGCAUCUUAAUUUCAAAAUUUUCUUUUUCUUUGUUGUUUCUCUAGGUUCUAUAAUUGUUGUUUUCGUGGUCAAUUGCAAUUCAAUGAACUAAAUUAGUAGUAAAUUGCUAUUACUGGGCAUAUAAUUCUAUUGCUGCAAUUUUACUACUGUUUAGCUUUUUUUUUUUAGUUUAUAAUUGCUGUUUUGUUGUCUUUUUUAGGUUUUCAACUGUAGUUUGCUGUUUUUCUAGGUUCUAUAGUUGCUGCUUCGGGAAAAAUAAGAAUAAAUGUGAUCUUGAAUUAUUUAACUCUUAUGAAACAUCUUUAGCUGUUGCAUUUUUUCACUGUAUUAGUAUUGGCGGGAUGGAUGUUGAAUAGGGAUGGCAAAGUCCAUAUCCGGAUCUAAAUUGAUAUUUCUAUAUUCGGAUCCGCAUCCGAAUCUACACAUUUUUUUUUUUUUCGCGAAUCUGGAUGUGGGUAAUCUUCGUAGGGAUUGCAAGCAGAUAUCAUGGAUAUCUAGGUCCGCAUAAAUUAAAAUUUAAUAAUUUAAAAUAUAAUUUAAAAUUCAAUAACUUACCUAAUAAUAUCAAGUAAAAUCCAAUUAUAAUUUAACAAUCAACAAUUCAAUACCUAAAAUAACAUAUAACAUCAUUAAGUCAUAAAUAAAAAUAUCACAAUAUAAAUCAAAAUAAAAAAAAAACAUAAAUCUAAGUUUAGCACCACCACAAAUUCACGAAUAAAAUUAUAAAAACACCACAAAUCCAUAUAAAAUAAUGUGAAUUCCGAUAUAUUUCUUAAUUUAAUUUUACUUCUAUAUUUUUUAGUAAUCCUAUUAUCUUUUUUCAUUUAACUUAUAUAUUUUUCAUUUAAUUUUAAUUUAACAAAUAAUUUAAUUAAAAAAUAAGAUGGAUCCAGAUCCGGAUUUGGAUCCUCUUGGAUUCUAAAUCUUAGGAUCCGAAUUUAAAUUUUUUUAAUAUGUAUAUCUGAAUUCUAAAUCUUUGCGGAUCUGAACCAGAUCCUGAUAUUUUUACCAUUCCUAAUGUUGAAAGGGCAAUAAUUUGUGGGAAAAUAAUUUGACAAGAGUCAUGCAUGAGUUUGGAUGUUUGUAUAAUGUAAAAUUUAUACUUAAUAUGAUUGAAAUUGAGACUAAAAUAUUUUACCUAAAAUUCACUAGCUAGCUUUGCCUUGAUGGGCCUGUGAUCGCCCAUACAUAUUUCUUCAAAUUUAUUAAUAUUUUUGUGCAUAGCAAUUAGGGAUAUAUGACAACAAAUUCUCAUUUUUAGUGUGUCGAAAGUAUAUUCACAAGUUGUGUGCCCCUUGGAAUGGGCACAGCUCACCGACUUGUAGCCUCUUUCUUCAGUUCACCACUCUAGUUGGACUCGCCAAUGAGAUUAAACAUUAAAUACAUCUAAAAUUAUGUCGAUUAAUAUAUGCUCUUUUUAUAUAUUUCCCCUAGCUUAUUAAUAAUUUUAUAGAAUUAUACAAAAAUUGAUAUUUUGUAGCAUAUCAUGUUUGUUUAGUGUUCCCGUGUACUCUAUGUUUGAUAAUUUAAUUAGCUAAUAAGGACAUGAAUAAUAUUAUUUCACUCACUAUGUCAUUGGUCAGAAAAAAAAAAAGGAAAGAAAAACUCAAUUUGAGAUGUUAUACAUUAUUUUUUAUUACUUCCCAUUUCAGAUGAAUAUUUAUCAUAUAUAUUCUUAGUAACUUGUAACCCUUUCUGCUAAGGGUAAAAUGUUUUUGUUACCCCUUAUAUUUAUGAGAUUGUCCUUAUAGUAGUGAUGCUGGCCCCAUUUUCUAAGAGUACAUUUGGAAUUGAGAUUGUGUAGUUGUAGCUUAAAAGUCACAAUAUUAAAAUAUUUGGUCAACACUAGCUAUUGUAGUUUGGAAGCUAUGUUGAUAUGAUUUUUUAUUUGUAUAAUAGAAAAUCUAUUAUAUCUUUAAUAAUUUUGUUAAAAUUAUUAUUUAAACAUUAUAUUUACUAUAUAUUAUUAAUUUUUAUUUUAUAAUUACUGUUUUUUUUCUACAGCAAUUGUAGCUUUUAAGGUUAAUCACCUCAAUCCCAAACAAGAUCUAAAACUGCUAUCUCUAUGUGUAAAUUCCUUAAAAAAAUCUUUUUUAAUUAAAAUUAUUUAAAUAAUUGAAGAUAAAUUAAUUUAUUUUUUAUUUGAAUGAAAAUUCAAUUAAGCAUUUAAAUAAGCUAUUCUCUCUUAACAAAUUUUUUACGCCCAUCUUGUUUCAUAAUUUAUAUUUGUAUUUUAAAUUUUAAUCGAAAGUACGUUUUGAGAAACUUUUAAGAAUUAAGAAUUAUGGAAACAAAAAUUAUGUAAUAAGAAGAAAAUAAUUUAAAUUCUUAAGAUUUGUAUGUAUUUAUAAAUAAAAACUUGCAAGAAAUACUCUUUUCAAGAUAAGAUUUAGUGAGAAAAUUAUUAAAUUUUAAUUUACGAAUUAAUAUUUUAUAAAUUAAACUGGGGGUAUCUUAAGGAAUAUAAUUCAAUUGAAUUCAGAAAGAGUGUUUAUAAGGAUUUUUUAGGGGUGUUAAAAGCUCCACUUAUUUACGCAAGGAAUGGGAAUUAGGGUAUUGGGUAGGAGUGUUCGCGGAUCGGACAUCAAUCCAUAUCCAAUCCAUGAUUUUGUAGAUUAUGAAUUUUCAAUCAAAUCCAAUCUACGGAUUGGUUAAACUCAAUCCAAAUCCAAUUCAUAUAUUUGUGGAUCGGAUGCGGAUUUGACUCAAUUCAUAUCCAAUCCAUCAUUUUGCGGAUUGAUCUGCAGAUUACAAAUUUUUCAUUUGGUCCAAUCCACGAAAUAAUAAAAUGAAAAAAAGUAAUAUAAAAAUAAUUUUACUACCAAUCAAAUUCAAAAUUGAAUAAGAUUUAAAUAAAUAAAUUAUUUAAAUAAAACUAAAAAAAUGCAUUAAAGUUAAAAUACAACACACCGAAAUUAAUUGUUCAAAUGAAGAUAAAAUAAUACAUUUAAAGUUUCAAAAUAUAAUACAUUAAAAUUAAUUGUUGAAUUAAAAUUAUAAUAAUACAUUUAAAGUAUCAAAUUAUGACACAUCAAAAAGAAAAAUAUUUGCUGCCAAUUUGUAUUUUGUACUUUAACUUGAACUAAAUAAACAUAAUUGAAAUGAAUAACAAAUAAAAAAAUUUUAUUGAAUAAAAAAAUUAACAAAUAAAAUAAUUUUGUUUAAUGACUGCUUGCACAGAGAUCAAGAAUCGUUGGAGAAGAUGGCCGAAGGAGAAGUUUAAAGCUAGUAAGAAUCGUUGGGUGUUGGUGGCUCUGUGCUUGCGACAGGGAAGGAUAGGAAGUCAAGGGUUUUUUGUGUGCUUGUUACGGGAAAGUUUAAGAAGUCAAGGUUUUUUGUUUUCUAGUGGCUGCUUUGGUGAAGUGGCAUUUAGGAUAAAUGUUUUGUUUGGUUUAUAAUUUUUUAUUUUGUUUCAGAAUUUUUACAACUUAUCUUUGUAUAUUUUAAUUAUUUAUGUUAUUUUUGAAUAAUGGAUAAGGUAUCUUAUGGUGUUAAUAUAAGUAUGUAAUUACAUUUAACUUACUUAUUUAUUAGUAAUGUCAUAUUUAUAAAUUUUUUAAUUAAAUAAAUAUUUUUUUAAAGAUUGGCGAAUUUUUACGGAUUUACAAAAGUAAAUCCAUAUCCAAUCCACCGCUUGUGGAUUUUUAAAUUUUUAAUCCAAUUCAAUCCACCAAUCCACGGAUAAGAUUUUUACGAACCAAAUUUUUACGGAUCGGACGAAUUGAGCUGAUCGAACCGGAUUCUGAACACCCCUACUAUUGGGUUUCACUUUGUUUUACAUGAAUUUGGGAAAAAUACACGGAUAGACAAGGGAACAGUCAUUGUUAAGCUGUGAAGCUUGUGGAAGAUACCAUUGCCUAUUUGCAGCUUAAACUCCUGGAGCUUUGCUCAUGCUUUCUCUUUCCCACUUUCUCAUGGAACAGAUGUAUACAUCAUGAAAUGAAAACAACAGCACAAAUUGCUGUCUCGUAAGAGAAACAGUCAUACAUAGUAGGUUAGGCCUCAUGUCCAUUAACUUACUAAUGAAUUUUAUGAAAAUUGGCUAUCUCAUUGAAAUUACAUAGGUAUUGGAAACCCUUACUCCAGCUGCAUCAUCUCAUCAGUGAAAGCUGGAUUUUCCAUUUGUUCUUGAGAUUCAUAUUAAGGCAGCAAAUUGCUCAUCCCAUACUAUCUAUGUAAUCCUGUAAAAGGGAAGGGCGUUUAGAUGUGGAAAAACCUUACUCCUGCCGCUGCACCUCAAACAGAUUGCGAUCACACAAGACUUAGUUCAUCAUUAGUAGUAGUUGGAGCUUCCAUUUGUUCUUGAGAUUCAAAGGCAGCAAGCUGCUUCCUCAGUGCUACUAAUUCUUCCCCGGCAUUGCAUAUGUAGGCUGAGGCUUGUCUACCAGACAAAGUUGCUCCUUCCAUACUAUCUAUGUAAUCCUGUGAGAGUGAAACCAUUUAGGAGACAUAUCUCUUUUUUUUCCCAAUAUUUGGGAUGAAACAAUGAUAUACAGUUACCUGUUUUGUAUACGAGCCAGCAAGGAAGAAGUUCUUCACAGGUGUCUUUUGAUCAGGUCUGAAGGGGUCUUUACCAGGUCCCUCACGGUACAAAGAUUGCCCGAUUUUGACAACAGAUGACCAAAUAACUUCUAAACCUUGGGAUGAUGGAAAUAGAGCUAAAACCUAAUAAAAUGAACCAUGAAUGGAUAAUUUGUACUGAUGUAUGUUAUCCAGAAAGUUGCAUGACCUUUUGUGGUACUCAGGUCACUAAAAAAAACGUGAGAUAAACAUCUAGGAUAAGAAAACCAAAAAUAGUAACCUAAUAUGUAUUAUAUGAAUUGAAGGUGUCACUGAACGCUACCAACCUGCUUUGCCACUCUCCUUAUGAUUUCAUCAUUUGGUAAGGGCAUGUAAGGAUCGCCAGGCGUCAAAACACAUCUG
This 145155-nucleotide long non-coding RNA is filed under the name Citrus x clementina. RNAcentral describes it as "Citrus clementina (C. clementina) long non-coding RNA (CCLE_LNC002917)". The record is from RNAcentral. Lineage: Eukaryota; Viridiplantae; Streptophyta; Magnoliopsida; Sapindales; Rutaceae.